Molecule: long non-coding RNA, 113111 nt
Filed under: Lupinus angustifolius (narrow-leaved blue lupine)
Lineage: Eukaryota; Viridiplantae; Streptophyta; Magnoliopsida; Fabales; Fabaceae
Description: long non-coding RNA (LANG_LNC001840)
Source: RNAcentral
GUUGUUGUUGUCUCAAACCCAGGGGUGAGUUAUAUACACUUCUUCUUCAAGAGGCCCAUUUAGGAAGGUACUUUUGACAUCAAGUUGCCACAAUUUCCAGCCAUUCCAACUAGCAAGUCCAACAAUCAACCUGACUGUUUCGAAUCUGGCCACUGGUGCAAACCCUUCAUCAUAGUCAUAGCCUUCUUUUUGCAUGAAUCCUUUGGCCACAAGUCUUGCUUUGUGCUUGGAGAUACUCCCAUCAGGUCUCAACUUGACCUUGUACACCCAUUUGACUGCUAUAGGUCUCUUAUCAUUAGGUAAUUCAUCCUCUUCCCAAGUGUAAUUUUUGUUGAUGGCUUUGAGUUCUUCCUUCAUUGCUUCAAGUCAUACAUCCUCCUUAAGUGCCUCUUUGAGAGUGAUUGGUUCAAUUUCUCCUUCAUCAGGGAUUACAUCAUCUGCAAACAUCUCACACUCACUGAGCCUUAGUGGUAGGUGCCUUGUCCUUGUAGGUCUAGUUUUAGCAGCCCUGUUUUCUUGAUUCCUUAUUCUUGGAACAUGAUUCAAUUCUUCUGAGUUCUCACUAUUCUCUUGCAUAGGAAUCACAAUUUCUGAUUUGUCAUUCUCAGACUUCAUGAGGGAAUCUUUCCAUAGGCUCAUCUCAUCAAAGUACACAUCUCUGCUGAACUUCACUUGAUUAGUUAUAGGAUUUAGAAGUCUAUAUGAUCAUGUUGGAUUGUAGCCAAAAAAAUCAUCAAUUCACUCUUGUCAUCUAGCUUACUUCUCAGCUGAUCUGGGAUGUGCCUAUAACAAACUGAACCAAACACUAUUAAGUGCUUCACUGAUUGCCUUUUUCCAGUCCAAACCUUUACAGGGAUCUGAUUGUCAAGAGCUUGAGUUGGACAUCUGUUCAGUACAUAUGUUGCUGUUGUGGAGUGUAUGGAGCAAGCCUUUGCAUUUCAGCAUGCACCUUACCAUGUUCAUGAUGGUUCUAUUCCUCCUCUCAGCCAUUCCAUUAUGUUGUGGAGUGUAUGGAGUAGUGACUUCAUGAAUGAUGCCAUGCCCUUCACACCAAUCUUCUAGCUCUCUUGAAUUGAAUUCUCCUCCCCCAUCAGUUCUGAAAAUUCUUAAGAGUUUUCCAGAUUGUCUUUCUGCCAAGGCCUUGAAUUUCUUUAGCUUAUCAAAUACUUCAUUCUUUGCUUUGAUUAGAUAAAUCCAUAUCUUCCUGCUAAACUCAUCAACAAAAUAGACAAAGUAUUUGUUUCCUCCAAGUGAGGGCACUUCAAAAGGUCCACAUACAUCUGAGUAUACAACAUUUAGUAAUUCAACAUCUCUACUUUGUUUGUGAUUACUGAAUGAUGUUCUGGCCUAUUUGCUAGUUAGGAAAUUAUCACAUACUGAGUUUUGAGUUUUAAUUUCAGGAAGACCAAUGACCAUUUCCUUAGUGCUUAACAUUCUAAGGUCUCUGUAGUUGAUAUGGCCAUACCUUAAGUGUCAGAGCCAUGUCUUAUUUGAGGUAGUUUCUGCAUUCAAGCAUUGUGACUCUGCAAUUGCUAGCUUGAUUUGGAAUGUUCUGUUAUUUGAGAAUGGAACUUGUAAGAUCUUCUUCUUCAAUCUGUCAUAGACAUUCAUAACUCCAUCAUUAAACUCCAUGUUGAAUCCUUUUUCAUGUAGUUGCCCAAGACUAAUGAGGUUGGUUUUCAUUUUAGGGACAAACAACACAUCUAUUAUGUAUGCUUUGCUACCAGAUUUCAUUUUGAGAGGUAUGUCACAUGAACCUUCAGUGAUCACUACCCUGUUGUCUGCAAACUUCAUUUUGUUUCUCUUGCUUGAGUCAAAGUUCACCAACCAUUCUUUGUGUCCAGUCAUGUGGUUAGAGCAACCAGAGUCAAGAGACCAAGUAUCAUUUCUUUGGGAUCUGCACUCUGUUGUCGUCAUGAGUUGCACAACUUCUUCAUCAAAGUCUCCAUUUUAUUCCCUGAUAAGAUUUGCUUCUGAUUCUUGCUUUCUUUGUUGUUGAUUCUUGGUAGGUGCUAAGCAUUCAGUUGAGUAAUGCCCAAGCUUGUCAAAAUUAUAGCACCUAACUUUCUUCUUGACAACUUUCCUCUUCAACCCUUUGAAUUGCUUAUAACCAUAACUCCUAUUGGAUUGUUCUGGUUGUUCAAAAUUGUUGACAUAGUUCUUUCUCCCUUUCAUAUCAGGAUAUCUUCCUUGAUUUAUACUUGAAUUCUUUGCACAAAAUCCUCAUUUCUUUGUUGUCUGCAUUUGGAGAAUUUGGUGUGAGGAUCUAUAUGUGAUCCUCUCAUUGAGUCUUUAUUCAUGGGCUUCAAGUGACCCUUGAAGCUCCUCAAUCUUCACAUUUUCAACUCUUCUUAAUUCCUCAAUAGCUACCACCACAUAAUCAAACUUAUGGGACAUUGUUCUUAGGAUCUUCUCAACUAUGGUUGCAUCAGUCAUCUUCUCACCACAAGCCUUCAUCGAAUUUGUGUGUGUGAUCAACCUAGUGAAAAAAUCUGCCACUUUCUCACCUUCCUCCAUCUGCAUGAGUUCAUAUUGCCUCAUCAUGGUAUGUAGACGAAUUUUCUUCAAUUGUGCAGCACCAGCAUAGUGCUUUUCUAGCACAUCCCAAGCUUCCUUAGCUGUUGCAGAUCCUGCGAUCAUUUCAAAGUGGGCAUUGUCCACUACUUGGUGAAGAAGGCAAAUUGCUUUGCAGUCCCGUUUCUUGUUUUGUUUAUGUGCAUUUCGUUGUGCUUCUGUGGCUCCUUCUUCUAGUAUUGGUAACCCUUCCUCCACUAUAUCUUCAUCAUCUUGAUAUCCAAGUAUUGCUUUCAUCUGUAUGCACCACCUAGUCUAGUUCUUGCCAUCUAGUAUAGGUAGUGUUGUGGCAAAGUGUCCAGUUGUUUGUGCCAUUUGCAGCGGAAAGAUGGUGAUCUUCUUGCCAGCUCUUGAUGCCAAUUGUUAGUGUUGUGUGAGAAAGAAAAGAAACAGAAAGAAGAGUUGCAGAAGAAAUUGUGGUCAGGGAGAGAAGAAUUAAGUUGUGUGAGAAUUGAGUUUCAAUAAAUAUUUAGUGCAUUGGAAUUAUUCAUAAUUCUUCAAUGAUUACAAACUAAUAUACAACUUUCCUAAAACAACUUCAACCAACUUAACUACUUUCUAUAAGUGACAACUCAUCUAACUACUAUAACUAACUCACUUGAUUACAUCAAUUAACAAUGAUUUUAAAUUAUUUUUUAAUAAGAAAAUUUAAAAAUCAAGAAAUUCUUAUUUUUCCUCCCCGUAGUUGAUUCUCAAGUACUACUGGAGAAGAACUCAAGUUAUUUAGUGGUAUCGUGUGAGUUAUGAAGUUAAACCGUUCUUGGCAAAAUUCUACAUUCACAGACGAAUGUAGAGCAACGGGGGAAGUGCACUCUAAGUGAUGUCGUUUUGCAAUAAGGUAAAGCAAGUAGCAUAUUCCUUGUUAUUGAUGAUUUGUUCACAUCAAUAAUUUGUAACAUUGCACAACACCUUAUACUAUUUAAGUUAGUGUUGUGCAAUGACUCAUAUUUCUAAUACAAGUUAUAUAAACUUAAUGUAAUAAGGAGAAUAAUAGUUAAACACUAAUCUUAAUUCUCUAUUAAUAUAUAGUGGUAGUUGCUCAACGCUCCUACGGACAUAGGCACAAUUAGUCGAACCUUAUUACCAACUCUCUUGUGUUAUUCUUUUGUCUCUUUACUUUUUGUUCUUUACUAUUUGAUUGUUUGCUUGUAGGUUUUAUUAACUUCUUUACUAGGUUUAGUUAACUUUAGGUUCAAAAAAUUAAUAAUUAAAAGUAGGUUGAAUUAUUCAUAGACAAUCAAUAUAAUUUUGAUAAGAUGACAUCUUAACCAAGUGAAGCAUACAUGACAUGUUAAUUUGUCAUAUAAAAAAUUAUACUCCCUUAAUCAAGUGAAACAUUGUUGAUUUACCACUGUUGGUUUCAUGGAGCGCUAUAAAAUAGAUAGUCUAAAUCUUCGUCCAACAUUUUCACAUACAAAUGUUGUUAAAACUAAACUCUGACAUAUGGAUUUAUAUUUAUUAUAUACAGGUUGGACUACUAUAUACACCAUGCCUAUAAAAAGAAUUGAUUUAGAAAAUAUAAUAUUAUCAAUAUGAGUUACUUUCGAAUUAAUUAUAAUUAACUAAUCUAACACUUUUUCAUCGCAUAACUUACUUCUAGUUGUCAAUAAUCUAUUCUUCAAGUGUUAGCCCCUCAGAUUUGAAACCCCCUUAUUUUGUAUACAAAAUUACAAACCAAAGACCAAAAAAUUGUCUUUCAACAUGUGGUCCAUAGAAAAGCCAAGAUUAAAACGUAUACUUAGGAAAUUAUAAAUAAAGUGCAAAGAUAUUGCUUCACCUAAUAUUCCUCCCACCUACUAUCAACUCUAAUAUCACUUGUUAGAAUAUGAUAACUCAAACAAUCAUAAAACUUUGACUAAUAAGGAGUCAAAUAAUAAAGAAAAACAACAAUAAGUUACACAUAAUCUAAGAUUUUUCACGGCAUAACUAACACUUGAAAUUGCCAAUAUUGACUAGUAAUAUACUAUAAAUUUUUAAUGUUUCAUAAGUUUAUUUGUGAGUAAAAAUGCUUUGAAUAUUACUAACAUAUUUAUCUUAUAUUAGAGGCUUUAACUUAAACUAGUGAUAUAUGCUUAAUAUAGUGUUUUUCUCUCCUUAGAACAUUGGUGUACAAGUGAUAAAAUAAAAUAGAAUAUUUAUGUAAACUUAUUGUAGGACACUUUUCCAAAUUUAACUUAUAAGAUUAAUUUUAUAUUUUUUUGAUUUUAAAAGUAAAUUUUUCAACAACAAAAAUUAUGAGCAAAGCCAAUGGACUAUUCUACUUAGUCCACAGCCCACAAAGAUUGGGUUGGGCUAACAAAUUAGUAGCUCAUAACUAAAUCGACCAAAUUAGUUUAGGCGGGUCCACCAAUCCAUUUUGACCAUCUUUACAUAAUAUUUAUAUUAUUUUAAAGAUUUAUACAUAAAUAGUAUAUCAUCUACCAUUCAUUUAUAUUACUUGUAUUUCAAAGGUAAUAAUGAUUAAAUUUUAAUAGUAAAUGAUACAAUUAUAAUAUAAAAAACUCUUACACUAUUAGUAUAUAAUAUAUAUAUUUUACAUUCAUUAUUAUUCAUAUUUACGUGUCUCAUUACAAAAAAACACAUGCACUAAAAAACAUAAUAAUUAUGUUAAUUUAUAUGAUAUUUAUUAUUUUUGGAACAUAUCAUUUCCUUUCCACGAUCAUUAAUUUUCUCUCUCAUUAUUUAUGUGUAUCAAUAUAUUAAAUAAUAACAAAAUAUAAAAAUAAUCAAAGAAAGUCAUUUCCAAAUAAUGAAAAGAGAUUACAAAUUUAGAAUUCAAGAAAGGCUUCUCUUGACUUUUGAACUUUGAAACUGAGUCAAGACAAUCUGGUGGACCAGCUAAUUGUUUUCUUGACCAAAAAUAUCAUGAGAUAGAGAUGCAUAUAUGCAUGUAUCUUCUUUUGUUCAUAAAAUCAUAAGAAUUAGUUUCAAAGUUGAAUUUUGAAGGGGAUGAAGGGAGUCAUGAAAUAUACAUGUAGAAUGAUUUUCAAGUUUUCAAUUUUUCUUCAUUUUUCUCCAAAAUUUAACUCUCAAACUAAUCCUAAGACAAUGAGAUUAAAGUUAAUAAAGAACUUCACAAAUUUAAUAUAUCAAACAAGUGACACAUAUUUUAUUACAAGUUGCUCGUAAAUUCCCAUUUUAUAAGCGGUUAAUCAUUCAAAAGAAAUCCUCUUUAUUCUUAUUUUUUAAAAUCAUUAUAAAGUAUAAGUAUAGCAUUUUUCAUCAUUCAUUUAUAUAUGUUAGGGGAAUAAAUAACUUUUUCUCAAAAAUUAAUUUCACUUUUGUGCGGAACGAAUUAUAUCUUUGGUGUUUACAUCCUUUUCAGUAAUUAUUUUAAAUAUUAUAUAUACACAUUUAAUUAUUCUAUGUUAUUUUUUUUUAAAAUGACCACUUUACUUGCAAUAUUUGCUUAAUUUAUUUAGAAAAAUUAUUUUACUUUCGGAGGUGUAAAUUUUGUCUCAAAAAAUAUGACAGAACAUGAUAAUUAUACAUUUUUAAUAGAAAGAGUAGUGACCAAUGGUGGAGAAUUUUGCACACCAAGCAUUUUUCUUCAAUUUCUGCCUUAUAUCACUAAAAUGCUAUUCUUAUGAUAAAUCACUCAAAAAUGUACAAUUCCGGUAAUAUGUGAUUGAAAAACUGAAAAACAAUAUUAAAAAAAUGGGAAAACAGAGGGCACACCAGCUGCUGAUGAUAGCAAAUAGAUGUUAGUAAUAAGAAUUGUCACCCAUAGAAUGAUUUAAUAUUAUUUAAGGGUGUAAUUAAAAUAUGUUGACUUAUUUAAAGAAAAAUAAUUAUUUUAUUAUUAUAUUAUUUCUAUAUGAAUAAUUAAAUAGAAAUUAUGUGAAAUGAUAUGACUAUUUGGAACGUCAUGUUGCAUAAAAGGUUUGUGAAACAUAUCUUGAAUAUUUAGAAAGUCGUUCUUCAUAAAAGGUUAUGUGAAAUGACUGAAAUAGAUUUUCUCCAAUAUUGAACUCUUUAGUACUAGGAAUGUGAGAGAGGACAAUUUUUUUAAAUUAUUAAUUUAUAAAAAAAGUAAAAAUAUGAACCAUUGAAUUUUUGUUAUUAUCAUAUGUCAUAAUUAUACAUAUGCACUACCCUCUCUAGUAAUGAAGACCCAACUCAAAAUGACGUAAGCAUGUGGAAAGUCAUGUGCAUGAAAGAAUGUGUAAAAAUUAUAAAAUUUCAAAAUAACAAAAAGCAUUUUUGUGACUUUAUAGAGUCAAUUAAUUACUUUUAUCCCUUAUAAGUAUUAUGAUAACUUUUGAGAUUCUAUAGUAAAAUAUUUCUACCUAAGGAGAGACUAUUUUGUAAAUAAUCUAUGAAAAAUAAAUUUUACAUGAAAAUUUAUUUUUAAGUAUCUUAAAACCAAUUUUAUCUUCAUAUCUUAAUCAAUAGUCAAUUAAUUACCGAUUUUAAUUGGUAGUUUUGUUUUAAUUUCAUAAAUUAAUUAGCAAUUUCGCUUUAAAAAAAUUAAUUGGUAGGUAUUCAUUUUUAAAUAAAAUUAAAUUCAAAAUUAUUUUGGGUGUUAUAAAAAAUAGUAUAAAUAAAGGGAUGGGAGAGUAGGUAAAAAGAGAUGAGAAAAAGUAAGAAAUGAGUGCAUAAAGAGUAGAAAAUUACCAAAAUUUUCAUGUCAAAAUCAUUGCAACAUCAUCACUAGUCUAUCAUUCCAGGGAUUUUCGUGCAACAAUCCCUUCACCACACAAGAGACAUUACCAGUCCUUCAUCAUGAACAACAUGAAUUUCCAGGCAAUAUGCGCUAAUGAUUAUGCCAAAAUUCCACCGCCUAAUCUGUUCGCCAUGUACCCCUCUUGGCUUGAGCAUGUAUAUUUAUUAUUAUUGUUAAUAUUAUUAUUCUCUCUUUUUUAUCUAUUUCUUUUUUAUAAAAUAAUGAUAAAUAAAUUCUUUUAAUUUCUUUUAUCUUAAAAAUAAUAUUAGAAAUUAAUUUAAAUUGUGAUAAUAAUUAAACAUUUUCUUAAUCACAUGAUUAAUUUAUGGAAUAUGUAUAGCCUACUUGUGAGCCGCAUCGUCUCCUCCUUUUUGUGUGAAGCGGAAAGUUAGUCUACAAUGAGUGUCUUUCUUUACUAUUGAUUUCAUCUUAAUUUAUGGAAUUUGAAUAGGUGAUUAUGACCCACGCCGUUUCUUCCUAUCUGCUUAAAGAGAAAAGUCAGUACUAGUGUCGUCUAUUUGCUAUUGAUUCCAUAAAUUUUUUAAUAAUUAAAAAAAUUAUAAUCAUAUCAUUCACUGUUAAUACUAAUUUUUACAAAAAAAUCUAAAAACAAUUUUUAUAAUCCAAAUCAAAUUAUACCAAUCAAUUUUGAAUACAUAACAUUUUGGUAUUGAUUUUCUAUUGCAUUUAGGAAUUCAUAGUAGAAAGAUUAGCUCUUUUCAAACACAAAAUAAAAAUAUACACUAUUUUGUUGUAUAUAUUAUUCAUGCAAUUUACUAGUGUACUAUUUUAUUACGGACGAACAUAUUGCUAAUACAUUUCUCGAUUCGUAAUUGACUCUCAGGCUGAGAACUCUUAUUCAAAAGACGAUGUUUUCAAUUUGGACAUAAAAUAGAGUUUUCCGCAUUUUGACGACAAAAAAGAAGUAGUGGCGACUCCAAAUUUUUUGGAAGUGAUCAAAAUAGAGUUAACUCUUCCUAAGUCGUAGAGUCGUUGUUCAACCGAAAAACGGGUCGUAACAGCUGACGACUCCACUAGGGACAUCUUCCCUUAAGGGAGUCAGACACCCAUAAUUACUCAGUCUUGAUUUCUCUAUUAUUGAAACGUAGGAGUAAGAUGAACUAUUGUUAAACGUAAAAAUAAAAAAUAAAAAAUAAAAAAAAUGUUUUAGUAAAUGAACUUUUAAAAAAUUUAAGGGUAAAGUUCAUGCUAUUAAUUAAGGUAUCGUUUGAUUACAAACGGGUGAUGUCCUAAUACAUUCCCUAAUCUGUAAUAGACUUUUGAGCUUAGAACUUAGGUUUAAAUACCAUUUUAUCCAAGUGACAUAAAAGAGAGUUAGUUAUCUACGUUUAAGCCACAAAAAUUGUAAUGGCGACACUAAAUCUUUUGAGAGAUGUUGAAAUUGAGUUUUAUAUCUUCCUAAGUCGUGUAGUCAGUAUUCAACCAAAAAUAGGGACGCGACCAUAUCAAGAAUGAGAAACUAACAUUCUAUGAAUUAUGAAAAAAUCAACUUUAUUUGAAGAUAUUCAUCUAGAAGAAAUACUUAUCUUCUAAUCAAGCACAUGAGAAGUCUUAAGCUAUUACUUUAGUUUAUUCCAUUAUUUAAAUCGUCUAUUUUUAUCAAUAAGGAAUUAGUCAAAUAAUUCAAAAUCUCAUUAAGUCUUACAUAUUUAAAAGAGAUUAGUUUCAAACCAAAAGUUUCAUUAAUUUAACGAUAAGUAUUAUCUAUUUUUUCAAGAUGAAUAUAUCUAGUUUCUUGUGGAUCCUCACUUAUUCUCACCCUGAGGUGGUCUAUUAGAGAAUAAGGGUCGGUGAUGUAUAUAAUUUGUAAAACGAAUAUUUGACAAGUGUAAUUAGAUUCAUUAUUUCAUAAGUGAGAUUCUCAUAAUUGUUGACCCAAAUUUCUAGGUGUUUGAGUAAAUCUUGAAAAGAGUGAGACUCCUCUCCAUUAUCAGAGAGAGAGAAGUAUUGUGGAAUAUGAAAAGAAAAAUAACAUCUAGAGUAAAUUACACUGACACCCCCUAAGUUUUAGUGAAAUUACAUAAAUCACCUCUCACUUUUCUACACCUACACAAACCCCUCAUUUGUAUACUUUCAUUGCACUGACCACAACUACAUGAGAAAUAAGUGUAAUUUUGUGAACAAAAAAUGUGAUAAAUGCAAUUAAGUUAAACAAAACAUGAUAUAUUGUGAUAUAUUGUGGAGACAAGUCCAAAUAAUAUAUGAGCCAAUACCUCUUUAUUAUUUUUGGUUCGUUACGAUAUAGUAUAAGAGCGAUUUAAACAAUAUCUUUUUAGAAUUGUUGAUGCAUUUUGUAACAAAAAAUAAUAAAGAUACAUUCAUUUGUAUAUUAUUUGGAUUUUUCCUUGCAAUAUAUCAUGUUUUGUUUAACUUAGUUGCAUUUAUCACAUUUUUUGUUUAAAAUAUUACACUUAUUUCUCAUGCAUGAGUGGUCAGUGUAAUGAAAGUAUAAAAACUAGGGGAGGUUUGUGUAGGUGUAGAAAAGUGAAAGGUGAUUCGUGUAAUUUAACUAAAACUCAGGGGGUGUCAGUGUAAUUAACUCUAACAUUUGUAUCAUUUUUAUUUAAAAUAUGAUUAUACUUGUAUUCUUAGAAUUCAAAGGAAAUAAUCAUUUUUCUCUCCAUUAAGUCUUACUCUAUAAAAAGUAGGUAUAAGGACAAUGAUGUAUAAAGAUUGACUUCCGUAUAAGAAAAUAGAGGUAGUCACCCCUAAACAAUUCACUUAUAUACUUUUAUUAUUUAAAUAUGAUAUAUUUGCGCCUCUUCCAAAUUUCCGUACUACUCCUCUUGUCUUGAAAGUUGAAUAGGUGUUUGUGAUACAAAUAUUUUUAUCUCUAGUUUCAAAUUUUCUCACUAUGAGCAUGGGUACAAUGAAGUAUAUUUUUUUUUUAUGUGUUUGCAUUGCUUAAGAAUAACCAUGUAACAUGUUUAAUUAUUUUGUAGGAUACAUUACACUAAACAUUAGACAAUUAUUAUUAAUAGUAUAAGUUAGGUACUAUUGAUUUUGUUUUACACUUAAUAAUUUCCCCCUCCGUAACAUUUUUUUCUAGAUACAACACUUACGACAUAGUUGCAUUCUGCUGAUUGAUGAAUAAAGACAUAUUAUUCUAUAUUAUGUUCUGAACUAAUAAAAAUAUCUAUUAUUAAUUAAAAAUUGAAUAUUUAUUAUUUUUUCUAUUUUACUUCUAUAUUAUUAGUGGAUACAUGAUUUGAUUCGUACAGUAACGUUGAAGAUACAAAAUUCGUCCUUAUUAGAGGAAAUCACCAACCUGUUCUGUUGGUAGAACCUUCUUCUCCAUUUGGAGUUGCCCACGUUUCUUGACUCUCUUUUUGACUCACGUGCCUAUGCCUAUAACAACAAUACUAAUAGUAAUAAUAAUAAAUUAAUAAAACAUAUUAUUCAAUAAAAUAUUAAGAGUAUUUAAUAUUUUUUAUUUGAAUCAUUAGUGAAGUAAGAAAUGUAUUGAUCUUUUUUAUUUUAUAAGUUAUAUAUAUAGAAAGGAGAGAUUAGUUCACACCAAAUUUAAGUUACACUAAUUACAUUUACCCAUCUAUAUAUAUGUUAAUAAUAAGAGUUUCUAUACACUAUAUUAUUCACUAUUCAUUUGUUAACAUCUAUGAAUCUUAAAUAAAAAUAAUAUAUAUGACUCUUAAAUAAAAAAUAAUACAUAUGAAUAUGAAUGAUGUGUAUUUUUUUUAUAUUCACCUUUGUAUAUAUUAAUCUUUCACUUUACUCUUAAUAUUUUGAUGCUUUAAAAUAAUACUUUUUUCAACUAUAUAUACAUUUAUUUAUUACUCAUUUUUUUUAAUCAUAAUUCACUUUCUUCAAUAAGUAAGGAUAUUGUAGUUAGACUAUCAAAUUAUUGCAUCAUUUAAUAAUUUGUUAAAUUGAAUAACCAUAAAAAUGUAAUAGAGGAAGUAAUAUGCUUGAAAUAAAAAAAUACAUAUUAAUUCUCACUAAAUGAUUACUUAAACAAUAAUAAAUAGUUAUAUCGCAGUGACACUCUUUAACAAAACCAAGGACAAAAUAUAUAAUCAAAGUUUAAAUAAUAAUUGUGGUUAGGAUGUUGAAGACUCCAAAAAGAGUUCACCAUAUUCAUUGGUUAGGAUAUAAUGUAAGUGGUCACAAUUAUAUAUGUUAUCUCCUUAUAUCUCAAAUUUUAUCUUACACUAAUAAAAACUUAUUGUGUCAAUUAAAAAAUUAAAUAUUUAUUAUUUUUUAAUUUUUAUUUUAUUGUUAUUAAUGUAAGUCGUAUUUUUACAUAUAGUCUAAGACCACAAUCCUUCUUCAACUUACUCCCAAAAUUUUAACAUUUCCAUCAUAGACCAAAAUUUUAAGCAUCUUAUAUAUGACAAUAUUUUCUUUCCUUAUCAGGCUAAUAAUACUACACUGUAGGCCAUAGAUUCCACCCUGUUUUUUGGGUGCAAUUGUAGGUCCACCCUUUAAUAGUAUAGCUAAUGAUAAGUUAUCCAUAAUCAUCCUUGCCUAGUUGCAUGCCCCCAAUUAUAUAUCAAACACAUUAUUAAUCGAAACCUUUUCAUUCUUAUCUAUCAACUCUUGUGAAAAUGAAGUAUUUUUCUUUUAGUUUUAAAAGUAAAAGUAUCAUUUUAUUAUAAAUAAAAAAGAUAUAAGUAUAAAUAUAUUUUGAUUUUUUUAUGUACAACAUUUUGACUCCAAUUUUCCCUACUUGUUGUUUAUUUCUUCAUUGGGUAUAUAAAGGAGGCUAGGUCCCUAAAUCUUCAUCAAGUACCCACUAUCAUUGUUUAUACAAAACCAGCACACAGAAAACUCAUCUGAAUUUAGUAUCUGCAUUUUUAUUAAAAAAACAUGGAUUUUGAUUCUUCUUUCUCCCAACACCAAACCCUUUUCUCUUCCAAACCUUUCUCAUGGGAGAAUUUCUUUUUCUUCAAUGAAGAAAACAACACCACCCUUCCCUUUAACUUCAAGGAAUCAUCUUCAUAUUCCAACUCUUCACUCUCUCUUAGCAGCACUGAAUCACAAGAAGUCUCUUCCAAUUCACAAGUACUCAAAGAUACACAACCUCCAUCAUCAUAUUCAUCAACACCACCAAAGGAUCAAAGUAGCAACAAACACAAGAGACCCUUCAGAGGUGUAAGGUCAAGGCCAUGGGGUAAAUUUGCAGCAGAAAUAAGAGACUCAACAAGAAAUGGAGUUAGAGUAUGGAUUGGAACAUUUGACACAGCUGAAGCAGCUGCACUAGCUUAUGACCAAGCUGCUUUAUCAACAAGAGGUGCCAUGGCAGUGCUCAACUUUCCUGAACAAGUUGUUAGGGCAUCACUCAAAGACAUGACCUAUAACAAUAAUAAUAACAAUAACCCUAAUUUGGAAGAUGAUUGUUCUCCUGUAUUGGCACUUAAGAGGAAGCACACAAUGAGAAGAAAGUGUAAGAGUAGUGGAGAUAGUAAUAACAAAAGGACCAAAAGGGGUGAUAGAGGGUUAGAGAUGGUUUCCAAAAAUGUGCUGGUGUUGGAGGAUUUAGGAUCUGAUUAUCUAGAGCAACUUCUGAGCUUCACUUCUUCUCAAGUUAUUUGGUAGUGUUAAUCAUGGCAUGGUUUUAAAUUGUGGGCAAACACAAUCAUGGUCGCAAUAUUGCAGAUUUGGAGUAUCCGAAAUCAUAUUAUCACAUUUUCUUACAUUUUUGUAUACGUCUGAUGAUAAACUUAACGUAACCACAAUCGUGAUCGCAAACAAAAAAACAAUAUGAAAAAUUGUUCAUGGAGUUGGAUAUAGUUGAUCAUUUUUUUAGUGAUGUUAAUUCUUUCAUGACUUGGUAAGGAUAUUACACCUUCUUCAUUCUCUCCUUUUUUUCCACCAUUGUCUUUGUAGCAGUAAAAAGAGAUAGGAGAGAGGAUGAGGAAACAAGAAAGUGUGUAUAUAUAUAUAUACAUGAAUGCUUAUAUAUGAAUGUCUAUGUAUAAAUGGAUGAGGAUAACUUGUCCCAAUGUCUCAUUCUCUGUCCCAAACCAAUCAUUUAUUAACACGUAAAUAGAUAUGGAGUGAGACACUAUUCGUGAUAUAUGAUGUCCAUUCUUGUAUACAUAGAGUGAGAUCCAUUUAUUUCAAUAAUAAGUUUUCCAUCAUAGCCAUCAAAGGAACAUCUUAUAGUUUAGAUUUUACACUAAUUGAUACAUAAGAUGAGAAGUAAGUUUAAACUUAUUUUUCUCCUCCCAUAUAUGUAUAUAUAUGUAUGAAUGUUUACAAAAUAUUGUUGUUGAUAUUCCGAGGCUCUAUCGGAUUCGAUGGAACACUAAUAACGGAAUAACAGGAUAUAUGAUGAUUGCCACUAUUUUUAAAACUGAAAAAAAUAUAUUAUAUUAUACUAAUUUCUUCUACCAUUUUUGCAAUAGGGAAAUCUGAACUAUUUGCCGUUAAAAGCAUGCAUUUUAUAACUAUUAAUGAGUACAUUCAUGAUUAAUAAUUCAUUCGUAACAACUAAAUAACACGUUUAAUCAGAAAUCCAUUCAUUAUAGCAUAGUUAUUAAAACCGUAUCGUACAGGCCGGUUCAACCGGAAAACCGGUGAACCAGGCCUCUAACCGGUACGGUACAAGUGUUGAAUCAGCCAAGUAUUAAAACCGGUCAAAACUGGUGAACCGGCCGGUAUUUUACUAAACCGGCCGGUUUAUACACAUAUUUUUUUUUUAAAAAAAAACUUAAAAACUUAAAAAUUGAUUACAAGGUGACACAUCUUUCUAACAAUUCUUCAACCCUUUAAGGCACAUACUUCCAAGACAUACUUAGAUUACAUAUUUUGGUUCCUAACGUGACAUUUGUGUAAUCUUGGAGUACUGUAUGAAGAUAGGAUUUAGUAGAAAAGUAUAAUAUUUAUAUGAGACAACUUUGACUCAUUGGUGUUAAAUGUUAAAACUCCAAAUUUAUUUGUUUUGUAGAAUGAGUUGUGAACUUAUGUCAUUUAUUUAUAUUUUGCGGUUGUUAAGUGAUACUUUUGGUUUGAUAUAUGUUUUUUAAUUUAGACUUUGAAUUUGUUAAAGACUUAAAGUUGUUUAUUUAUGUGAAUUUUGAGUUAUAUAUAUAUAUAUAUAUAAAUAUAAGUAGGUAUGUCCGGUUUAACCGGCAUGCGGUUUAAUUACUGAACCACUGGUUGAACUACUGUACCACUAUACCAGUACCCUGACCGGUUUGAUAACCGGUACGGUUUUAACGACACUGCAUUAUAGCAUAAAAUAAUGUAAAAACAAUAAUAUAAGAAUACAAAUGUUGAAAAAAAACAAGCAUUGGAAAACAAUAAUAAUCCGAGAAGUUAGGAAGCGGCAUCAUAAGAGCAUUAGAGAAAGGAGAUUGGGUGGCGCAAAGAGAGCGCGAAAAGGAAGGAGUAUAUGCUUUUGGAAUAUUAGUGUCAUGUUCUAUUUUUAGUAUUUUAUUUUAUGUUCUGUUUUGUGUUUCUCAUAAAUCAUUUCCCACAUUCUUCACAUCUUUUUUGUUCACCCAAUUCCUCUUUAUAUUCUCUCUUUUUGAGUUCUCUCUAUUCAUAAAUUCAGGUCAGUUUCAUACUAUAUCUAGCAUUGUCCCUUCUUGUCUUUCUUUCUAAUAUCUAUGUUUUUUUGGUGUCUUUUUUGGAUUAUUAUUAUUGACUCCUUCCAUUGUCUUAUCUCAUGCAUUACAUUAUAUAUAAUAUGACUUAUGAUUCUCAUUUGGGAGGGAAAUAGGUUAGAGUUAAAAGGGAUGGUGGACCCUUAAGAAAAAAAAUUGUUUUCAUACAUUAUUAUAUAUGAUCAUAAAAUGUUCAUACAUCAAAGUAUAGUAUAUAUAUUAUUUCUAAAUGAUGAUGACCCAUUUGAAAUUUGGAUUUUGUUUAAUAUAUGUUAAUUUUAGCAUGUUAUACCCAUUUUAUCUGGUUUUUUUACUUGUCCUCAUCCAUUGUAAGUGGAUUACCUUGUAAUAUUGAUACACAUUCUCAAUUUCCCUUGUGUCCUCUAGAAAAGAAGUUUCAUAUAACUGUACAAUUUUUUUUCAUGUGUAAUUGAGUAAUUUUUUGUGGUUCUAUGGGUGAUAAAGUAAUUAUUGAUAGCCAGCUAUCAAAAAAUAGGUUUGUUAUAAUGGACAAGGAUAUGUUCUUGUCCAAGCAAUGUCUCGGACCAAUGAUAUUGACGCAGAAACAGAAAACAUAAUAAAUAUUUAAUUUUUUGAUUGACAUAACAUGCUUUGAUUAGUCUAAGACAUGGUUUGGGACACAGUUUGGGACAUCAAAUCCUUGUCAUCAAGGUUGACAUGAUAGUUUCAUUGUCUAAUGGUUGGUUUGGGUUGAAAGCAUUGGUCAUCUAUGCUUAAAUUAUCAAUAAUUGUAUUCAAAGAACUCAAAAUUUGGCAAUUGUUCCUCUUUUGUAGAGAAGUGAAGAAUUUGGGGAAACUUGGUGGCAUGGGCAAAGAACAAAUUGAGGUGCUGAAUGCACUAGAUGUGGCCAAAACACAAUGGUACCAUUUCACAGCAAUCAUCAUUGCUGGAAUGGGAUUCUUCACUGAUGCAUAUGAUCUAUUCUGCAUAUCCCUUGUCACAAAGCUACUUGGCCGCAUAUAUUACCACCAUGAGGGUGCAGAAAAGCCUGGCUCAUUGCCUCCCAAUGUGGCUGCAGCUGUAAACGGUGUAGCCUUGGUUGGAACGCUUUCGGGGCAACUCUUCUUUGGCUGGCUAGGUGAUAAAAUGGGCCGAAAAAAGGUCUAUGGCAUGACACUGAUGCUGAUGGUUUUGUGCUCAAUUGCUUCUGGACUAUCUUUCGGACGCGAUCCAAAAACUGUCAUGACAACUCUUUGCUUUUUCCGAUUUUGGCUUGGUUUUGGCAUUGGUGGAGACUACCCACUUUCUGCUACAAUCAUGUCCGAGUAUGCAAAUAAGAAGACUCGUGGCGCCUUUAUAGCUGCAGUCUUUGCUAUGCAAGGUUUUGGAAUUUUGGCAGGUGGUAUAUUUGCAAUCGUAAUCUCGUCUACAUUCAAGUCCAAUUUUAGUGCUCCAGCAUACGAGGUUGAUCCAUUGGGCUCAACUGUUCCACAAGCAGACUAUGUUUGGAGGAUAAUUCUGAUGUUUGGAGCAAUUCCAGCUGCAAUGACAUUCUACUCGCGGUCGAAAAUGCCAGAAACUGCACGUUAUACUGCGCUGGUUGCUAAGAAUACAGAGCAGGCUGCAAAAGAUAUGGCUAAGGUUAUGCAGAUGGAGAUUGGAGCAGAACCAAAGAGAGAAGAAGAGCAGACACAAUCUAAGCAAUUUGGCUUGUUCUCCAAGGAAUUCUUCGCUCGCCACGGACUACAUUUACUUGGAACUUGCAGCACAUGGUUCUUGCUUGAUAUUGCAUUUUACAGCCAAAAUCUCUUCCAAAAGGAUAUCUUCACUGCAAUCGGUUGGAUUCCUCCUGCAAAAACCAUGAAUGCACUUGAGGAGGUCUACAGAAUCGCGAGGGCGCAAACGCUUAUCGCUCUUUGUAGUACAGUUCCCGGAUACUGGUUUACAGUGGCUUUCAUUGACAGAAUAGGAAGAUUUGCUAUCCAAUUGAUGGGAUUCUUCUUCAUGACUGUGUUUAUGUUUGCUCUUGCCAUUCCUUAUGACCAUUGGACUCAUAAGGAAAACAGAAUCGGAUUCGUGGUGAUGUAUUCCUUGACAUUUUUCUUCGCAAACUUUGGGCCUAAUGCUACCACUUUUGUUGUGCCAGCAGAAAUUUUCCCUGCCCGAUUUCGAUCUACUUGCCACGGGAUAUCAUCGGCAUCAGGGAAGCUUGGAGCAAUGAUUGGUGCAUUUGGGUUCUUAUAUUUGGCACAGAACCAGGACAAGACCAAAGCUGAAGCUGGGUACCCUGCUGGUAUUGGAGUGAGGAAUUCACUGCUUUUGUUGGGUGUGGUUAAUAUUUUAGGAUUUCUAUUCACAUUCUUGGUGCCUGAGUCAAAUGGUAAAUCUUUGGAGGAGAUGUCAGGUGAGAAUGAAGAGGAAGAAACCAAGGCAUGAAUAUUUUCUUCUCAUUUUGUAAUAAGGACUUAAGGUAGUAAGGUACCAUCUUUCUAUGAAUAUUGAAGUAUAUAUCAAGACUUCAAUGCAUACUUCCUCUAAUAAAAUUUAUUAGUUGUUGUUGUUGCUUGUAGAUGUAUUGUUGUCUAUUUUUCUAAGGUAUAUUAAAUUUCAUGGCAAUGAAUGAAGAAUUUCUCUAUCAUAUUUGUGUUUCUGAUAUGAUUCUGCUGAUGCAAAUAUAUAUUAGUGUUCAAUUGGGAUAAAUACAGUUACAUAGUUCCCUUGUUUAUUCUACAAUUCCACGUAUUACGUACCUGUAAGUCUUGUUGUAAUCUAAGAUAAAAACUGACAAAUAAUAUAGAACUUGAUAUCGGACACUAAUAGUCUAAUACUGGUUUUGCCUACCAUGUUACUAUUAAGCUCUUUUAUCAAUUCUAAAGGUUGAAAGUCUGUGUGAACUUUUUCAAUUAAUUUCAUUCACUUUAUACUAGUCCCCUUGUCUUUUUUCUCUCUUUAUAAAUAAAGGAUUUCAUAAUUGGGUGGUUGAUCCAAUCUGUAAGGCAAAAAUUGAGUCACUUAAAAAGUAAUAUUGUUGAGAGUAUGUGCAAAAGUGUGAUUAUUCUUUGUAACUAUUAAUUGAAGUACUCAGGUUUAUGGGAUGAUUCGUAGACGAUUUUUUAGAUUUUAUAUCCAAAAAUUGAAAUUUUAUUUUAUGGCAGUAAAUAAUUUUUUGCAGUGAUUUUGUAGAUAUAGGCAGAUAGUGUUGAACCACAAAAACAUUGAGAUUCCCUUAUUUUAUUUUUGCUGUGAUUUUUGUGCAUUUUCGUGGUAUUAAACUCCCUAACUAACUCUUAACUUCUUAUGAAUUUACAAUCUUAUGUUACAAAAAACAAGUUGAAUCUAAUGUAGAAUCUUUUUGGUAAAAUGUUACAAGUUCUUGUAGCGGAAGAUACAUGGAGAAAACUAAAUAGAGAAAAUGACACCGAAAAAUUAAUGUGGUUCAACAAUUUGCCUACAUCCACGGUUGAAGAACAACAAUGAUAUUAUCACUAUGAUAAAAGAGAAUUACAAGUUCACUCAAGUGUUUCACUCACUUCCCAAAACUCAAGUACACCCAAUAUCACUCUCUCUCAAGUAUAUCUUAAACACUAAAAUAUUCCUCACAAUAGUAGAACACGAAAAGAAGAGAGAAUAUGCACUAAAGCUAGAACAUUGAUGUGUCUUACAAUGGCUUGGAGCAUUCCUAUUUAUAGCCAAAGCCUUGAGGAUUGUAUGGCCAGAAACAAAGAUGUUUCACCACAACCUCUUCUUCUCAUUGGCUACAAAAAAGGUUCCACUAUAGACACUCAUUUUACUUGGCCACAUCAUUCUUUUUUUCUUUUAAGCCAAUAUUUAAUAAAUCUUCACCUUGCUUGUCGGGUCAGCCCUCCUUAACCAGUCUAAAAAAUGGGCUUCUAAACUGAGAGCUAACCCCAUUAUUGGAUAAAUCAUGUCCCGCCCAGUAAUAUAGUACCACAUCAUUGUAGAGAAGUAUUGAGCAGGACGGUGUUAGAGACACCAACUUAAGAGAAUUAAAUUAAUCUUCAUUCUAGAUAAAGAGGUGAGUGCACAUAAGAAUGAGAUGAGAGUAAUUGAUAGAAAUGGCAAAAUGAGUCGCACUUUGACUAUCACAGUAGAUGGUUGUUUCUUCUAGUUGUAUACCCAACUCUUCAAUUAGACCUUUCUCCCAAAUGGCUUCCUUUACAGCUUCUGUUACUGCGAUGUACUCCGCUUCAGUUGUAGAUAAAACAACAAUUGAUUGUAGUGUUGCUUUCCAACUAAUAGCACAAACACACAGUGUAAAGACAUUCCAGUGAGUGAUCUUCGCUUAUCCAAAUCUCCGGCAUAAUCUGAGUCAACAUAUCCGAUGACCUUACUUCCAACAUCUUUGACUUUUCCAUACAAUAAGCCAAUAUCCAUGGCUUUCCAGUGAACUUUACCAAGACUUGCCAUAUAAGUACUUACCACACUUACUACUUGUGCAAUAUCUGGUCUAGUGCAUACCAUGACAUACAUAAGACUGCCAACUGCACUAGCAUAAGGUACACUUGACAUCUCCUCAUUUUCGCUCUCAGUUUGCGGACAUAAGGCUAUUGAAAGUUUGAAAUGAGACGCUAAUGGAGUAGUGACCGGUUUAGCAUUUUGCAUGUCAAAUCGUUCCAACACUUUCUCAAUAUACUUCUUUUGUGAUAGAAAGAGCGUCCCUUCUUUUCUAUCUCUCUGAAUCUCCAUUCCUAGAAUUUUCCUUCCAACUCCUAAGUCCUUCAUUUCAAACUCUGAGCUCAAUUGAGCUUUUAAGCUUUUUAUUUCUGACAUGUUCUUACAUGCGAUCAACAUGUCAUCAACAUAAAGAAGGAGAUAGAUAAAUGACUUAUUUGCCAGCUUCUUGUAGUAGACACAACUAUCAUGCUCACUUCUACAAUAGCCAUUUUCGAGCAUGAAGGUGUCAAACCGUCGAUACCACUGUCUAGAAGAUUGUUUUAAGCCAUAUAAGGAUUUCUUCAAUAAGCAAACAUGAUCUUCCUUCCCUUGAACUUCAAAUCCUUCAGGUUGUUUCAUAUAGAUUUGUUCCUCCAACUCACCAUGCAAGAAUGCUGUUUUGACAUCUAGUUGCUCAAGUUCCAUAUCAAAUUGAGCUACAAUGGCAAGUAGGAUGCGAAUAGAGCUAUGUUUUACCACAGGGGAGAAAACUUCAUUGAAAUCAAUUCCUUCUCUUUGUGUAAAACCUUUGGCCACUAAUCGCGCUUUGAAUCUUGCAUCUUCAACUCCAGGAAUUCCUUCCUUCUUCUUGAAGACCCAUUUGCAUCCAACAACCUUUUGAGACUUUGGUCGUUUCUCAAGAACCCAAGUAUGAUUCUUAUGAAGAGACUCAAUUUCCUCUCUCAUGGCAGAAAUCCAUUUGGAAGCCUCUUUAUUGUUGAUAGCUUCUUCAUAUGAUUGUGGCUCACAAUUGCUGAUAUCAUCAGCAACAUUUAGAGCAUAAGACACCAGAUCAGCAUAACCAUAUUUCUCAGGAGGUUUUAUAUGUCUCCUUUGCCUAUCCCUAGCCAACUGAUAAUGUUGCAAUUGGGAUACAUCACUACUAGUAGAUGCAUCAUGAACUUCUUCUUCUUGAUCAAAUGUAUUUUCCUUUGUUGGCUCCACCUCAAACUCCACCUUCUCCGAGAUACUAGGGUCUUUGUUUUCACUUGAAGACUCUUUAUGAGGCUUUAGCAUUUCAGCUUCAUUAAAAGUAACAUCCCUACUAAUAAUACAUUUUCUUUUCUCUGGCCACCAUAACUUAUAUCCUUUUACACCAUCAGGAUAUCCAAGAAAAAUGCAUUUCAAUGCUCUUGCAUCAUGUUUUCCUUCUUUGUUAUGAGCAAAUGCAGGGCAACCAAAUAUCCUCAAAUUAUCAUAAUUUUCAGGAACACCCGACCAUAUCUCUUCUGGAGUUUUAAAGUCAAUAGUUGUUGAUGGACAUUUGUUGAUCAAGUAACAAGUUGUAUUGACAACUUCCGCCCAGAAUUGUUUUGGCAAUCUCGCAUUUGACAACAUACACCUUGUCCUUUCAAGUAAGGUUCUGUUCAUCCGUUCUGCAAGUCCAUUUUGUUGAGGAGUGUGCCUCACAGUAUAAUGUCUGACAAUACCAUGAUCCUUGCAAAAGUUUCCGAAUUCUCUGCUACAAAACUCUAGGCCAUUGUCAGUUCUCAGUCGCUUGAUCUUCCUCCCAGUUUGCUUUUCGAUCAAGGUUUUCCACUGCUUGAACUUCACAAAUGCUUCACUUUUGUGUUUCAAAAUGAAGAUCCAAACCUUCCUUGAAUAAUCAUCAAUGAAAGUUAGCAUAUAUCUCCUACCACCAUGAGAAGGUACUUGGGAAGGACCCCACAAGUCAGAAUGUACAUAAUCCAACGUGCCUUUUGUUCGAUGAACUGCAUUGUUGAAUUUUAUUCGACAUUGCUUCCCAAAAAUGCAAUGUUCACAGAAGUCUACCUUCCCGACUUGUUGACCACAUAGCAAUCCUUGCUUGGCCAACUCGGCUAGGCCUCUUUCACUAACAUGACCCAUUCUUAGAUGCCACAAUUUGGUGACAUCAUAAUCACUUGUUGAUGAGACAGCAGCAACACCCGUGAUUGUGUUUCCUUGUAGCAUGUAGAGACUAUUCUUUUUCUUUCCUUUCAUUACAACCAUAGCGCCUUUAGAUAUUCUUAUAGCUCCACCUUCACCUUUGUAGCUAUAACCUUUUGAAUCUAGUGUUCCCAAGGAAAUCAGAUUUUUCUUCAAUUCUGGAACAUGCCUUACAUCUGUCAACGUCCUUACGAUUCCAUCGAACAUCUUGAUUCUAAUUGAGCCGAUGCCAAUGACCUUGCAGGGAGCAUUAUUUCCCAAAAGGACCUUGCCCCCAUCUAAGGGUUGGUAAGUUGAAAACCAAUCCUUAAUGGGACACAUGUGAUAUGAGCAUCCAGAAUCAAGUACCCAUUCAUCUUUUGAAUCGUGCUCUGAGACUAUUAGUGCAUCUGCACUAUCAUAGUCAUUUGCUACAGCUGCAUCUCCAUAUUCAUAAAUCUUUUCCUUGCCUUUGCGCUCUGGACAAUUCUUUCUUAUAUGACCUUCCUUAUGACAAUGAAAACAUUUAUACUUUCUAGGUUUCGCUUUAGACUUGGACCUAGAUUUCCCUCUUUCACCAAAUUGAUUUCGCCUCUCUGUUCUUCCUCUGGCAAAAAGACUAUCACCUGAGCCUUCAGAUCUCGAAUAUGAUACUCUUUUCUUCAGUUCUUUUGAGUGCAACGCCGCCUUUACUUCGUCUAAGGUCAGAUCUUCUCGACCAUACAUCAUGGUGUCGAUGAAGUGCUCAUAAGAACUUGGAAGGGAACAUAGUAGAAGAAUUGCUUGGUCUUCAUCUUCAAUUUUAACAUCAAUAUUCUUUAGAUCAAGAAUAAUUUUGUUAAAUUCAUCCAGAUGAUCUUUUAUGGGUUUUCCUUCCUGCAUUUUGAAGAGUAUAUAUUCUUUUCUUCAAAUACAGCUUGUUAGUGAGUGACUUCGUCAUGUACAGGCUUUCCAACUUCAACCAUAAUGAAGCAGUUGUAGUUUCAUCUGACACUUCUCGUAGAACUUCAUCUCCCAAGCACAACAAAAUUGCACUAUGUGCUUUUUCCAGGUUUUCAUCCUUCUCGUCCUCGGUCAGACUCUGUGGUAACUUGUUUCUACCUUCCAAGGCUUUUCCCAAGCCUUGAUAAACUAGUAGAGCUUUCAUCUUCAAUCGCUAUAGGUUGAAAUCAUUUUCUCCAUUAAAUUUCUCCAAAUCAAAUUUAGCACUUGCCAUGAUAACCGUAUACUGGAACAAUAUCGUAGUCCGUGAACAUACACCAGGAAAGCUCCCAAGAAAGAGAGGUAAGUCUUAACAGACACGCUUAAAUACCAGGUCUUUCCGUCCAUUUAUUCUUUUAUAUUUGUACCUUAAACUACACGACUUUUAUCCUAUUAUAUAUAUAGAUUUCUAACAUAUAGCACCUUGCUUGUGUUGCCUAAACUUUAUAAUAUACAUCCUCUUAUAAUAUAUGCCUGUCAAUAUAUAUUAUAUAAAUAUAAUGUUGAUGUGGAAGACACAUGGAGAAAAUAUAAUAGAGAAAAUGACACCGAGAAAUUAACGUGGUUCAGCAAUUUGCCUAUGUCCAAGAUUGAAGAGAAACAAUGAUUAUUAUCACUAUGAUAAAAGAGAAUUACAAGUUCACUCAAGUGUUUCACUCACUUCCCAAAACCCAAGUACACCAAAUAUCACUCGCUCUCAAGUAUAUCUUAAACACUAAAAUAUUCCUCACAAUAUUAGAACAAGAGAACAAGAGAGAAUAAGCACUAAAGCUAGAAUAUUGGUGUGUCUUACAAUGGUUUGGACCAUUCCUAUUUAUAGCCAAAGCCUUGAGGAUUGUAUAGCCAAAAAUAAAGAUGUUUCACCACAACUUCUUCUUCUCAUUGGCUACAAAAAAGGUUCCACUUUAGCCACUCAUUUUAUUUGGCCACAUCAUUCUCUUUUUCUUUUAAGCCAAUAUUUAAUACAAGUUAACUCUAAUAAAAUUGGGAUAAAUAAUGUCUAUUCCACAUUUAGUUCCUAAUCGCAGAAGAAUAAAAACACCAUUUUUAUUUAUGUAAAAAAUAAUGGUCUUAUCCCAAUAAUGAGAUAUUUUUUUUGUUUCCUUUAACCAAUUAAUUUAAAAAUUGCAUUGGGUUUGUUGUGUUGCAUUAUUCAUUUCUUUGUGUUAACAUUUCUAGGGAUAUUAUCCAAAAUAAAUGGAAUGGAAGAUAAAAAAUAAAUAAGAGAUAGAUGUAUUUGUUGUAAGAGAAGGUUUUCGAUUUUUAAUUAUACAAAUAACACUAUAUAGAUAAGCAGGUCACACUCAUUGGAAAUGUUAUAAACUUAUAGUUUAAUAAAACUAUGAUAAAGUAACUGAAAAAUAGUUAAAUGUAACAGAAUUUAUGGUGUGUAGGAUGAAUAAUAAUAAGCUAUAUGACAAACUAACUAAAAGAGAUUAUAAGUUAAAUGAUUAUAAAACAUAAAUCACUUUAAGGAAUUUCUUAAAUUGGGAUUUAAAACCCUUGGAUUUUUCUAUAAUGCCCUCUAUCUAAAUACAUCUACCAACUUAUUUUUUGAUUGAGUUAUAAUCAUCUCUCUUGCCACAUGCAUGAAAAUUUCGGCUUUCAAAAUCAACUAUUGAUGCAUGUAAAAAACGGGCAGCCUAGUGCCGGGGCUCCCACUUAGUGGGAUGAAUAGAGGUAGAUAUACGCAACCUUAUCUCACAAAAAGAGGUUGUUUCCAAAAUUUGAACUCGUGCCACUGAGCAACAACCUUAUCAUUGUGUGAAGCUAACCCUCUAAUAUAUAUAUAUAAGGUUCACAAUCCAAGAUAUAUAAGGUUCCGGAAUGUAAUGUUCAUAAAGCAGUCAAGAACACUGGAAUUUACAGCAGUAACUAACAAAAGCACCCUUCAGCAUUGAGAUACAAUAUUAUUAGAGGUACAUUCUUGGGGCAGCAUGGACAUUAGCUUUAUCAUUUGCACAUAAUAGAAGUAUAGUGAAGCAAUUCACUAAAUGCAAAAUCUAAUACAUUUUUGCAAGAUAGCUGCAUAACAUUUCAAUUCGCACGGUCUUUGAGCACUUCUAAAUCCAUUUCUGUGGGAUCGGUAGCCUGGAUUUCGUAAUGGACACCGUCUAGAUCACGUCUAAACCUGUCCUUAGACGUGGAAUAAAGCAUCUUGGCACGGAUGCGUGACGUGGAAGGAGACCUAAUCAAUAUCAUGCAAUGAAUAACUUAGAAUGUUAUCUCAAUGGCAGAAAUGAACUAAGAAGCACAUAGGUGAAAGCUGUUGUGAAUAAAUAACUUUGUCCUAACAUAAGGCACAGGAGUGAAAAAAUGCAGAAUUCAAAUCACAAGAAAAGGAGGAUGAAGUCUAACUUCAAAUGAUAUAUGGAAGUGGUAGCGAAGAUAAACCGAAACAUAUGACAUGGUUCAAUUAAUGGUGAGAGUAGCCAUGUUCAUCACAAUAGCAUUCCAUCGAGAAAUAAGCAGAACUUUAAAAAAACAUAAUGAGUUUUGUAGGAAUCUUACUCCUUCAGUAUCUACAAUAUUUCCUUUCAUUUGUUUGGUACCUGAACCCCAAAGGUUCAAAUUGAAGUUAAUAGCUAAUGCCCUCAAUUAGGUUCUGAACAAGCCUCAAGGCUUGAGAACAAAUCAGAUCCAAUGAUAGAAGAAAUAGAGAACAAAACCAAUAGUGAGCCAAAGAAUCGAUAUUUAUACUUAUUUUUGUGGAGAACAAGGUAGAUUAUAUCACGGAUGACUUGCGAGUUUAGUUGAGGUAAAGAUUUACGAUGAACAAGACUACCUUUCCCUUCAUGAGACCAUCAUCUUAUUUGAGGAUACUAAAAUUAUGACUCCAAUCUCCAUAAGUAGACCAUAUAUCUUAAUGAAGAUUCUGUGACUAGAGAAUGCACUUGCUACAGAAUAGCAGUGCCAAAAGCUUAAUCUCCUCAAAUUGCUUUUCUCUUAGAUAAGAUUCCAACAAAAAGAAAGGACAUAAACAAAUAGAGAUUAUUUAAAUUAGGUAUUCAUGAUGCUUACUCUUGUAGUCUUGUAUGGUUGAAUCUAUGUGUUGCGCUAAUUACAUCAGAUUAUUCCGUAUAAACAUAAGCACCGGUAGCAAGUAAAAUUUAUCUGCAACAAAUGCUUUGUUUGCCCUUAAAAUAUUAUUUCCCCUCAUCAAAUUGAUUUCUGAGAGCAGCAAACAGAUUGGAAUGUUGUAAUUUACAAGAACCCAGAUAAAAAUAUCGAAAUACUACAAAAUGCUGGGUUCACAAGAAUAGGCAACUCAAUCAAUGUAAAAGAAAUUGCAUCUAAACAAAAAAAGAGAAGAAACUUAGCACAAAAUAGUGAAAAAAUAAACAUAUGGUUUCAUGAAUACAGAACAUGCAAAUAAUGUCACUAAAGGCUAAAGCAUUGCAGCAUCAUGGCAUGGUGAGUUCGAGAACUGCAAAAAUAUGGAAGUAUGUGAAUCAUAUGUGCUGCAUGAUUUCCUUUGUUGCACGGAAUAUUGCAUAUCAUGUGCCACAUUUUACAAAUAUCACUAUCUACUCUGUCUAGUUGGAGCAACAAUGCUCUUAAAAUACAAAGUAAAUAGCUUUUCUUUUUACACACAAAUAUAUAUGCGUAUGAGAGAGAGAAAGAGAGGUGAGAUAAACUAACCACGCAAUGAAAAAGAUUUUACUCUUUUGACAGUUAUCAGAGGUGACAAAAUCAAAGUCGAAGACAGCAUAUCUGCAAUCGUUCGCAGGCAAUGAUGCAGCAAAAUCAUCAUAGCUCUCAGCUGGAGUACCGGUUUUCUCAACCACAACCUCCCUUUUAUUUUCAUCAAUCUUAAAGAUCACAUAGCGAUAGACCUUCUUUAGCUUCAAGUCCAUGAAUGUAUUUUGGCUGUGAUCAGCAACACCCAUGCCUGAUGAAGCAUUUGGCUGGAAACAAAAUGUAACCAAAUCAAAGAAACUCAUUCAAAAAAAAACUCGAAUGCUUGUUAUUGAGAAGCCAUGCAAGUUAUGUUGAUAGAGAUAUCAUUAGUUUUAGGAAAAUUAUUGUGACCUUCCUUGACAUUGUUCCAAAUGUUAAUCUGAUCUCCCCUUGAAGUCUAUGUUGUCAUUAUAUCACCCCUUCAAGAUUAUUUUAUAACUACACUUAUACCGCAUCUAAGUGUAAUUUAUUCAAAGAGCUUAUUUUAACUUUCCUUUACUUUUAACAUGACCCCUGCAGCUAUAUACAUGUCAAACUGUGUUUGUUCAAAUGGAAGGGCAUGAAUCCUAGGAUACAAAGUACAAUUCCAAGAUAUUUUUAUGCACACACAAAAAAUACUAUUUGAAGAUUACCCGCUUCGUUGUCUAACCAUAUUCAGCAGAUUAGUCUCCUGAUAUAGUCAGAUCAAUACUGAUGACAGGUUUUCCAGAAAUUACAUUAGUUGGCCAUAUUGAUUACAAAUUUGGAGUUGAAACAUAGAAAAUAUGGUUUCUCUAUAGACAUGAAUUAUGAUUACAAACUAAAACAUUAUAACGUUAUUUGAUCCAUGUAGCCGACUGAGAUUAAGACUAGGUUGCUAUUGUAGUUGUUUUUUUGGUAUAACCAAUGGUAUCCUUUCACCAUAGGGAUAAAAAAACUAAUCCUUUCGGGUGAUGCUGUAUUCCAACAAGUAUGGCUCAUAAAAAUCAAACUUUCGACCUUUUUGGUCUAUUUGAUGAUCUAGUGGGGCAUUAGCCAGAGCUCUGUUGGUUUAUUGUAGUUGUUUACCACAUGAUUACAAGUUUCUAAACUAACUAUUAAGCUGAGUAAUUCAUGGCUCAUUCUACAAUAGAAACUAAAACCACAACUAUAUGAUGAUGACUCUUCUCCAAUCAUGACCCACAAAAAAAAUUAGAAUUAGAAGUAAAAUUAUAGCAAAGUUGAAAUCUUUUCAGGAAUCUACAAACAACAAGAAGAUUAAUUUGAUUAUCAGGUGGAGAUAAUGAUGAUGGGUACUUGAAAUUGAAGUAAAAUGAACAAAAGUAUGAAAAUAUUAUUACCCGGUUGAGCCAUCUGAAAGACAUGGCAACACAAAGAGUAGAACAGAGAAAUGCAGAGAAAAAAUUGGUAACUUGGAUUUGAUCACAAUCACAACACAACGUUAAUCUAAAAGCAAACAUUAUUGGUUCUAUGUAUUUGUAUUUAAGAAUCAAUGUGCCGUGACGUCAUUGAAUUGCUAGGCACGAAUUUUAUAUUUUAUAAACUAUGAAUGCACUCAAAGUCUCAAAAUCCAUUAAUCAUGAUAAAUGCAAAAAUAAAAAGUAGGCACACGCAAAUCAUUUUUCCCCUCUUUUUACUUUCUGAAUAAAUUUGUGUAAUAUAGUUAUACACACAAUUUUUACAUAAAUAAUGAAUUAAAUAUAAAUUGACUAACAUAUGUUUACUUAGUGUUCAAAUAUUUUUACAAUCAAUUUCUCAUCAAAAAUUUGAUUUCAAUUCAAAUAAGUGAAGUAUAAAGAAGAAGAGAGAAUAGUAUAUUGAAAAUUGAAGAAAAUGGAAGGAUAAUAAUUUCAUCUUUAAAAGUUAGUUUAUAAUUAUAUAUUAUUUAAAUAAUUACGCGUACUUAUCUUUUUACUCUUUUCAAUUCAAAUAAAAUAUAAUGAUUUGUGGUAUUUAUUUUUAUUACUCAGAUUGUUCUAACUUCAGUUAAUUACAAUACUAUUUUCUCAUUCUAUAAUAUUUAUAUUUUUUCUUAAGAUAACAUAAUAUUUUUAUUCCUCUUAAUGAAGGAAAAUAAAUAAGAACUCUAAUUUUGAGAAUCCUCCACUCAAAUGACAGAUUAAAUUUAUGAGGACGGGACAGUGCGUUGCUGCAACGCUAUUGUGGUAUUCACAUCAAUCAUAUUAUGGUAUGUCACUUAAAAAAUUAAAUAUUCAUAAUUUUAUCAGUUUUAUUUCAUUGUGAUUAACUAGAGUACACUUGUGUGUACAGAUAUUUUGUGUCUGCCAACGAAUAUUGUGUGAUACUACAUAUUCAAUUUUUAUAUAUUUUAAAUUUUUGUUGAAUUAAAAUAUAUUUGUUGUGUUGGGUGUACUUUAUAUUAUAUUUUGUGUGUUUAUCAUAAUGUUUAAUUUAAUUUAAGGUGAGAUAUGUGGUUAAUUAAUGGAUUAGUGGUAAUUACUUAUGAUUAUAUAGUUUUUUUGUAAAAAUUAAACAAUGUGAAGGACAAAAUAGGAAAUAAAAAUUAUACCAUAAGGAAGUUAUUUCAAGUUUUAACGUGUAUAUAUAUAUAUAUAUAUAUAGUAUAAAUACAAUAUAAUUACCUAUUUAAAGUGAACCUUUUUUUGUACGUAGGAAAAGAAGGAUAGAACUAAGUUAACAACAACCCAAUUAACCUCGUUCUCUCCAUUGACAGUACCAAACAGGUAGCGUGUACAAAGUCUCAAGUUCACAAGUAAGACAUAUGUCAAUGGGCUCUGGUGCUGCUAUGCGCGAUACAUUUGUCUUCUUGGCUCAAGGAAAGCCUACAUCUCCCACACCACCAGACAUCUGAAAAUUGCAUGGAAACUUAAUGGUAAUUUUGAUAUGAUGGAUGUUGAGCAUGAGUAUUUUAUGGUGAAAUUUGACCUUGUUGUUGAUAGAGAAAAAGUCCUACAAGGAGGCCAUGGAUGAUUUUCGAUCAUUAUGUAGCAAUCACCCAUUGGCCACCUUAUUUUAAUUCAACAACAGCCACUGUCACGAAGACUUUGGUAUGGAUUCGACUUACAUGUUUGAAUAUGAUUUUUUAUGAUAAGAGUCUUCUUCUCCCCAUCGCAUCAACGAUUGGUCAGCCUUUUAAGAUUGACACCAAUAAGUUGAGGUUUGCGAGAGGUCGUUUUGCAAGGAUUUGUGUUGAAAUUGAUAGUAAGCCAGUGGUAGGUAAAGUUUGUAUCCAAGACAAUUGGCACAAAGGGGAGUAUGAAGGUUUGCAUAUUCUCUAUAGCUCUUGCGGUUGCUAUGGUCAUGUAUCUAGGAACUGCAAUAGUAUGUUACAACAACCAACUAAUGUGGAUGUCACGACCAAGGAGUCCCAAGUUGGUGGAGCAAGUGGCGGAAACCACCAUGGUGAAGGUACGUAGGUACGUCCACUGUCAGGCUAAACGAUGAGGCACCUACAGAAGAUUCUCAUGCAUUGAAUGGGGUAGUUAAUGUUGACAUUAAUGGAGGAUUACAAAAAAUUGAUGUGCAUGGGGAAAGAAGCCCAUGAAAACUAGCAAAGAUUCCAAUGUGAAAGCUAGCAAACUAUAUACUUGUGUCAUUAUGUAUGAUAGGUAUCUAAUAUGUUCACACAUAUUUUUUCCAAAAUACAGGAUACGUUAUGUUUAGGGAUAUGCGUAUAAAAGAAUAAAACACAUAAAAUAUGAUAAAAUUAUAAGUGUAAAUCAAAAUACCCAAAGUAAAAAAUAUAGUGGAAAUUUAAAAUCACUGCCAUCCGUGACAAAUCUAUCUUAUUCUAUUUUAAUGAAAACGAAUCUAUCCUAAAAUCAUUGCCUCUAUAACAAAUAUAUUUUAUCCUAUUUUAAUGAAAAUAAAUCUAUAUUAUCAUGUUUUAUUGGAAACGAAUCUAUCUUAUCUUGUUUUAUUGGAAACAAAUCUAUCUUAUCAUGUUUUAUUGGAAAUGAAUCUAACUUAUCUUGUUUUAUUAGAAACGAAUCUAUCUUAUCAUGUUUUAUUGGAAACGAAUCUAUAUAUUACUUUACUAAAAACGAAUCCAUGUAUCCUAUAUUUUAUUAAAAACGAAUCGAAUACGUGUCUUAAUAUUUAUUUAUUUUAUUUUAUUUUUUUAAUUUUUUGAUACUCUAUGGAUACAUAUCUUUCGCAAAUCCAAGCGUAUUCGUGUCAGAUACGUGUCGGACACCGACACGUGAGGGUGUUUGACGAAUCCAUGUUUCUAGCAGCAAGGAAUCACAAUCAAAACAUAACCGUUUUGAGGUUUCAAUGAUCGAAAAAUGGGAACUGAUUCCCUGGCUGUUCGUCCAGAUAAUAAGGCAGCAAAUGUUACACCCUUGGAGAAGAUUAUUAUGGGAAAUAAAAAAGGGCAAGAAUUAAUUCGCAUGCCACAAAAAAUGUUGCAUCAUUAAGAGGUGCGUUCCACGGCAAUGAAGAGGAAAAGGUGGGAGUUGAUAAUUUGCAUUCAAUGUCUCUUGUUAAUAGGCAUAUUAAUUUAGAAGGUGACGGCAAGGCAUUAAUUAGCCAUAAAGAAAUUAUUUCAUUGCCUAAUGCUCCUCCUUCACGUCUUGGUACAUUGGAUAUUAUUAAUAAUGCCACUAAUGGUGUUUCUCGGCUUGAUCAUUCAACUAAUAAUGGCACUAAUGCCAUGGGUGUGGCCAAGAACAAGGACGUCCUUCCUAUCGAUGAAGCGCAUCUUCAUUAUUUACUUCAAAGGAAUAUUUAUACAAGCUACAAAAAAUAAAAACUAACAACAGGAUCUCCUAGAAUAUCUCUAUUCACAAACUACUAUGCUAACAAUAGGAUAAGUACAAAUUCAAAAUAUACAGACUGUAACGUAACAAGUUACGGUUGGUGAGGCUUAUCACUAAUAUUCCCCCGCAAGUUGGACGAUUUGUAGAAUAGGUGCAACUUGGACAUGAGAAAUUCGAACUUAGCACGUGGUAACGGUUUUGUGAGUAUAUCAGCCAGCUGAUCUUCUGUGGAAACAUAUGAAACACGAAAAAUGCCUUUUUGAACCUGUUCACGUACAAAAUGAUACGCAAGAGCAAUAUGUUUCAUGCGAGAGUGAAAAACUGGAUUAGCACUAAGACUUGUGGCUCCUAGAUUGUCACAGUAGAUCACAGGUUUAGUGGUGAUGGUGUGCCCAAGUUCACCAAAGAGAGAGAUCACCCAUAGCAUCUCAGUUGCGGUGUCUGCGAGGGCUUUGUACUCAGAUUCUGUGGAUGAACGUGCGACUGAUCGUUGUUUGCGCGAACUCCAUGAGAUUGGUGUACUCCCAAGAUAAAGCAAAUAGCCCGUGGUUGACACAUAGUCGUCUGUAUCCCCGGCCCAAUCAGCGUCGGAAUAGGCAUGGAAAACCAUGGGAGAUGAAGCAGAAAUAUGAAUGCCAUGAUUUGGGGUACCCGCCAAAUAACGUAGAACUCUUUUGAGAGCUGACCAGUGAACCGUGGUUGGAGUUUGCAUGAAUUGAGAGAGUUUGUUUAUAGCAAAAGCAACGUCUGGUCUGGUUAUGCUGAGAUACUGCAGACUCCCCACUAGUUGUCGAUAUUCAGUUGGGGAAGGUAUAGGGGUGCCACUGGAACGAACUAGAGGAACCGAUGCACAAAGAGGAGUUGAUGUGGACUUGGUUUCAGCCAUGCCAGCCUGAACAAGCAAGUCUUGAACAUACUGUCUUUGUGUAAGAAACAGUCCAUCUGGAGACUUUAGUACCUCAACGCCAAGGAAAAAAUUGAGCUUGCCUAAGUCUUUCAAAGAGAACUUAGCAGCUAGACGAGAUAUAAGAGCAGAGAUGACAUUAGUUGAGUUACCUGUUACAAUAAUAUCAUCAACAUAGACUAACAAAUACAAUAUGGUUAGUCCAUGCCGAAAAAUGAAGAGGGAGGCAUCAGCAACUGAGUUCUUAAAUCCUAUGGAUAUUAGGAAGUUACGAAGCUCAUUAUACCAGGCACGUGGUGCCUGUUUGAGGCCAUACAAGGCUUUGCGGAGACGGCAAACAUGAGUGGGAUGAUCCUUAUCAACAAACCCUGGUGGCUGAUGUAUGAACACUUUGUCAGAUAGGGUACCCUGUAAAAAAGCAUUGUUGAUAUCUACUUGGCGAAGAGACCAGCCAUUAUGAACUGCAAGAGUGAGAAUAACCCGAACCGUCACGGGCUUGACAACAGGGCUGAAAGUUUCACUGAAAUCCCAUCCAGGACGUUGGUGAAAACCUUUUGCGACUAACCGAGCUUUAUACCGACUAAUAGAACCAUUAGGAAGACGUUUUAUGCGGAAUAUCCAUUUGCAACCAACAACAUUCUGGCCAACAGUGGAGGGUACGAGAUCCCAAGUAUGAUUGUGGCGAAGUGCAUCAUAUUCCAUUUGCAUGGCAGCCCGCCAAUCAGGAUCCUUAAGAGCUUGGGUAAUGGUGGAGGGUUCGGUUGGGUUUGGGGAGGCUGUGAUGUGUAAGUUUAGUUUGGAUUUAGGUUUGGUUAUAUUGUUUUUGGACCUAGUAACUAUUCCAGUAGGUAUAUGGGACGGUGGGGUGGGAAUUGUAGGGCGGUCAAGUGCAGGUGGGUGGGGUAAUGAUGAUUGGCUUGUUGCAGGUGGAUUGGUAUUCAGUGUUUGGCUAGGUGCAGGUGGGUUGGGGUCUGUUAGUUGGUGCGGUGCAGGUGGGUUGGGGUCUGUUGGUUGGUGCGGUAUUAAAGGGAGGGAGUUGUUGCAUAUUGGGACGGUGAGAUCAGGUGGGGACAGGUAUGGGUGCCGUAGGUAAUGUGUGGCUGUUUGAGAAAGGAAAUUCAGUGUCAAUGAACCUUACAUGUCGUGACACAUAUAUGCGGCCUGUAGAGGGAUCAAGACAGUUGUAGGCAUUUUGAUCAGCAGCAUAACCUACAAAAACACACUUGGUAGAUUUUGCAUCAAGUUUAUGAUUCGAAUAAGGUUUAAGCCAAGGAAAGCACAAACAUCCAAAACUCUUAAGCUUAAGAUAAUUAGGGGAUGUGUUUAGUAAUUUAGAAAAAGGUGAUUGGUAGGAAAGUAUGGGAGUGGGGAGACGAUUUAUGAGAUAAGCAGCUGUUGUCAUUGCAUAUGGCCAAUAUUUAAGAGGUACACCAGAGUGUGUUAAUAAAGAGAGACCAGUUUCAGCAAUAUGACGGUUCCGUCUUUCUGCAAUACCAUUAUGUUCAGGUGUGUGGGGUGGGGUUGUUUUGUGACUUAUUCCAUGAUCACCUAAAAACGAACGUAAGCCAAUAUACUCUCCGCCAUUAUCAGUAUAAAGAAUUUUUAUUUUGUUUUUGAAGUAAUUUUCAACAAGUGAUUUAAAUUUUGGAAAAAUGGAGUAAACAUCAGAUUUCUUGCGCAUUGGAUAUAGCCAAAUAUAACGUGUAAAAUGAUCAACAAACAUGCAAUAAUAUUUUAGACCAUCAAUGGAUAUAACUGGAGAAGUCCAAACAUCUGAAAAUAUUAUUUCUAAUGGAAAAGAUGAUACAAGAGAUGAUUCAUGAAAAGGUAGUUUGUGACUUUUACUUAUUUGACAAGAUGAGCAAUCUGAUUGUUUAAACUCCAAAGAACCUAAGGAAAAUUCACGUUGAAUAAAACUAAAAAUUGAAGAGGAGGGAUGUCCCAAUUUGUGGUGCCAGCCUGCUGAUUUAUUUAACUGAAGAUGAUGAACGGACGGAGAGUAUGAGGGCCAAACAUAAACAUCGUUGAUGCAUGAUCCUUUAAGCUUCGUGUGACAUGUUUGGAGAUCCUUCAUAACAAAAGAACCAGGUAAGAAAACAAGGGCAUAAUUGGUUUCUUUGGUUAGUUUGGAAACAGAUAGCACAUUUUGUUUCAUGGAGGGUACACAUAGGACAUUAUAUAAUGAAAUAUCAUUAAGCUUAAGAGUACCAGAAUGAGAAAUGUGCAAACCUGAACCAUCACCCAUAAAAAGUGAAUCAGGACCAGUGUAUGGAUGAUAAACCGCAAGAUUGUUGAGAUCAGUGGUGACAUGGUGUGUGGCACCACUAUCAACGAGAUAAUGAGGAUUUGAGGAGCCCAUGGUCAUGGUGUGAGCUUGUGGAACUGUGUAAUUGUUGGGUUGACGGGGUGGUGCUUGCGGAACCUGAAUGGUAGGAUGCAGUUGACGGAAAGUAGUGCACUGCUGCAAUGAGUGGCCAACAGUUCUGCACCAUUGGCAUUUGCCUAAAUAUGGCCUUGGACCUCCUGGACAAGAUGCGGAAGAUUGCUGUGAAGGUGCAUUCCACGAUGAAGGUGGUGGAGGAGAUGACCGUGGUUGAGGCGGUGUAAACGUCCUCACCUUGGGUUUGUUGGACUUAGUUUGAGCAGUAAGUGCUGUUGCUGGACCAAUGUUUAGCUGGUGAGUUGUCUUUAAAUAAAGUUCGUGAUGUAUGAGCUUCUCGUGGAGCUCAUCAAAGACAAUGGGAUUGUCUCUUGCGUUAACACCAUCAAUAAUGGGCUUGUAACUGUCAUCAAGACCACGAAGUACAUAAUCAGUAAUAUCCUCAGCGGGAACGGGGUGACCAAUGGAUGCAAGUAGAUCAACAACAAUUUUAAUGUUGUGCAUGAACUCCGUAACAGAUAAAGGUCCUUUCACCGUGGAACGCAAGCGAUCUUUGAGUUGCUUAACAUGUCCUUGGGAAGCAUGGGCAAAAGUACCUUUGAGAGUCGACCAGAGGGCAGCGGAGGUUUUGGUCUGAGUAACCAGCGAUGCAACGGAGUCUGAUAGCGUGCUAAGGAGAGCGCCAUAGAUCAGACGAUCUUGACGUUUCCAUGUUAGGUACGCUGGGUUGUUUUGGCUCACAGGUGGGGUCUCAAUGCUGGUGAUGAGAGCCUCGGGUGCUGGAUGAGAGCCAUCGAGAAACUUGUAGAGAUCAAGACCAUCAAGAAUGGCUUCUAUUUGCAGCUGCCAAUUUAUAUAAUUGGAUUGUGUCAGUUUGACAACACCUGAUAAAGUAACAAAGGAGAAGGGCUUUGUUGGUUCAUGGGGGUUAGGGAAUGUCAAGUUUGAUUCCGCAGCCAUGCUUAUGGUGAGAGAGAAAGAGGGAGCGACGCCCUUGAGAUAGAAAGAAAAGGAAUGGUGGGAGAGGUAGGAUCAGAAAAGGAAAUCUGAUACCAUAUGGAUGAAGCGCAUCUUCAUUAUUUACUUCAAAGGAAUAUUUAUACAAGCUACAAAAGAUAAAAGCUAACAACAGGAUCUCCUAGAAUAUCUCUAUUCACAAACUACUAUGCUAACAAUUAGCUAACAAUAGGAUAAGUACAAAUUCAAAAUAUACAGACUGUAACGUAACAAGUUACGGUUGGUGAGGCUUAUCACUAAUACUUCCCCCUCAGUAAGAGCUCCAUCAUCCAGGUUCGGGUAGUGAUGUUUUGUGGGUUGAAAAUCCACCAAAUUGUACGUUGGUGGAUGGCUGCGCUUUUUCUAAAAAAGACUCGAUGCUUAUGGAGAAUGAGACGUAUGGCUUAAUGAAGGAGGGUGAGAAAGGUGACACCAAGCUUGUUGUUCAGGAAGGGGGUAAUUUUUCCAUGGGUUGCCAUUAGUUCGGUUUGUUUGCCGGGUCUUUGCUUUUACUGCUUUUUUAAUGAUAGAGUUCAAAGAUUUUUCAAUUUUAUCGUGGAACAUUCGUGGAGCCGUCAAUUAGGAUGGUCACCGUCUUGCUAGGGAAUUAGUGAGAAAGUAUAAGCCUUCUCUAAUUUUUCUCAUUGAGACUCAAUGUCAUUUUAACAGAUCUAAAGAUUUUUGGAAGAAGUUGGGUUACAAGGAUAGUGAUAUUGUUGAAGCUGUUAGGCAUGCUGGUGGCAUUUGGGUCCUUUCUGAAAUUGGGAGUAACAUUAGCUGCUUGGUUAUGAACCGUUGUUCUCAAGUCAUUUCCUCGAAACUUCAUUGUGACAAUAAGGAGUGGAUUUGUACAGCUGUUUAUGUGAGCCCAUCAAGUAUGAUCGUGGUUUGUUGUGGCAGCUAGAUUCUCUUUAAUUAUAACGGGGCAGCUAGAUUCUCCCAUGUUCUUGAGGUUUGUGGCCUUAUGGACUUAGGUGCUGUUGGAAGUAGGUAUACUUGGUUUAGAAGGGAGCAUAAUGGUCGUAGUAUCUCUAAUAGGCUUGAUAGGGGGUUGGCUAACUGUUCCUGGCGUACUGCUUUUCCGGAAGGGUACGUGGAGAAUCUUACUAAGCUUCACUUUGAUCAUUGCCCUCUCCUAGUUAGAUGUGGGGGUUAUGGUGAGAGUUCUCGCAAUAGACCGUUUCGUUUCCAAGCAACUUGGACAACCCAUGAGGAAUUUAUCAAUGUUGUCCAGGAAGCUUGGGCUCAAGGGGAGUUGGGAGUUAUUGAUGGGCUUUCAAGGGUUAGAGAUGGGGCUAUUACUUUUAAUAAAGAGAUAUUUGGAAUAUUUUCCGAAGAAAAAGGCAUGUUGAGGCUCGAAUUUCAGGUAUUCAAAGGAGACUUGAAGUUUUUGAUUACCAGGAUCUGGUUAGACUGGAAAUCCAAUUGAGGCGUGAGUACAAUAAAAUCCCGAGGCAAGAGGAACUCUUGUGGUUUCAGAAAUGUAGAGAGCAAUAGGUGAAAUUUGGAGAUAGAAAUACUAAGUUCUUCCACACUCAAACUAUUGUACGACGUAAAAUAAAUAGAAUACACGGGCUAUUUUUUGAUGAUGGAAUUUGGUACAUUGAUCCUGAGUUGUUCCAGAAUGAAGCUAACAGGUACUUUCAGAAUAUUUUCUGCAGCAAUGCUUCUGUUUUCCUUGAUAAGUGCGUGGUGGAGACUCCAGUUCUUUCAAAUAGUGGAGUGGAGAGUUUAAUUGCUCUGGUCACUAUGGAGGAAGUUACUAAAGUAAUUAUGGGUAUGCCUUCAUUCAAAUCCCCUGGUCCUGAUGGUUUCCAGCCAAUCUUUUUCAAGAAGUAUUGGCCUGUGGUGGGCAAUAUUAUUUGGAAGUUGGUUUCUGAGGCUUUUCAAUUUGGCAUUUCUGAUGUGCGCCUUGUUCAGACUCUUAUCGUGUUGAUUCCCAAAAUUGCUAAUCCUACAUCUUUAAAGGAGCUUCGACCCAUAAGCCUUUGUAAUGUGGUGUAUAAGGUUAUUACUAAAGUAUUGGUGAAUAGAUUGAGAUCUUACUUGGAUGAUCUGAUCGGCCCCCUUUAGAGUAGCUUCAUUUCGGGGAGAUGCACUUCUGAUAAUAUUAUUUUAGCUCAGGAAGUUAUGCAUUAUAUCCAUAAAACGAAGGCUAAGAAGGGUGUUAUGACCUUUAAAAUGGAUCUAGAAAAAGCUUAUGAUAUGGUUAAUUGCGAUUUCCUUCACCAAACUCUUGUACAAUUCGGAUUUCCUACUAUUACCGUUAAGCUCAUCAUGUGGUGUAUCACUCUAUGGGGAGGUGUCCUUAUUGUGGAAUGGCUCCAAGCUUGAUAGUUUUAAGCCAAGCAGAGGCCUACGUCAAGGCGAUCCUUUGUCCCCUUAUCUUUUUGUCUUGUGUAUGGAAAAAUUAGCUUUAUUGCUCACUAAGAAAGUGGACCUCGGGAUGUGGCAGCCUAUUAAGCUUUCUAGAGGAGGCCCACCUCUAUCUCAUAUUUUGUUUGCAGAUGAUGUUCUCCUUUUUUGUAAGGCUACAAAAUCCCAAGGCAUGAUGGUUUCUUCUACUCUAAAGGAAUUUUGUCAAGCGUCUAGGUUGAAGGUUAAUAAAGCCAAGUCCAAGUUUGUGUGUUCAAGGAAGGUGUCUAAUCAAAAGAAGAAUGCUUUCAUGGGUAUUUGUUCGAUGCGAGUGGAUAGUAAUCUUGGAAAUUACCUUGGUAUUCUUCUUGUUAUAGGUAAGGUCAACAUAUCUAUUUUUAAUCCUAUUUUAGAUAAUAUUCUGCGUCACAUGUCUACUUGGAAGGCAAGUCUUUUUAACAAAGCAGGCAGACUUUGACUUGCUAAGUCUGUUCUUUCUUCCAUCCCGGCACACUAUGCAGGUAAUGUGGCUUCCUCAUAGUGUCUGCAGUGAUAUUGAUAGGAUGACUAUGAACUUUCUUUGGGGUGGUGAUGUUAAUAAGCGCAACCUCAAUCUUGUCGGGUGGGAUGUCAUCUCUACCCAUAAAAGCGAUGGUGGUCUGGGCAUAAGGGAUGCUCGGUUUGCUAAUAUUUCUUUGCUAGGCAAGCUGAGCUGGAAUUUACUCGGGAAUAAUGAUAAAUUAUGGUAUAGGGUUCUUUCCGAUAAGUAUUUGGGGGAAGAGUCUUUGAUGUUUGCUCAAGUUAAAUCUUCAACUUCCUUUGUUUGGAGAAGUUUGUUGAAGGCUUUUAACCUUCUAAGGGAAGGCUUCAAUAUGCACUUGGGUGAAGGAAACAAGUCUCUUUGGUAUGAUAAUUGGAUGGGUGGUGCCAAGUUAUGUAAUUUCAUCCACUUGGGUUUUGAUACUCAGCUUUAAGUGAAGGAUAUUUGGCAAGACUACUCUUGGGACUUGAGUAGUUUAUAUACUAUGCUCCUUUUAGAGGUGAAUGAUCUUAUACGAUAGUACUUCUCUCCAAGAACGCAGGUUGAGGAUGAGGGAUGGAUUUGGGAUGGUCAUGCUUCUGGGGUGUAGUCAGCUAUCUUAGGCUAUCAGUGGCUUAGCUCAAGUGAUAAUGACGUUGGCACCAAUGAUAAAGUUUGGCAGUAGAUUUGACGUCUUAAAAUCCCUGAGAAGGUGAAAUUUAUGUGUUGGCUUGGAAUGCAUGACGCUCUACCUUCCAAUGAACUUCGUUUCAAACGAAAGUUAGCUUCUGAUCCUCUUUGCAAACAAUGCCAGGGUGGUGUGGAGAACCUAUUGCAUAUCCUUAGAGAUUGUCUGGAGUCCUCUCUUCUUUGGGAUAUGCUUGGUUUGACUACUAGUUCCUUCAUGAGGAGGCAUUCCUUCAAGUUCUGGAUUAUGGAGAACUACAAUCAUCAUUUUGGGCUUUUGUUCAUGGCAGGUGUAUGGUGGGCUUGGCAGUGGUGUAAUGAGGUAUACCUUGGUUUAAACAAUUAGGAUGUUAACUUUGUUGCUCGUCAUGUCCACCUGGAUUUCUAUGAUUGGCAUCAUAUUGGCCACCUUGAGAACAUAACUGACAAUUUCACUUUGUUCCAGUGGACCUAUCCACUUGUGGGCCAAGUGAAAAUCAAUGUGGAUGAGAGUUGUAUCAUUCAUAGUGGUAUUAUUGGUGGAGGUGGAGCAAUUCGUGAUCAUGAAGGGAGGUGGUUGGUUGGGUUCUCAGCAAAUUUUGGCAGAGGCACUCCGAUUUUAGCUGAGCUCUUGGCUAUUGAUCAAAGUCUGAAUCUUGCAUGGAGUCAUGGUUUCAAAAAUAUCAUCCUUGAAACUGACUGUCUGGAAGGAGUUCACAUUUUUCCAGAGGGUGUGCAUAUAUUCCUUCAAGAUAUUUUGCAAGUGGUGAGGAAGAUUCGAGCGUGGAUUGCUCUAGAUUGGGUUGUCGUUAUUAAGCAUAUAGAUCAGGAAGCUAACAGUGUGGCUGGUUCUCUAGCUAAGAUUGGAUCUCACUCAUCUGCUAAUCUCGUGGUGUGGAGUUUGGCUCCUUUGGAGUGUCAAAUGCAGCUUCAUCUUGAUCGUUGCCCCUCUGACUAGUUUGUUCUCUUUUAUUUCUGAUGUACAAAAAAAAACUAAGUUAACAAGGAAAAAUAUAACUACGAUAUUAGUUAAGAGUUUGUUGGGGUUGAGUCCUAAACCUUCAGCUCUUCCAAUGAGAGAGAAACUAAUUUAGCCAUAAAAUUUGCAACUAUAUUAACGUUUCUCGUAACAAAUGAUACUUGACGAACCAAAAAAGAGCCUAUCAAAAUCUAACAUUAUUAUCACAUAUAGAAAGCAAAUAAUCUGAAUUUGAAUCUCCUUAGAAAUCAACUUAACAACUUCCAACUAGUCACUUUCCAAAAUCACAUCCUGAAACCAAAACUCGAAGCCAAAGACAACCCAUUUUCUAUAGCAAAAAAUUCUACUAAAAUUGAGGACACUUUACCAUAAUUACAAAGAAAAACCCGACAUCCACAACCUUAUGACCGCUAAGGACACCACCCUUCCCAUUAUAGUGUGAACUGUUUACAGUUGUUUUAAAAAUAUCACUAAUCUAAAUGUUAUAUUUUUUUCAUUUCAUUACUAUAUUCCUUAUUCAUUACCAACAAGGAGAGAAUGUAUCGCUAACAUACAAAUGUACGGAUAAUAUAUACAUUUUUAAUAAUGUCAAUACAUGAGUAAUAAAUAUCUUUUAAAUUAUUAAAAUAUUAAAAUACAUACAUAACAUGUAGUUUCUUAAGCACUUGAAUUUGCAGGUAAAAUAUAUCUUCUUAAUCAGGUAAAUGCUGAUAUAAUAUUUAUAUUCUUAAUCAUUUAAAAAAAAUACCGCUAUGUGUGAAUACAUCUUAAUUUGCUAGUUUUUAUGAAACAUUAUCAAUUUGAUAAAGUAUUAGGACUACUUGCUGCUAUAAAAGACAAUUAUCCACCGUCCAUGGGUCCCACUACUUUUCACCCAUUCAUGCCCAUUCUGAUCGAAUCGCCGCGUCAUUUAUCUCUUCUCCUACGACGUCGUUUAUUCGUUCUUAAGCAUAUUAUAUUGGUGCUGACUUGGCGUAACAUGAUUGGUUAAUGAAACUGGUUGCAAAAUAACUGAAUGCACAAGAACGCUUCGAAAACAAUCGCACACUUUCAGCCCUAGAAGAGGAAAAUUGGGGAUUUAGGGUUUAUAUUUUCCUUCAUUUUUUCACGCGAAAAUGGAAUCGGAAGGUUAGGCCUUCAAAUCUUCAAUAAAUGGUUCUUUGAUUCAACUCAAUUUUUGUUAUUUGAAACAAUAAUGCAGUAUGUUUGAUUUUUUUACGCUUUAUCAUGUUUUAGGGCAAAAAGGUACCAUGAAUCCUUCAGCAAUGUUAGCUUCUCUUCUUAGUAGGAGAGCUAAACUUCACGAGGAACUUCGCAGCAUUGAAAAGCAGGUAAUUGUUUUUUUAAUUUCACAUCAGGGUUCGUUUAUUUGCUUCGAAUUUGUCCGUGUAUGAAAAAAGUUGAAAACCCUAAAAAAGGGGUUUUCUCUUAAUUUAUGCAAUUCCAUAUAAUAAAUUUGGAAAAUAUCAUUUAGCCUAAAAUUGGGCACGUCACUAGCUCAAUAUUAUCACUUAUGUUUCUUGUUGAACUAGGCAUGCAGAAAAUGAUGCACUUUGGGUUCAAUAUAUUAUAUUAUAUCAUCAUAAGCUUAAAUUACGUGUUUAUGUUCACCAACAUGAAAUGAAAUAAUGAAGUAAAGCUCCUAUUAAGGACUCCACAGUCCAACAUGACUUCUAGCAAAAGGGGGCUAAUGUUUUCCCCUUAAUACAGGUUUAUGAUAUGGAGACAAGUUAUUUACAGGAUCCUGGACAAUGUGGCAAUGUAUUAAAAGGAUUUGAAGGGUUCCUAUCUUCAUCAAAGAACACUGCAUUGUAUGGGUUUUUUCUCAGGCUUAAUUGUUCAGUUCUUCUGUUGCUUUUAUUUUUGUAAGAGUUAUUUUAUUUAAUUUUUUUAUGGUGCAAUUCAAAACUUAAGAGAAUUUAAAACUGGAAAUUAAAUUACAUCAAUGCAAUUCUGUCCAAUUUUGUAAUUCAAAGUCUAAAUAUGUAAAAAUGAACAUGAAAUCAGUCAUUCUUUAUACUGUAAUUCAAGACUAGGAAAUUUUUAGCACACAACAUAGUAUACUUCACCGUUAACCCAUCAUGGCAUGUGAAGAACUUCAUUGCAUUCUAGUGCUGCCAUUGCCCCACCAUAUAGCAACUUUGUCUCUCUUGACCCCUCUCACCCUCUCCUUUGAUGACACUAUGAUUUGAAUGCCUAAUUACAUUUACAAUUGCUUCCCCUUUAUGUGGUCCAAUCCAAUCAUCCCUCUUGGUCGAAGGGACCUAAUUAUAUUUACAACUGCUUCCCCUUUAUGUGGUGCCAUCUUCCCUCUUGGUCUAAGGGAGACAUUAACAUGAAUCUAUGAACCUGUAACCAUUCCUCUUGGUCAAAAGGAAGCAUCUGUGUGGAUCUCUGAACCUUUUGAUCUCUACCUAUGCUGCAUCGAUGUGGUCAACAGAGACAUCAACGUCAAUAGAGAAUUGUCCUCUACAGAGUAGCUGCCAUAGCCAGAUAAAGUCUCCUCUACAUGCUGGUGGUUGGUGGCAGUGACGUUCCAAUCAUGUUCCUUCUGUGGUGUUUCGGGAGAGGAGUUAGAUGAGGGAUUUCCUAAAUUUCCUCAAUAGAGGUGUCAUUUCUAGUUCUCUGUUUAGGGUUACAAAAAAUACCCAAUGAAAAUUCCCAACAUUUAUUAAAUUCUUCCAUUUAAUAUCCAAACAAAGUAGUCUAUACAAAAUCAUUUUAGUUCCCCUCAAUAGAUGCAUUACCUCCUUUGAAUAACUUAUCCAAGCACUCUCAUAUUUUCUGAUGAUUCUAAGGAAAAUGGGAAGAGUAAUGGCAUCUUAGUAGUUAAUCCUAUUGGGAUCCAUGGCUUUCUCGGGACCGCAUCCCGACAAAUGGCAUUGCUAGGAUGCAAUACUGUCCGGUAUCCCAGUUCACUGUCGUGGCUGUCUCAUGCUGUUAUCCCAGCUGCUAUGGCUUUUUUGCGGCAGGAUCUCACUGCAACAGGCAUAUAGUGAAAUCCAUGUCCCCCCUCAUUUUCAAACCCCUUUCUCCUUUGUUUUUGGACCCAAUCAUCUUUUCUCCCCCAACCCUAAUUCAUUCUAACGGCUCAGGGGUGAUCAGCUUUCAUGCCAUUCAACCAAACACUGCUCUAACAAUUCUCAGCUCUCAACUUUCAUAACUUUUUUUAAUGCCAUUUCCCAUUCUUCUUCUGGAACCCAUUCUCAUCUCAGUUUUAACCAUGCCACCCAUUUUGAUCUAUAAUUUUUAUAUGCGCUAUAUUGGAUUUUAGUUAUCUUUAAUUGUGAAUUUUCCUAUUUUUGACCAUUUAUAUGUCUAUAUACUUAUUUAGUUUCCCUGGAUGUCCAAAUCCCAGCCACCCAGCUAGCCACUAUCCCAUUUUUGGGGUCGGACACUCUGCUAAGUGAAUGGUCUGUUAUAUGUGGUCAUAAUUCAUAUUAUUAGGUAUCUAUUCAGGUCUUUUGUAAUUUUGAUAUUAAUGGCUGUAGGAAAUCUAACUCAUAAGAUUUGCUAUGAAUAUUGAUUACUACAAUGCCUCAUAAAUUGUAUCUCGCUGGGUGUUUCCCAAAUGCAUUAGUAAUUGGGUCUUAUUAAGACUUCAGAUGAUGAACUACAGAAGUAGAAUUGUUUGAAAUACUCCGAAACAAGAGGAGUUCAAAGAGUUUUGCUCAAAGCGCGAUGGAGUUUUCAACGGUUGUCUUGUAUAUCUAUGUUCUAUGUUAAAAUGAAUAGUAUUUACUGGUCUUAUGCAUCUAUUCAUCUUAAGUAGAUGACAUGCUGAUUUAUUAUUCAUUAUGGAUGUUUGUCUUUGUGUAAGCAUGCUUGCAUGUGUUCAUGUAUUUCAAAUGAGAUAUACAUUUAAUCAUAGUUUUUCUAAAGCUUCAUGUUCAUGUUUGUAUGACCUUGUUAAAUUUAAUUCUCAUGGCAGCUUGAAGCGAUCAAGAAAGUUUCAGCCCGAAGAUAGGCUCUUUUCAUUAUCUUCAGUGACCUCGCCAGCGGUGUGUUUCUGAUAUUCAGUGAUAAGCUUCAAUCCAAGAAUAUAAAAAAGAAUAUCUGCUUGUGAGCACUGAGUAAUAAGAGUGACUAGGAAUAAUUAAAUAUAUCUUCACACUGUUUGUUUCUUUUUCAAGUUUCACAUCCUUAUUAUGAGUGGUCAAAUUGAUUUAAUGACCUUUGUGACCGUUUAGCAUGUUAAUUUUCGAUUUGGAUUCAGUGACUUUGAAGGUUGGUAACUUUGGUGACUUUAGAUCAAUUUAGAACAUAAUUAAUAAAUCUUAAUUGACCUAGAUCAAUCUUACAGACAAUUGACCAAGAUCAAAUUGUGAAGUCCCUAAAUCCGGGAUUUGGUCAAUUGAGUUCAAGAAUGGCCAAUGUGUUUCGACUUGGUCUAAAGUCACCAAAGUCACUGAAUAUAUUCCUGCUAAUUUCUAGGUAGGUUGGUAAGACUGAUUGAAGCAGAUUGGAGGCAAGAGUUUCCAACACUAUUGAAUAACAGUACAUCCAUUAUUCUUUGCCACCUUCUCUAAAAGGCACACGGCACACAUGUAAUGGAAAAGUUCAUUUAGGAAGUUUGACAAAGAAUGCUUGAUCUGAAUGUACCAUUUUAAUCAUUUUGGAACAUAAAACAGUCAGAGGUUACCUCAGUUAUAUGAUUGAUCUAUAUUUGGUAUUUGAUACAAGUAGUACUUGAAAUAUCUUGGUCAUAUACGGUUCGCAAGUCUACUUCGUAUUGGCAUAGGAGAAAUUAGUUCUGAGAUUAGGCAGGUCCUGUCAUUUGAUUUGAACUUCGCCAGAUGGUAGGUAUUACCGCAUUUGAUUAAGGAACUGUAACAACUUUUUUGUGGUGGAUAGUAUACAUCUGAGUUUCAAGUUGCUUAAACCUAGCUCUUCAACUCAGGAUCCUUUACUGGACAUGAUUCUAUCAUGCUCUUAAAACCUCUUCUCUGCUUUACUUUUCAUUCUUCCAAUUCAUUUAAUAAGUGUUUGCAACAUCAUCUUUUCAUUCAUAGGAUAUUUCUGACUUGUAACAUGCAUUUUCUUCAUCUGUUUAUUAUAGGCAGAAGAGAUAGCAGCUGGACGAGAUGGUGAGUUCAUAUAAAUGAGCAUUGCAACAACUUACCUAGCUUGAGUUUUAUUGUCUGUUCAUUGUAUUUCUGUUUAACUCAGAUGGGAGAUCAGAUUUUGGUCCUGGUCGUUCAAAAGGCGGAGGAAUUUAUGCAAAUGGACAGUAAGCACUCAACCAAUGUGUCUCUGCUAUAAUCUUGUUGAAUUAAAUAUUAUUUUAGUUUAGAGAAGCCUGUUUCUACGAAUUGUUGCAAAUAUGCAUGCAAUACAUGUUGUAUGAGCUAAAAAAACUGCAUAUUUAUAAUAGGGGUAAACCAAAGAAAGGAAGAGGCGCACCAAGAGAUGCGAAGAGGAUGAGAGCCUCAAGCGAACAAGAUUUUGAUUAUGAAGAUGAUCCUGAUUUGACACUGUGAUUGAAAAAUGUGGGUGCAAAUUUCUGUUAAACUUUGUGGAAUGCUAGAGCUUGAAAAAAUCUGCUUUCAUUAUGUACGGAGCGCAGUUUGUGCUCUGCAUUUGUCUACUUUCUCUGUAUAAAUUCUUCUAGUUCAGGUAGUUGUGGAUUUUGUACUUCUCAUGUACAAAAGGCAUGGGUAAAAUGUUAUGUUGCAAUGCAACUGGAAUGUAGUAAAUGGUUCUUUGUACAUUUUUGUUGGCAAGUCAAGAUUGUUAUAGAUUUGUUUUUUUCUUAUAUGAUUUGGUAGUAAUACUGUAAACUUGUAACAAGAAAAAUGAAGUCUGCUAUUUUACUAUGGACUUAUAGUUUUUGAAAUUUAUUUUUCCAGUUGUUUGUGUAUGUGGUAUGAAUCCUUCCAAAUACUUAAUUCUGAUCUUUAAAGGUUCUGAUUUUUAAUUAUGCCAAACAGUUAAUUUACACAUUUUCCCUACUUUUCUCUGCUCAAACCUUUGCCCACCCGCACCUUUAAUACAUAUUGUUGUCAUCAUUGUACUUAAAAGAAAAAGAAUGUAUAUACUAACCGUAUAUGGAAUUUAUGUAUUAUUAUUUAUUAUCUAUCAUUUAUAUUUAAUUAUUAUUAAUUCUUAAUGUAGUGCUUAUAUAUAAUUUUUUAGAUUAACGGUGUGUAUAUAUUAGCAAAGGAUGGCAUUAUUCAAGUGACUGUAGUGAUACCAAUGAUCAUAAAUUCAUAAUAGGAGAAGUGGUGGUAGUUUUGCGGAUAAUAUUGCAUUGAUAAAGAUUUUUGGUCUGAAGUUCUUUCAUCUUAUAAGUCCAACGAGACAAGUAAUUUACAUGACAUUGACUCUUAGUAUGAUAUUUACCCCAUAGUUGAGGAAUUAUUAGAAAAAUUGUAACCGUAGCCUGUUCUUCUAUUUGUUUUAUUUUACAAAGGUGAUAAAGGACUUUGAAAAUUUUCCUUUAUUCAAACUAUCAAAAUACUAAUUUAAUUUAGUCCAAUCCUAAUGAGAUUUUGUAACCUUUUUUUUGGGGGAGAGGGAAAAAGUUAUUUAUAACCUGAUUAUUAUGUAAAAAUGUAAAAUAAUUACUAAAGAACAAUUUGACUAUCAUUCGCGAUUUUUAAAGAUUAAACUAAGACAUUUUAUUUUCCGUUUUUGGUCUUUAUUGAAAGUUAUAACUUUUUUAUACUGAAGUUAAAUUCCCCCACUCUAUUCCUUCUCUAUACUAUUUUGGGAAUUGAAAUCCCUAUGUUUGAUUGAGUUGAAAAAUGAAUGAAGUAAUGAACCGGUGGAAAAGCUCAAUUUUAGGUUAAAAAUGCUAUUACUUUGCUUAUAAUCUUUAAUAGUUAUAAAGCAUAGGAUGGGUACAUUUCACAAUAAAUUUACCACAGCUUACAGUUUUGAACAAAGUAAAUAUAGAAAGAUCAAAAAUUGAGCAAACCAUAAGAACAACAACUAACAUUUAACAAUGGUGCAACAUUUAACAUUUAACUUGUGAUUUUAUCUCUUUUUUGAAAUUAAUUUAAAGAGGUCACCACCUAAUUUUCUACUUCGACUAAAAACUAACCCUUAAAUCCCGACUUUAAAAGCAUAUUUUGCACUAAUAUUAAUGAAGUAAGGAUCCUAUUUAAUGGGAUAAAAAAGUGAUAGGAAAAAUAACAUACUAUGAUAUUUUUAUCAUUUUAUUACAAUUGUAUUACACUUUUACUGCAAACAAAAGCAAAAAUAAGAUCUUCUCUAGAUAGAAUCCUUGUUGGUAUUUAGUGUAGCUUCUAGAUUUAAUGCAUAUUUUGUACUAAUAUUAGUGUAGCUUCUAGAUUUAAUGUUUGUCUUUUUUUACUAUAUAGGAAAAACAAUAAGGUUACACAAUGAUUAGCCAAAUGGGCAAUGCAAUCUCUUGUAGCUAGGGUUUGACUUGAUAACUCCAUACUUCAUUUCUUAAACCACAUGAAUAUAUUCUCAUAUCUAACACAUUAUAAUACGAACAAAUUAAUCUUCCACAGUCAAAUAAAGAUAACCCCGAAAUAGAAAAUAUACCUUUUAAGUCAAGAUAAAAAUUACCCACAUAACAUAAGAAAAACAAAAGAUGUUGACAAAACUUCAAAAGUCUUGUAUAUAUUAUUAAGCCGAUUGUACAACAUCAUAUAAGGAGGCUCAAAGUAUACAAGGAUACUUUAUUAUUACACCUUAUACCAAAGUUCUAAACAUCAAAAACUUAUUGGAUCAUAAGAUGAGGCCACCUUAGUUUACACCAUUAUUAUGUUAUCAUGCCACCUUAACAAGGUUGUGAUCCUGAGACUGAGAUUGAGGAGUAACCAAAGGGUUAUGGUUUCCAUUAUAUUUGAGCUCACUCACUUGAUUCAAGCUGAGCCUAAAAGCAUUGGCAAGAACCUCAGCAGGGAUGCCCCUAAACACUUGCUUCAAUGGGCUAGUGGUAGCUUGGUCAUUUGUUUUGAAUGCAAUGAACUCAAAUCCUUCAUCUCCUGCUUGGUGUGCUACCACAAAGUUUUGUGGCACCACUAAUAGUUGUCCCCUUCUAAGGUCAUCAUUGAACACUGAGUUUCCUUGGCUGUUUACCACUUGAACCCUUCCUCUCCCUCUUAUCACAUAGAUCACACUGUUUGCAUUUAUGUUCCAGUGUGGAGCAUAUAUCCCAUUCUGCAUGUACAUGCAGACAAUACAUAAUAAUAUCAUGUUAGCAUAUACAUAUAGCAUAGUGUGCUAAUACAUAAUAAUAAGAAUUCGUUUAAGAUUUAAGUUAUUAAAUAUAGUGGUAAGUAGUGUUUUAAAUUUCACUCCAAUUCCAAUUCCAAGUGUAGUAUCAGCUGUGAUCGUAUCAGCUGCAUUUUCUAGAAAGGAAAUAAAUUUAGUAAGUUACCCGGUAGAGGUUAACAUAUUCGGCACUAAGUUGGAACCAUCCGAGAAUUGGGAGGGUGAGGCUGUUGGCUGUGCUGAUGCGACCAGCUGUAGGGUUGUAAAGGUCGGCGCGUGUUGGAUCAGCAAUGUUCUCACGAAGUAUGGCAGUGCAGAUAGUUUCUUCAAGGCCAUUUCUACUUCUCGGUGGGGAUUGUUCCUCUUCUUCUUCUUGUCUACUUCCUCUUCCACCACGGCGGCGGCGACGCUCUUCGGUUGUUGUUGUUGUUUCUUCCUCCUCUUGUCCUUCAUCUCCUCGUGUAUGUCUUCGCCGUGUUGUUCUCUUCCAUUCACUACCUCCUCUUCCUCUUCCUCUCUCUUCCUCCACCUCCUCUUCUUCAUGUCCUCCUCGGUGUCUUCUUGACUCGCGAGGUUCAUCUUCUUCUUCUUUCUCUUCUUCUUCUCUUUCCUCCCUUCGUUCACGUCGUCUUCUCUGGCGUGGUUCUUCUUUUUCUUCCUCUUCCUCCUCUUGUUCUUGCCACUUGGGGCUGAUAACUCCCAAACCUUCCUCCACUCUUAUGAUUUGUUUGAUUCGUUCAUUCGGAUUUUGAAGUUUGUGUACUGUAUCCUCGUCUAUGUUGAGAGCUUGAGAUAAAAACUGUGGGUCAAAUCCACUCAGUAUGUUGUUUUUUCCUUCUUGUUCCUCUUCUUUCUGGUGUUGUCCAUGCCUGCGUCCACUAGGUCUUUGAUGCUGCUGUCGCUGCUGCCUUUGUUGCUGGGUCUCUGGAUACUCUUCUUCUGGGUUACCAGCUAGAUAGAAUCUCUGCAAAGCCAAGUAAAUAUAAACUAAGUAACCAACUAAUCAAAAUAUAUAAACUACAUGUAUAUAAGAAGUUAGAGGUUAAUUUAUAUAAAGUAAUGAUGUUGAAAUCUGGUGUCACAUAUUUUAUUGACAUAAUUUUGGAUAAAAGAUCCAUGAUCAUGUUAUGUUUACAACUUCAUCACAAUAAAACACUGAUAUCACAAUAUUUAGUUGUGAAGUAUACUUACUCUUGGGUUUGGAUCAAGCUGGUUUGACAAGCUGGUAGUGUCAAGAAGAUUGAUAGCAACAAGUUGUUCAUCACCGUAGUUAUAAGUCCAGUAAGGGGUUCCAGGUGGAAUUACUAAGAUAUCACCUUCUCUGAAGUGACGAAUCUUCUGGUGACUAUCCUCUUGUUCCUGUGAUUGUGACCUUUGUCCUCUCCUACGUUCUUGUCUAGACUGUGAUUGUUGUGCUUCUUCAAAUGUUUCAGUACAUCCAGGAACUGAAAUUCCUAGGGCUCCCUCACCUGGAGUAUAUGCACAUGCAUAUGAGAGAGUAGUCACAAAUAAUCAAUAAAUGUAAUAAUGUAUCCUUUUAAACAAAAAUAUUGGACUCCUUUCAUAUGGGAGAUAAUUGAAGAGGAUCAAACGCUUCAUUAUAUGGUUAGUUUGCAAUUAUAUAUGAUGAUUAAAUUGGCUUCAUAAAAAUGGUGUAAUAAUGUAUAGGAAUGAAGGUUCAUACUUACCUUAAAAAAGUGCAAGCCUUGAUAAUUUACUUGAAAUUAUAAAAGUUAUAUCUUAGAUUUGGAUUAAAGCUAAAUUUGAUAUAUUUCUAUAUUUCUUUCUUGACUAUUGAAAUUCAAAUCCUUUGAUCAGAGAAAAAAAACAUCUAACAAUUAAGAAAGAGAGGAUAAUGUAUACCAUUUCAUAUACUAUAUACUUAUCAUUAGUAAGUUUUAGUUUUAUAUUUUAUAGAAAUAAUCAAUAAUCGGAUAUCAGUACAGACUUAUAUCAUUAAUAUAUAGAGAUAAGAAAGAAGGAAAUAAGAAAGAAGGAAAUAUUAUAUAAAGAUGUUGUGUUCGAAUAUAUCUGACCUUGAACAAUCAUAAUGAUCUGUGGAUAAUUAGUGUAGGAUGGCAAGUGUAAUCCCUUUGGCUCAAUGGUAUGUUUUUCAAAUGCAACACCAGCACAACGUAGCUCAGGUUUAUUUGAGUUCCAUGUCUCAGUAACACCACCUUCUGACUCAAUCCUAUUAUCAGGUUCCAAAGCAUUGAGUCUAUCCAAUUGACACUCAUUGAACCUAUCUAGCCCUUCACCUAAACAUGCACUCGUGUAUAACAACACUAAGCAAAGGGAUAAAGAGAGUAGAAAAGGGUUAGCCAUUGUGAAACAGUAAUAGUUGAGUGAAGUUGGUGAAGCGGAGAAACUAAACUGUGGGUAUUUAUAUGGAAGAGUGGAGUGUGAAUGAAGGACACGUAAUGAAAGUGUGUUAUUGAGGUGUUGACAUUCUUCAACAUGCAUGGCUAUAUAAACCUCAUGUUGUUACACCUCAUAAGUGCUGUGGGCGCAGGUGCCUUCACGUUUCAUAUAAUCAUCCAAGGAAUGGAAUUGUUUGCACCCCUUCUUUCAUGAGUUUUCAUUAUUUAAUAACAUCUAUAAUACUAAGGGUUUAGAUUUAGAGAAAACAAUGUAUAACUGUCAUAAAAUAAAUAGAAGAACACAAAAGAAUUUCGUAACCAAGUUGAGCCAAAUGUGUUUCCGUUCUCGAGAAACGUACUACCAAUAUAUUAUUAAAAAAUAAUGAUUAUAAGUUCUAGCAUACCCUUAAGUCCAAGUUCCUAUUAGGUGUUUCUAUUUGGACAUAUUAUAACAAGUGACUUGAGUUUAAUAUAUAAGAUUGUUCACUUUACUCUAUUCCAAUACUAGAUAAUGUAGGACUAAUACACUAACAUAUUUCAAGCAUUCCAAUACAUCCACCAUUUAUAUUUAAUUAUCACAUUGUCUCAUAAAAAAUAAUGUAAAUGAAUGAUAGAUGUUGUACUGACUUUGUAUAAAUCUUGAGAAAAAUAUAAAUGUAGUGACAUUGUGUAAGAUUUAUAUAUUGUUAAUACAUCAUCCAUAUUUUAUCGUUAUUGACUUUUCAAAAAAAUAAAUAACACAAAUGAAUGAUGAAUAAUAUAUUAACUGUAUCUAAAUCUUUAUACCGACAAUACAUAAAUAUUGCACUCAUAAAUCUUUAUUGUCAAAAUUAAAUAUUUUAUAGAAUCACAAAUUCCUUUUUUUUCUUAUAUUUUAGGACCGAUCUCUUUUCUUCUUUCACAUAUUGGCUCUCUGGACAUGACUAAAUUAGGAAGGUCUACAUAUAAUCUUCUCUAGAAGUGUCAAAACAUACUACUUGGACGAGUUUCGACUAGUUCACAUAAUGUUCGGGUUAAAUUGAACUGAGCUAAAAAUUCCAGGUACAAUUUAUGUAUAUCAAAUUGCAGCCUAAACUCUUGUUAAGCAAGUUACAGGUUGUGACGGACCAACCCGUAUAAUAUUAAAAAAAUACUUAUUUAAAUUUUAAGUGAUUAAAUCUAUUUUUUUAAAUAUAUAUUAAUUGAUAUUUGUGUAUAAACUUAUUAAUAUACUUGUUAUGUCCAAGUCAACCAAACUCAUAUAUUUAAUGCUUUAUGUUUGAGUUAAGACGUGAUAUCAAGUUCACUUGUAUAAUUUUUAAUAUAACCUAUUUAUUAAUUUUCUUAUCUUAUUAGACUCUCACUUCCUUUGCAAUGUAAUUUGUAACUCCACUUUAUUAAUAUGCAAACCUUUGGAAACUAUCAAAAAGAAUUUUAUGUUAAUUUUAAUAAUGGUAGUAUAGACUUAAGUUCAGAAGAAAUGCUAUAUGUUAAAGUAUAAUCACCAUCGUAAUAUAUUAUCAUCAUUCUAUAUUUUGUAUAUGAUGAUAAUUUGUAUGUUCAUUAUCAACAUCUUCAUUGUGAACUGAUACAAAUUAAAUUUGGUCGUGUAGAGUUUUCAAUAUUAAACAAGUAUGAUGUCUUUUAGUUUAAAUACAAUUAAAUACACAAUUAAAAAAGAAAACAUGAAAUCCAUAUGAUUUAAUGUUUCUUCUCAUUUGAUUUGAUAUAUUACUUUCUUCUUGUGCUUAAAAGGACAAUAUGCAAAAUAGGAUAAAUAAUAUAAUGUUUUACUUUAUAACAUUAUUAUAAUUUAUAAAUAUUAAUGUUAAAAAAAUUAAUCUAUUUUUCAAAGCUCAUAACACUAAUAUUUAUUAUAAGUUUAUGUUAUUAUUAUGUUGUAAAACAAUUUUCACCUAAGACUUAUUACCAAGCCAAAAGUCCUAAAAAAGAAGAAAAAGGAAAAAUGGGUAGCCAGAACCCACUGAGGCAAGCCAAUCUAAACCAUGUUGUAAUAUAGCUCGGUCAGUCCAGGUUAAAAAGUUCAAAUUCAAUAAAAAGUACCUAAUAUGUUACCAAGUCCUAUGAAUCUUCUAAUUGUGGUGACAUUUUGGGCUUUAGCGGAUCGAAAAAAGAAAGGUCACCACAAAUUAGAAGUUAGAGAUUUGAACAACAUAUCAAAGUAAGAGUUUCUAUUUCAUACAAAGACAGAGUCUAGGCUUCAAAUGUUAAUUCAUUGCCUUCAAAUGUUGUUACACUUGUUAGCUGAUUGAUUUUUUAUAUAGCCUUUAUUAUUUUCUAUUGCACUAUUUCUAUUGUGCAUUUCAUUUUUUUACAUUAUCUAUUUAACAAUGUUUCAAUUUCAUUGUUUUUAUUCAUUGCCUUCAAACAUUGUUUGUCUUUAUUCUUUACUUGUUUCAUUAUUUCCAUUUCAUUGUUUCCAUUGUUUGUUUAACAUUUUUCUAUUUUGUUGUUUCUAUUUAUUGCCUUCAAACAAUAUUUCGUUGUCUUUAUUCUUUGUUUUCUUCAUUAUUUAUAUUAUGUUUCAUUAUAACUAUUCACUCGUUAACUUUUUGUGAUUUGUAAUUUUAUUGUUACUAUUUUGCUUUGCUUCUAUUAUAUUAUAUUCUAUUUUCCAUAUUAUGUUUCACAUUUUUGGCUAGGAAUUUUAUUGUGUUACUUUCUAAAUGCAGGAGGACUACAAGGAUAAUGGAAAAAAAUAGACAGACAAUUUCAUCAAAAGAACAAUUAUCAAUCAUUGAUAUCUUCUGAACCAAGUCCCCGAGACAAAGGAUUGUGCUUCAUUUAGAAGAAUUGUCAUCAAAUCUAGGGGUGAGCAUGACCCGACCCUAUCCACUUAUCCAGUAUGGUCCAAUCAUGAUCGAGCCUGAAAACGGCCGGGUCUCAUCGAGUCUAGAACCGAGUUUGGAUUAAAAUUUUUGAUACAUUAAAUAUUUACGGUCUGGUAGGGACCAAGCAUGACCCAACCUGACCCAUUUCAUGGUUACUCAGUCAUCGUGUUCAUAUGUGUCUGUAUUCAAUUAUGCACAGAGUAAUGACACAUUUUUAGUAGAGAGUAUCAUUGAUUCUCUAAUUUUUUAUCAUAUAUACAUGAUUAAUAAUAUUUAUAUAUAUCAUUUUAUAUGUCAAAUUACAUAUUCAUAAUAACAAGACUGAGGCAAGCCAAUCUAAACCAUGUUGUAAUAUAGCUCGGUCAGUCCAGGUUAAAAAGUUCAAAUUCAAUAAAAAGUACCUAAUAUGUUACCAAGUCCUAUGAAUCUUCUAAUUGUGGUGACAUUUUGGGCUUUAGCGGAUCGAAAAAAGAAAGGUCACCACAAAUUAGAAGUUAGAGAUUUGAACAACAUAUCAAAGUAAGAGUUUCUAUUUCAUACAAAGACAGAGUCUAGGCUUCAAAUGUUAAUUCAUUGCCUUCAAAUGUUGUUACACUUGUUAGCUGAUUGAUUUUUUAUAUAGCCUUUAUUAUUUUCUAUUGCACUAUUUCUAUUGUGCAUUUCAUUUUUUUACAUUAUCUAUUUAACAAUGUUUCAAUUUCAUUGUUUUUAUUCAUUGCCUUCAAACAUUGUUUGUCUUUAUUCUUUACUUGUUUCAUUAUUUCCAUUUCAUUGUUUCCAUUGUUUGUUUAACAUUUUUCUAUUUUGUUGUUUCUAUUUAUUGCCUUCAAACAAUAUUUCGUUGUCUUUAUUCUUUGUUUUCUUCAUUAUUUAUAUUAUGUUUCAUUAUAACUAUUCACUCGUUAACUUUUUGUGAUUUGUAAUUUUAUUGUUACUAUUUUGCUUUGCUUCUAUUAUAUUAUAUUCUAUUUUCCAUAUUAUGUUUCACAUUUUUGGCUAGGAAUUUUAUUGUGUUACUUUCUAAAUGCAGGAGGACUACAAGGAUAAUGGAAAAAAAUAGACAGACAAUUUCAUCAAAAGAACAAUUAUCAAUCAUUGAUAUCUUCUGAACCAAGUCCCCGAGACAAAGGAUUGUGCUUCAUUUAGAAGAAUUGUCAUCAAAUCUAGGGGUGAGCAUGACCCGACCCUAUCCACUUAUCCAGUAUGGUCCAAUCAUGAUCGAGCCUGAAAACGGCCGGGUCUCAUCGAGUCUAGAACCGAGUUUGGAUUAAAAUUUUUGAUACAUUAAAUAUUUACGGUCUGGUAGGGACCAAGCAUGACCCAACCUGACCCAUUUCAUGGUUACUCAGUCAUCGUGUUCAUAUGUGUCUGUAUUCAAUUAUGCACAGAGUAAUGACACAUUUUUAGUAGAGAGUAUCAUUGAUUCUCUAAUUUUUUAUCAUAUAUACAUGAUUAAUAAUAUUUAUAUAUAUCAUUUUAUAUGUCAAAUUACAUAUUCAUAAUAACAAGUAAUAUUAAGAAAACUUUAUCUAAAAUGAGUAUGCAUUAUAUUUAAUCGGGUCUAGGAUUGAGUUCUGGUUUAAAGGUUGACUCACUCGAUAUUUAGGGUUGGGUUAACUUUGGUCUAGGGCCGAAUCUUGGUUUAAAAAAUGACUCAACCAAGUUUUAGGGCCAGGUAAGGGACAAGCCUUAACCCGACCCAUGCUUACCCCUAAUCAGAUCGACGAAAAAUAAUUAAAAUUGUGUAAUAUCAUCAUUAUGAUCAAGAUAAGAUUCGAAGAGUAUAUUUAAAAAGAGAACCAUGUCAACCUACACAACAUAAUUUCCCUAAAAAAAAUUUGAAAUUCUUUAAGAAGAUUUGUCAUUCUUGGUUUAAUGAAUUUGGCAAGUGGUAAAAGUACAGUUUAGAAAAAUAUGAUAUAUUUUGCUUGUAUUGUUAUCUUUUUAAGCCUGAUUUUGGAAAGCAAUCUCGUGGUGACAUAUUUGUGAUAGAAGGAUUCAAACUUUGGAAUAAUAAACAUAAGCACUCAGAUCAUAUUGGAGGUCCUAAUAUUGCUCAUAAUAUUGUGUGUAAGAAUUCUCAAGACUUGUUGAAUCAAAAUCGACAAACUGGAGCUGCAAUAGUUAAGGAAUCCGAUCAAGCUCAUGACAUAUAAUGAAGGUGUUUAACAACGUCAGUUGAUUCAAUUCACUUUCUAUUGAAGUAAGGAUUAUAUUUUCAUGGUUAUGAUGAAUUAAUCGAUUAUGCUAAAUGAGGUAAUUUUCUUGAACAUCCUAAGUUUCUUUAUGAACUUAAUGGAGAAAUAAAUCAUGUCGUCUUGUAAAAUGGUCCUCAAAACCAUCAAUUAAUUUCUACAACUAUCCAAAAGGAUAUUAUUAAUGUUGCUGCAAUAGAAACCAUUAGGGUUAUUAUCACUGACCUAGGAGAUCAACCAUUUCCUAUUAUGGGUGAUGAAGCGCGUGAUGCAUCAAUUAACAUUCAAAUGACUGUUGCUUUGUGUUAUGUUAACUAUUAAACAUACACACACACAAGCAGCCUAGCCAAUCAACCUCUCAAUCCAGUCAACAUAAUAACAAGGCCAAGACCAAACACAAGCCACUUGAUCAAGAGGCGAAGGCCAAGUCAUCUGUUGAUCAAGAGGCCAAGACCAAAUAUAAGCCACCUGAUCAAGUGGUCAAGGCCAAGGACAAGUCAUAUGCUGAAGACAUUAAGGAAUCCGAUCAAGCAAGUGGCACAAGCACAUGAUUAUAAGUCCAGUCCAAAACAUGCGCUUAGUUACUUAGUUCACAACUCAACUUAUUUUGGUUUGUUAUCUAGCUUUUAAGCAUGUGUUGUUUUACUGAUUGGUUAGUUUUAGUGUUUAUUAGGAUUAGUUAGGACCCUUUGUAUCUCUCUUGAGUCUAUAUAAAAGAGGACACUAUGCUUCUAUUGAAUAUCAAGAAUGUAAAAACUACAUUGUAAAAAUAUGCCAUUGAUUAAUGAAGAAUAAAGUAUGAGGUAUUUUUCUGCAAAAAAAGUAAUAUGAUAUCAAAGCCUUCUUUUUGAAGGUUCUGGUUUACCUUUUGUUGUGCAUUCUUCCUUACUCAUCUUCAAUCUAAGUUUUCUUUCUCUUCUAUUCAAACAACCAACAAAUGGCAAAAAGUGUUGAGCUGGAAAGAGAUCUACAUGCUGCUUUGAGCAACAUCUAUGAUAUACAAAGCCCUUAUUGUCUACACCCUGGAGAAAAUCCAGAGGCAAUCCUAGUUCCCCCCUAUUAGAUGGCAGAAAUUACCAGUCCUGGAGUAGAAUAAUGAGGAGAACAUUGCUCUCAAAGAACAAGUUCAAGUUUCUAGAUGGAUCUAUACCAGCAACACGCAGAACAAAUCCCAACUUUGAUAUAUAGGAACGUUGCAAUACAAUGUUGAUCUCUUUGAUCACAAGGAGCCUAACACGUCAAAUAUCCCAAAACAUUAUGUACAUUGACAAUGCAAGGGAAUUAUGGUGAGACUUGAGAGAAAUAUUUUCAAAGGGUGACUAUUUCAUAUUCUCAAACCUGCUCCAUGAACUCCACUCAAUCAAACAAGGUGACAAAAGUAUUUCCAACUACUACACUGACUUGAAAACCAUAUGGGAUGAACUUGAUUUUAACACAAAAUAUGUCGUAUGCUUCCUCAAUGGUUUAAAUGAUGAAUUCAAUGCUACAAGGUCCCAAAUUCUCAAGAUGGAGCCAUUUCUCAGUAUGAACAAAGCCUUCUCAUUACUUGUUUAGCAACAAGGACAACUAGCUGAGGAAAAUCCACAAAACUCUAAGAUCUUCUUCAAUUCAAUAAGCAACAAACAACAAACAAAUCAAGAUGAUGAAAUGCAGAAUUGGAAUCCCAGAAUCAAUAAUAUGAGGGGAGGUACUUCACAAAGCAGAAUCAGAGGCAGUGCAAGAAACUUUGGUGCAGACAGGACCAAUGGAGUUAAGGUCUCACAUUCUGUGGCAAAGAAAGGCAUACAAUAGAAACAUGUUAUUUUAAGCAUGGUUUCCCUCCUAAUUACCAACAAGGGAAUCAAAGAUAAACUAAUACAAUUAUCAACAAUAUUGUUGUAAUUGAUCACAAGGAACCUUAGUCCCAAGCAACAGAAGGUGGUAUUUCAGGAUUCAAGUUUGGCCUCAAGGACUAUGCACAAUUAUCAUCACUUCUGAAAAAUAUUGGGUCUUCCAAAGACAAUCACAACAUCAACCAACUAAGCAUGCACCCAACACUAGUAGCUGAAUCUCAAAACAUUGCUAACAGUGAGGACAUCUCAUGUAACACAUCUUUCUGGAUACUAGACACAGGGGCCACAUGCCAUGUGUGCCCUAAUUUAGGUAAAUUUGACACUUUCUACAAUGUUAAGCCUAUUACUACAAACAUGCCAAAUGGUUCAAUAACAUUGGCAAGACUCUGUGGAUAUGUUAGUUUCUCUGAUUCCUUGAUAUUGCAUAAUAUGUUGUAUAUUCCCGACUUCAAAUUUAACUUAAUUUCCAUCCAUAAGCUGACUAAUUCUAUGCAUUGUGCUCUAACCUUUGAUGAAUUGAAAUGUUCCAUCCAUGAUAUGAAUACUUGGAAGAUGUUUGGACAUGUUGAAGUUAGAAAUAACUUGUAUAUUUUUAGGAGAAAAAUUAAUAAUGCCACAAAUUUAUAACACAAUGUAAAUACACUUUAUGUUGAUUUUGAUUUUGACUUAUGACACUAUAGAAUGAGACAUUCAUCACCUAAUGUUUUGAAUUUUGUAUGCAAAAAAUAUUCCUUUGUUCAUUUCAAUUCUGCAACAAUAUGUGAUUCUUAUCAUUUUGGUAAAAAAGCUAGGCUGGCCUUUCAUUGCAGCAUGAUGAGUACAUAAAGUACCACAUCUCCCUAUAAGAUCCAACAUCUUCUCUCAGUUGUCAUAUCAUACCAAUCCAUCCCCACUAAUCACCGUAGCCACCUUAUCUCUAUCACUAUAACUAUAGAGCCAAAGCAUUACAACCAAGCUAUUAACUCAUAACAUUGGAUAUGGGCAAUGCGAAAUGAACUCAAUGCACUUGGGUUAAAUAAGACCUUGACCCUUGUUGACUUGUCUCCCAACAAAAACCCUAUAGGAUGCAAAUGGGUGUAUAAGGUCAAGCAUAAAUUAGAUGGAUCUAUAUAGAGAUAUAAGGCUAGGUUAGUGGCAAAUGGCUUAAAUCAAACAGAGAAGAUAGACUUAUUUGACACUUUUGCUCCUAUUGUGAAACUCACAACAAUGAGACUAUUACUUGCCAUAGCCUCUUCCCAAAAUUGGCUUGUCCAUCAACUUGAUGUGAACAAUGCCUUUUUCCAUGGGGACCUCACAAAAGAUGUCUAUAUGACCAUACCAAAAGGUGUGAUAUGCAACAAUCCUAACCAAGUUUGCAAGUUACAUAAAUCCCUUUAUGGCCUCAAGCAAUAUGGAAGACAAUGGUUCACAAAACUCACCAAUUCCCUGACCUCCUUUGGCUAUAACCAGUCACAUUAUGAACAUUUCUUGUUCACCAAGAAACAAGGACUACACUCCACAACAUUACUCAUAAAUGUUGAUGACUUAGUUCUACCUAGAAAUGACAGCCUUGGGAUCCAACAUGUCAAGCAUCACCUGAAUAACCAAUUCAGGAUUAAAGAUCUAGGUACUUUGAAAUAUUUCCCAGGCAUAGAAUUUGCUAGGACUAAGACUAGUAUUUCAAUUUCACAAAGGAAAUAUGCAUUGGAUAUUUUUUAUGAUACAAGCUUUCUAGCUUCAAAGUUUGCACCCACUCCUAUAGUUAAGACUACCAAACUUCAGAAUGACAAUACUUUGCAUUAUGAUAACCCUUCUUCCUAUAGAAGAUUAAUAGGUAGGCUAUUAUACCUCACUAAUACUAGACGUGAUAUAAGUUUUGAUGUAUAACAAUUGAGCCAGUUUAUGGCUCAACCUACUGUUAUUCAUUAUAAAGGCUUAACCAUGGUGCUCAGAUACAUAAAGUCCAACCCAGGCUAAAGGUUACUCUAUCAUGCUUCAUCCAACCUACAACUUAAAGCCUUCAGUGAUUCAGAUUAGGCAACCUGCAUAGACUUAAGUAAAUCAAUUAGUGGAUGUUGUAUCUUUCUAGGAAAUUCAUUUGUGUCUUGGAAUUCCAAGAAGCAAAACACAGUAUCAAGAUCCUCUUCUGAAGCAAAGUAUAGAGCACUAGCAUAAGCUUCUUGUGAAAUUCAAUUGCUGACAUACCUUCUUCUCAACUUCAAGGUCCAUGUCACCCGACCAACUUUGUUAUAUUAUGACAAUGACUCUGCUAGGUACAUUGUUGUCAACCUAGUCUUCCAUGAGAGGACCAAGCAAAUAGACAUUGAUUUCCAUGUUGUACGAGAACACCUUGAAGCCAAACUAUUUCACCUUAUCCCUAUUUCAACCAAUCAACAAACUGCAGAUAUACUAACCAAACCCCUUGACCAUUAUUCAUUUCAUUACCUACUUGCCAAGCUUGGAGUAUUUAACAUUUACUCUCCAAUUUGCGAGAGGGGGACUAAAUACACACACACAUAAGCAACCUAGCCAACCAACCUCUCAAUCCAAGCAACAUAAUAACAAGGCCAAUACCAACCACAAGCCACCUAAUCAAGAGGCCAAGGACAAGUCAUCUAUUGAUCAAGAGUCUAAGACCAAGACCAAAUAUAAGCCACUUGAUCAAGAGGCCAAGGCCAAGGACAAGUCAUCUGCUCAAGACAUUAAAGAAGCUGAUCAAGCAGUGGCACAAGCACGUGAUAAUAAGUUCAUUCCAAAAACAUGUGCUUAGUUACUUAGUUCACAAGACAACUUAUUUUGGUUUGUUAUCUAGCUUUUAAACAUGUGUUGUUUUAAUGAUUGGUUAGAUUUAGUGUUUGUUAGGAGUAUUUUCUUCUCUCUUGAGUCUUUAUAAAAAAGGGCACUAUGCUUCUCUUGAAUAUCAAGAAAGUAAAAACUACAUUGUAACAAUAUGCCAUUGAUCAAAGAAGAAGAUAAUAUGAGGUAUUUUUAUAUUAUGGAUGAUGAAGCGCGUGAUGCAUCAAUUAACAAACAAAUGGAUGUUGCUUUGUGUUAUGUUAACAAAAAUGGAAGUGUUUUUCAAUAAUUUUUUGAUAUUUUUCAUGUUAAAGAUACUACAGCUUUAUCAUUGAAAAUGACAAUUGAUGAUUUGUUUAGUAAACAUGGGCUUGAUGUAUUAAGAAUUUGUGAGCAAUGUUAUGAUGGUUCUAAUAACAUGCAAGGAGAAUUUUAUUGUCUCAAAAGUUUGAUUUUAAGGGUGAAUUCAUGUACUUUUUAUGUAUAUUGUUUUGCUCAUCAAUUAUAAUUGACAUUAGUUGUUGUUGCUAAAAAUCACAUUGAUAUUGCAUAUCUUUUUAGUUUAGUAUCCACAUUAUGAAAUAUUGUUUGAGGGUCAUGCAAACGACAUGACAUGCUUUGCGAAAAACAAAUAAUCAAUGUUUGAGAGCGACAUUGGAAAAGGUGAAAUUCUAAGUGGACAAGGUUUGAAUCUAGAAACUAGUCUAGAGCGAGCUACACACCGUUGGGAUUUACAUUAUGCAACUUUGAUAAAGUUUAUAUUGAUGUAUUAUACUAUAUGAGAUGUUAUUGAAAUUAUUAGAGAAUUUGGAUCAACUCUGAAAAAAAGACUUGAAGCCAAAGGUAUUUUAGGCUUGACAAAUGAUUCAAAUGAACUGUCACAAACAUUGCAAAGGAAAGAUCAAGACAUCAUCAAUGCUAUGAACUUGAUUAAAAUCGUAAGACAAUGAUUACAAACUAUGAGGGAUGAUGAAUGAGAUUCAUUGUUGUAAGAGGUAAUCUUAUAUUGUAAUAUGCAUGACAUUAAAAUUCUUGAUAUGGAUGUCAACUUUUCAUGAUGGUAAAUCACAAUGUGGAAGCAGAGCACAAGCUAUCAUAAUAGAGCAUCAUUAUCAUGUUGAAUUACUUUAUAAUAUUGUGAAUAUGUAACUUAAGAAAUUCAUGAUAGUUUUUCUGUGACAAAUACUUAACUGCUUCUUUGUAUACCUUAUUUGAGUCCAACCAAAUUUGUUCUAUAGUUUUGAUAAGAUAAAACAUAUUGAAUUUGGAAAGUUCUAUCCACAUCAUUUUUGUUCAGCUGAUUUGGCGAUGCUUGAUAAUCAACUUGAGACAUAUAUUUGAUAUCUUAGUAGUGCUGAACUUGCUUAUUUGAAAGGAAUCAAUAAUCAAAAAAUUUACACAAGUAGUGUAGCUUGAGUUUUUUAUUACGAUUCUGGUGUACAAUUUUAAAAUAUUAUUGGAGUAGUGCACUUUUCACUGAACUCGUGGAUAAAACGUACGAGAUUUCACAUUUUCUCUCUCCUGGUAUCGUGGACAUGGUCCACGAUUUUGGACCCUCUUUUUCUAUCUCUGGAAAUUGUGGAUGCAUUCCAUGAUUUUCACCCUUCAUUUUUCUCUCUCCAAAAAUUAUGUUUUAGGUCCAAGAGUCCUACCUACACUGAUACGAAUUUAAUUAAGUUUAAGUUAAUUAAUUAAAUUCAAAAAAUAAGCUACUACACUAAAUAUAGUAAUUAUUUUUGACAUUGAAAUCUGAAUGUAUAUUUAAUUGUCAUUCUAUUGCAAUUUAUUUCACCAAUUUAUUGAUUAGAUAAUAUUUUAAAGGUCUAUGGACAUAAAUUUCAGAUUCCAAUGCAUUUACAUAAUCAUGUUACUUUAGUGUAUUGAUUAAGACAUUUAAAAAAUAAUUAGUAUAUUUAGUAUAGUAUUUUAUUUUUUGAAUUUGAUUAAUUAACUUAAACAUAAUUAAAUUAGUAUUAGUGUAGUAUUAAAUUAGUGUUUUUUUCAUAUUAUUUUACCAAUGUAUUUUAUGACACGGACAAUGAAUGAAAAAUGUAGGUAGAACUCGUGGACCUGGAACAUAAUUUUUGGAGAGAGAAACAUGAAUGUUGAAAAUCGUAACGCCAUCCACGAUUUCCAAAGAGAGAAAAAGAGGGUCCAAAAUCGUGGACCAUGUCCACAAUUUCAGGAUAGAGAAAAAGUGAAAUUGUGGACCAUGUCCACGAUUUCAGAAAGAAAAAAAAUCUCGCGUGUUUUGUCCACUAGUUCAGUGAAAAUUGCAUUACUCUGGUAAUAUUUUAAAAAUGUACACCAUAACUGUAAUAAAAAAGUCAAACUACACUACUUGUGUAACUUUUCCUCAAUAAUCUUCUAGAGAAGUUGGUUGCAAGUAGUAGACACAUUGUUUACCCAUUAGUUUAUUUUGUUUUACAAUUAGCAAUGAUUUUACUUGUUGCCACACCAACAGUUAAAAAAGCCUUUUGAGGUAUGAAGAUUGUUAAAAGUAGGUUGCAUAAUUGAAUGAGAGAUAUAUGGAUGAAUGACUAUCCCGUGACUUUUAUCGUGUGAGAAGUCUUUGACGAUAUUAACAAUGAGUUUAUCAUUUAAUGAUUUCAAAAUAUGAAGCCAUGUAGAGAUGAAUUAUGAAAUAUGUAAUUCAUUUGAUUAACUACGUUUAAAUUUUGUGAUUUUAACAUUAAUGUUUUCACAUGCUUAUAUAUGAUGAUAUUUACUAUUUUAAUCUUUAACAUAUAUUGGACAAACCCUACUCUAGGCUCUUAUUCUGUCACUAGAUGCAGCCAUAAUAUUAUGGCUGUAAUGACCGCCGCAACCGCAUCACACUAUAAUUGCGGUGGGAUCCUGAAUUGCAAUGAUGUGACCACAUCGGGUUGCAGCACAACCACAUUUAACCCCAUUUGUACUAUAAUACGUUGCAUGGUAUUAGAGACUGGACAACUAUGAACAUUGCAUUUUUUAGUAAAUUAAUUUGGACCCUUAUACUCGGUACUAAUAAGCAUUGGAUUAGAGCUUUAGAGACUCCAUUUUCUGUUGCAAAACUCCUAUCAAAUGCUUCUUGUUUGGCAAUACAUUGUUAAGACUCUUUAUGUUAAUUUGGUAUGAGGAUUGGAUAGGAAAUGGUUUGCUUUGCAACUUGGUUUACUAUGUUCAUAUUAUGGAUACAUGCAAGUUUGUUUGUAAUUGUAGGUGAAUAAUGCUUGGAACAUAAAUUCACAUGAUAUUGCUAUGAUACGGGAAUUAAGGACCAUUACGUGUAGUUAUUAUAGGCAACGGAAGAUCAUGUCACUCAACACUAUGCAUGAAGAUUAGCACAAAAUAAAAUUUCGUUAUUAUAGGUUUCAUUGGAGAGGAAUGAGAUUGAGGAAACUAGAAAUUGAAGAAAAAUGAAACCUUGAUAAAAAAAGGUUAUCGUUGGACUCUCGCCCAAGCGAGAGCUGGCGCUCAAGCGAUAAAACAAGCCAAUCCUUCUAGAGACCUCUCGUCUAAGCGAGGUCUGGCGCUCAAGUGAUAAAAUUAAGCCAAUCCUCUUGGAGACCUCUCGCUCAAGUGAAGUCUGGCACUCAAGUGAUAAAAGCAAGCCAAUCCUCCUAGAGACCUCUCGCCCAAGUGAGAGUUGGCACUCAAGCGAUAAAAAUAAUCCAAUCCACCUGGAGACCUCUCGCCCAAGCGAGAACUGACGCUUAAGCGAUACAAGCUUGAGAACAAGCUAAUUCUCCUAUCUUAAGGAAAAGUUUCCUCACACAACUUUUCACGCCUACUAAGGAGAAUCCUAGAUUUCAAGAUCACUUCCCCAUUGUUAGCACAUGUGUUUAGGUCUUGAGAUCAAACAAACAAUUCAUACGUAUAAGCUACUAGAACACUUAUUUGAGUAAUGUUCAUCCAUGGAUAACCAUAGCAUUACUCCACACAUAUACAUAACUUAAAUGAUAUGGCUUAAGAAACCACACGUACUUAAUCCAAACAAACAGACAAUUGAUUAAGUACAAGAUUUCUUAAUUCCUAAGACAACUCCUAAACUUAUGAGGGAGUUUAGGAGAUCUUGAUGCCAUAUCCUGACACCACUGUGUCACGAUGUUUUCUCCCUCACCUGAGUAUUUCGUGCAAAUUGUUUUCUCGACUUUAGGUGAAAGUAAGGUGUUCAGUCUCGUCUUGAAAUCUUCAUCAUGAUAACAACCAAUAUAAACACUAAUAAGAAUACUUGAUAAUUACAAUUCUUAUAUAGUGACACUUUAUGAAAAAACUUAAUUUUUAAUCUAAUAUAGAUUUAAUCACUUUCAUCCAUCCGAUUCAAGAUUAAGUAUUCUUGAAUCAUCAUUUAUCAUUUAAAGUCUUAAAAUAAAAAUAAUACUUUAAAAUAAAACUUUAACAAAACUUGUACUUUUGAAGUAAGACACUCUUACUAAGAACAACAUCUUAAAGUAAGAUUAUUAAGUUAAACUUACAUUUUUAAAGUAAGCUAACUUAAAUAAAAAUCAAUACUUUAAUUAAGACUUUUUAAGUCACACUUACCACUUCAAGGUAAGCUAACUUAGCCAAAGUCGACACUUUUAAAUCAAAACUUUUUAAGUCAAACUUACCACGUUAAAGUAAGCUUAUCUUAACAACGUCCACACUUUAACUAUAUUACUAUCCAAGACUUUAUAACACUUUAAGUUUAUAAAGUCAAGACUUUAAUAAGUCAUCUUUUAUCCCAAAUCAUUACUUUAACUUGUAAAUCAAAGGAUAACAUUUACUAAUUAAACUCUUAACACAUAAUACUUUUUUAACAAGAAGUCAUCAUUUUCCGUAAUAUGGUUCACAACUUCACCAAUGAGCCCAAGGGGUGUCAUCCAACAACAUUUCAUUCUAAGUAAUCACAUGACUUUUUAGUGUUGAUAACACAUUCAUUAAGCAUACUAACAACACUACUUUAACACUUUAAAAUACACUUAAACUCAUAAACUUAAACAUUUUGGAUUUCAAAAAUAGAAAAUAAACUUUUCCUAAACACAUAUAUAGGCCACGAUUUUUAGGCCAAAUGACAAGGACUAGACCUCACCAAAAUAAAAGAACACAUUUAUUGAUCAAUUAUCCGUCAUAAUAUAUCCUAGGAGAAAGAGGUUUAUAAAGGAAAAUUCUAAAAACAUAUGUGACAAAUUAAACAAACAGAACUACCAACAAGGUGUUGGUUUAGUAGUGUAGGCCUCACUUGAUCUCUAAGGCUGAUGGUUUGAUUCCUGUGAGCGACACUUAUUGUGAGAAAUAGCCACAAACCCCAAAAGAGAUUUAUUCCUUAACCAAAAAGGUAAGGGAUAACCUUGAUAGUACAAAAAAAUAAAUAAAACUACUAUCUUGGUUUUUUAAAAGUUAUUUUAGUGUUUUAAAAGGUUUCUUUUUCCAAAUAAGUCCCAUAAAAUUUCUACUUCCAACAAAUAAAUCUUUUCAUUAUGUAAUUAAAAUGGUACACAUGACAAAUGUUGUUACUUAUACUUGGGUUGAAGAAUCAGAAAACUUAUCCCAAACAAAACAAAAUAAGGAGAGAGAAAAAAAAUUAGUUGAAAGAGGAAUGGUGUAGUUUUUUUCCAAUAAAAAUGUGUAAAUACAUAUAGUUCUAGUAAAUUUUAAAGUGUAAUAAUUUGAUAAUUGAGAAAAGUAAACUCAAAAAAUUAUAACAUCUGUAUUACCAAAAAAGAUAAUAAUGUCUCUAUCAUGAUAAUAAAAAUAUUAAAACUAAUAAAUUUGACCUAUAUUAAAUAUUUUUUGAAAUCAUUUUAAACUUUCCCAUGGUUGAAUUCACCCAUUUUCUUGAAGAAUAGCUCUUGAGUCUAAAAAAAUAGAGAGAAAGAAAGUUGGUUGGGUUAGAGGGUUUUGGUUCAGUUUGUAAAGUGCAAUGGUUUCGUUGUCAACAUGGGUUCGAUACAUUGCUCACAAGCUUGAAUACUCCGCCUCUAUCGGCUGGAAGGUUCUUUACUCUUCAAUUCAUACCUUCAUUUCAUUUACCACUUAUACUCUCCAAAACUUGUUUUUUUAUGUUUAAUUAUAAAAACAUUGUUCCUAUCUUUGAGUUUUGGUGUUAAUUGUUAAUUCUAGCUAUGCAAUUUAUAAGAUCCCUGCUCCAAAAUAGAAGAAGAAGAAGAGAAAUGGGAAAAAAAGCUGUUUUUUUUUCACAUAACCCUUGUAAAGUAACUCUAAUCAAAUGUGGUUCUUUUAUUAGGUUCUACAAGUGUUCUCCGCUUUUGCUGCAUUUUAGGGUCAGUUUGUUAUGCUUAAAAAAUGAUUAUAAGAUAUUGUAGAAAAGUGAUUUUACAAAAUAAGGGAUUUUUUGAGAUGCUGAAAACUAUGGAUUCUUGUAAAAGCUGAAUUUCAGCUUCUGCUUUUUUUUUAAAGCCUAACCAAACAAGCUUGUAAAUAUCAUAAGUUGAAUAAAGCUUAAACAAACAUGCCCUUAAACUGCUUUCAUUAAUUUUUUAAUUAAGUUCGUUAAGGUUGUAUUUAUGGGGAGUGUGUGGGUUAUAAGGAGGAAGUGUGAGGGUAGGAUGCAACUCGUAAAGAGGGAAAGUUAGAAGUGAUAUCAUAGUUUGCUUGGUUGUCAAAUGAUAUGAUGUUCUGCAUAUUCUAUUUGCUGUAUUUUAGUUUCCACGUCAUAAUGGGCGGAUCAAGUAAAUGGUUGUCCCUGGAUGUUCUCACUUAGGCAAGCUAAAUAUUUUCGUAACCGAUGAUUCGCCCGUGUUUCCAGAUGCAAGUCGGUAUAUGAAGAUUUUUCACCUCAUGAUUUUUGUGAUUGGAAGUUAGAUUUGCAAAGUAAACUUAAAACUGGUCUGCUUUGAAUUGUUUAACAUGGUAAUGAUACAACAUCCAAGCCUUAGUCCCAUUAGAUGGGGUCGGCAACAUGGUAAUGAUGAUGAGAAAAUAUUAUAAUUUGGGUAUUUAAUAGGGUUCAUCUCAUUAAUGUUCUAACUUCUAACACAUGUGUAGAUUUCCAGAAAUCACUGUGUAGUUUAAAAGGCCAUGCUCGGCAUGGAACCUUGUUGAUGCUUUGUCAAUAGGCUCUCUAGCUUGUAGGUUUGAGAUACGUAAAUAAGAUAUUACUGGAUAGAAGAAUUUUAUAUCUGAUGAAGCUUGUUUUCUUCAAAUCAGGAUCUAAGUAGUUUGAAAUGAAUUGCAUUUGGAGUUUUCAUGGCGUUAGAGUGGAUGGGAUAUUAGAGCUUAAAAGUUUAGAUUCUAUAUUUCCUCCCUUUAUUUCUAUUUAUUAUAAACAAAGUGUAUAAGUCUAAGUGGAACUCUUUAAAAAAGAGAGUUAACUGUAAGUCUAAACUGCGUUGCAUAAGAGGAGGUGAUAAGUAAUAACUGUUUACACACUUGUUUUUUGUGUGUGGGUAAAUCAAGGACUUGUUGUUUUAAUUGGCACUUAUAAAUGUAUGCAAGGUUAUGGCCUUAUGGGAGGUACCCGUGGCUUGAAAACCAGUUUCUUACUCUAUGUGAAUUCUGGCAAGCAUUAGAAAAACAAGGCAUCCCAGUAUUCUAUUUCUAGCUUCCAAGGUUAUGAUUUUAUCUUGAGAAGUUCAAACACUAAUCUUUAUGUUUUAAUUUUGGCUCUCUCCUUCUCUUCAGCUAAAUCUGUUAGAAUAUUAGGGGUGGUAUUGACUUUGGCGGGUUAUUGGGAUGGGGCAUGUACCAGUAGCACACUUGUAUUUGGCCUAGAAUUUUAUUAUAAUUAAUAGGAAUAUUAGGUUAGUGUUUUUAUAUCACAGCUUAAUUAUCAUUCAGGGUCUAAUACAAAUAUAUUCUCUCUUUUGUCCUUCUCCGUAAUGUACUUUGAGCUUAUACUUGGGGUCAUUUGAAGCAUAACUUUGUGAAGAACAUCAUAUAUGAGCUUUGAUAUUAAAGGCGAGGGAACUCUCCUAAGGCCUACCUUUGUGGGUGUUAUAACAUAGAACCUUGAUGUAAAAUGUUUAGAAUAAUAGGCAAGUUAUCUACUAAGCAGAGGCAUAUGAAGUAAUAUUUUUCUUUGUAGUUUAAGUUCUACAAUUGUACAGGUUUUACCUGCUUUUCCUCUAUUCUGUGGCUGUGUAUCACAUUGUUAGCAGUAGCACUUAAAAGCCUCUCCUUUAAAGUAUUUUCUGACUGAUUCAGUGUUGUCAUGUGAAACAGAACUAUACAGGAGGUCAAAUCACAGACACACAGCUAGGUGAUGCUGUUUGGAAGAACCUUUUUCAAGGAAAGUUAACAUACAUGCACUGGAAUAAAGGAGAGGAGAUGGCCCCUACCAUUGCUGGAAAAGCAGUAACUCUUGUUCGUAAAAUACCAAUUGCUGAUCCAAAGUAACUAUACUUGUCCAAUUCAGCAUACAUUUUUCUUUAUGAAAAUCUAUUGACUGCUAUUGCAAGUUGUUUGAUAUGGGUCAUCCUAGGUAGUCAAUAGCACGCUAUAGCGCCGCAAUAGCGGACUGUAGCAGUAUUUCGACCAUUACCCGCAACGCCAUAGUGGAUAGCGGUGCAGAUGGCUGUAGCACCUGUAGCAGGUCAAAUAGCGGCAAAAUUGCAGGGAAAAUAGCGGAUCAUGACCCGCUACAUGUUUUAUUGCGAGUGGAACCCUAACUUUAUAGAAGAAAAGUAUUUUUUGCUCCUCUUUUUAAUAGGUGGCUGGUUUUUCACUAGGGUUUUAGGUAAUUUAACCUCCCAUUCUUUCCCUUCUACUUAACACAUUGAUUUUCCUAGGCCAUGUGAUUUUUAAUUGGUUAUACCUUUCUUCUUCCAAAUUCCAGUUCACAUGUUCAAUUGCUUACAUGUUCUUCAUCAGCAUAGAACAAAAUUGCAAGGCUUCCUAAUUUACGAUCAUUCUCCAUCUUUUCUUAAAAGAAAAUUCUUGGUCCCUGAUUGUUUGCCCUAUCAUCUCUUUAUUGAUUCUCUUAUUAACCUGAUUGAACCCAAUUGACAUCAUCUUCGUGUGGUUCAAUUUCGUGAGAUACAAUUCUGUUAUGGCAUCCAACUUUGAUCAACUCUAGAACCUUUAAUACUUUUUUCUUGAUUAUUAAUUAGGAAUGUGUCUUUAAUAUGAUUAAUUUUAGUAUUUAUAUAUGUAGGCUAUAAACUACUUAUAUAUAUAUUUUUUUCUUAGCUGUAGCGGUUGUCCCGCUAUCCCGCUAUAGUGUUUUUGGGGUCGGCCGCUAUGCUCUGCUAUCCGGGACUGCCGUUUUUUUACUACUAGACCAAUAGACCAUCAUUGUGAACUACAGUGAUAUAGAAUUCACACUUGAAGCAGAGUUACUUACCAAUUUCAAUAUCUUUUAUGGUGUGUCUGUGUAUUAUUUAGGAGACACCAUUUUCUGUGUAUAAUUUUUUUGGUUAAAUUAGAGUUUGCCCGUUGUGGUUUGAUUUCACAAAUGAAUCACCUGUUUUUUUAUUUCUGCUACCCACUUUAUCCAAAUGACAUUGAAUCAUAAUUUUUAUAAUAAUGAAUAAUAAAUGAUUUGCAAUGACUUAUGCAUUAAAGUAGGGACCUUCUUAGCUUAAUUGCAUAUUUUUGUAUGCUAUAUCAGCUCAACAUAAUCUCCAUCAUAAAAAAUAAUUUUGGCUGAAUGUUUCAAUCUCUGUUAUAAUCCAGAUCACUUAUGAAAGUGGUAGCUAUUCUUUCGUUCAUUUUUCAUUGUUAUGCAGUAAUAUAUUAUUUUCUUGGUUUGUACCUUUUCCAUUUCCACUGUUUCGUUAGUUUUUUUUAAGCGCAUACUUGAUAUCACGAUUCACGCAUUAGGGUGUGCCUUGGUGCAAUGGUGCUAUUGGCGGAAACCACCUUUCUGCUCAUGCAGUAAGAAAUAAAGUUUAUUCAUCUACUCCUCGUCAAACCCCACAAAUAUUCUUGUGUGCUAGGCUGCCGUUUUUAGUCAGUAAUGUGAUGCUAUGAGGAACUACGUGUAAUGUUGGUUCAGGUCCCUUUCUGUGUUCAGAUAGAUAAGUGGCUCCUCGAGGUAGGUAUCUAAGAUUUUUGCUGUCCAAGUAAUUGUUCUUCAAUGGUUGGGCCAAUGAUUUAAAUUGCGAUCACGACUACUGUGAUUGCGGUCACUGCAGUACGCAUUGUGGACGUUGCGGUGUGAAAUUUUUUAUGAUUAAAAAAUUGUUUUGAAUUUGAUGCGGCCCAAAUGCGAUAUAAUGUGAUUGUAUUGCAGCUGCAUCAUUGUAAUUCGCUGUCACACCUCAGUUGCGGGGUGAUGCGGUUGCUGAGAUCACCACGAUCACAAUGUUGCGGCCACAUCUGGUGAUACAUUUCACAAUUUGAUACAAUUGGUUGUGCAAAUAUACAGUAAUUGUGUCUACAGUUUCUGACCUGCAUUUGUUCCACAGAAGUUAGUAAGAGAUUGACUGACAAUUGAUGAUUUCACCCGGAGAUAAUUACUUAGUGCAUGCACAUUUCUGUUAUUUGUUAGUGAUAUACAUUUUCUUUGACAGGACUGUUUUUGUAGGAGAUGUUGUAGUGUUGAAGGACCCCGAGAAGGCAGAUAACUUCCUAGUCAGAAGAUUAACUGCAGUUGAGGGUUAUGAAAUGGUUUCUACGGAUGAGAAGGAUGAACCCUUUGUUCUUGAGAAGGAGCAAUGCUGGGUAGCGUCUGACAAUGAAAAUUUGAAAGCCAAGGUAUAAACUGCUUACUUUUCUUGUAAAGUAAUUGUUAUAUUUGCAUUUCCAAUUCACUAUUACCUAUAUUCUAUCAGUAGAUGGAUCAUUAUGCAUCUCUGCCACAAUUUAAAGUGCUAUUAUUGUAUUAUUGUUGGAAUAGAAAUUUAAGAUUAUAAUAUCAUGCAAUAAAGCAAGUGGUUCUUAUCGAUAUAAUAUCAUUCAAAGCGAUCACAUACGUGUAAUUGCUUAGAAUUUUUGAAAUUUAGUGUGUUAGGUUCACAUGAGAACUAGCUAGAAUUCAACGGUUUAAUUGGUUAAAAUCUAUAGAAUUACUAGAUGGUGCUAGCCAAUUCUUACACAUGUAUCAACAGAUCCUGUCAAUGUGACUUGGACAUCGGUUUUCAGCUAAACCCCCCUUUUAUCAAGUCAGAGUCAUAGAAAUGAAAUAGACCACAGCUUGGCAUGGCAAUUCUGCAAAGCAUUUUAGAAUUCAGUUUACAACAAUUAUGUUGCUAUAGGUGUAUGAGCUUGUGACUUGGGUUUCUCAAGUAGAAAUGUUUAAUUCACUUAUUUCUGUCAUAAUCUUUAUGAAGAAUGCUAGCAACACACUUUUUAAUGCAGGCUUUGUUAUUGGGUCGAAUUUAUGUGGCCCGCUAAAUCAUAUGGUUCCACUUUCAAUUUAGUGAGUCCACAUGAAUUCCGCGAUUUACAAAGUGCGUGUUGAAAAGAGUGUGUGUUAGCAUUUCUCUAAACUUUACUGUUUUGAGUCGUUAGUAAUACAAAAAUAGCUUCUUCUUAAACAGUAAAAAAUAGCUGUAACAGUAACAGAAAACCUUUUUAAGUGAUAAUUGAGCAUAUAAUUAAUUUUGAACCUUGUAUUAAGUAUCUCUAAGCUUUGAAGUGAAUGUUUCCAGAAAGUCUAGUAGGAUCUGCUGUAAUAUUUUGGCUAUGCUUUUGACUGCUCAGUCGCUUGUAGAACAAGUAAUAAUUCCUUUGCUUAACGACCCCAAUCCAAAUGGCAGGAAGCAAAUGAUAGUCGAAAAUUUGGUCCAGUUCAGAUGACAGACAUUGUAGGCAGAGUCAUAUAUUGCCUGCGAAAUGCCGUAGACCAUGGCCGUGUAGAGAACAGGUAAACUAAAUUUCCGACGCAUAAUUUAUUAUGCACAUAUUGUUUUGUUUUUUAUUGAUAUAUUCUUCUUCUUUGCAGUGAUUUCAGCAUGCAAAAGGAUUCACCAGUGUUGGAAGUGGAACUUGAUGUUGAUGAGAUGGUAAAGAGUCAGAAAGACUAAAACAUAUGCCCUCAGAAAAAACUAAUUUGUUCAUUUUAAGCAUGCUCUGAUUUGUUCUUGCUGAUCUUCUUUUUUAAGCACAGAGGAAUAAUAAAAUAUUUGAUUUUUGAGUUGUUGCAAUGGAAUGGUGUUGUUGUUAUGGGAAUGUCCUUAGAUAAGUCUGUAUAUCAGGCAUUGGCUCUUUCUUUGUAACUGCAAAAUUUGAAGUGGCUCAUGUGUUGAAAAUUGUUGCAAGUUAUUUGGCUCCAUUUGUUGAUGAUGAUAAAAGGCUACAUUUUAGAAAUUAUUGUUUUAGCUAUAUAUACUUUUCUUCCCUGGGUAAAAGUUGUGCCUAGUGCUACUACUAUGCUCUACUACGUUUACGUGUUGAGUUUUGAAGGUGAAUUAAUGGAAAUAGAAGGUUUGGGGGCCAUGAAAUACAUUAGUGAGAUGACUCCGAUCCUCAUUUAUCUUAUUUCCCCUUCAAAAUUUAACUUGCAAACAAAAUCUAAGUGUUCACUUAUUGAACUGUAGAAUGAGUUUGAUCAAGAACGUUUUAAGUGAAUCUUAAUUGAAUCAAAUAAAACUUUCUUCAACUCAUUUCAAUUUAUUUGACUUUCAUUUUAAUGAACUAAAAUUUAUUGUUACUAACCUGCAAUGCAUAAUGCAUUCACAGACUGAAUAAACUCUAAAUGGGACCUCUCUCUAUUCAUCAUUUCUUCAUAAACAUCUGUCCUUUGAUGAGUUAUUGAGAUUAAUGCACCUAAUUUUUUUUGUUAAAGAAAUCAAAAAAUGUUGGUCUCAAACACACAGGUAUGAGUACCCUGGAAUAAAAUAUCAAUAGGGGCGUUAGCAGUUCCGGUUUAAACCACGAAAUUGGUAGAACCGAAUCAAACCAUAAAAUGUGGUUCAGUUCAGUUUUGCGGUUGGGUUUGGUUAUUUAUUUAAGGAACCAUUUAUGUUCGGUUCGGUUCAUGAUUUUAAAAAUUUAUAAAUUGUUAGAACUCAACAGCAUAUUAAGUAAAUAAAUACUAGGGAAUAAUGUUAAAGUGUUGUUUGUAUUCUUCAACCAAUUUUGUGAUUUAAAUUAUCAUUUUUGUUUGCAUUGUAGUGUUAUAAAUGUUACUAAAUUAUUGUUAUAUUAGUGUUAUCUAUAUAACUACUUACUAAAUUGUUAUAUAUGUGCUACUUUCUCAAUAUCUUAUGAUUUAGAACAUAUUUUUUAACUUUCGUGGUAUUAGGUUUGAAAUUAAUAUAUACCAUAAAUUGUUAGACAUGUGUUCUUACAUAUGUUACUACUUACAAUUGUGAAUUGUAAUAUUACAUUUAUUACUAGUAUAUAUAUUACUAUUAUAUAUAUUACUAAAUUGUUAUACAUGUUACUAAUAGUAAAUUAUAUUGUUAUAUAUGUAACUAAUAUAUAUAUUACUAAUUCUGAAUGUACUAUCAUAUAUGUAGUCUUUUAUUUUUUCUUCCUAAAUUACACAAUUUUUAUAUGGGUUACUAACUUAUUAGUUUAAAUUUUUUACACAUUUAUUCCUGAUUUAUAUUUUUUGGAUAAAUAAUAUGAGUGUUUUUCUUUUUAUGGACAAACAAUGUUUCUUAUAAUAUAUUUUUAAUUUUUAAUUGAUACAAUACUUUUUUUAUAUAGAAAAUCGUGGAACCGAACCAUUUAUGAGCGUUUCGGUACCAUAAUAAAAUUUAUAGUUGAUUGAGGUGUAUUAAACUAUUUCUUUAUGUUCAAUUCAGUCACCAAAUUAAACCAAAAACCGAACUUUUAUGUUCCUAACUAUUUACCUAUUUUUAUGUUGUAGUUAAUAUAAUAAUUUUAAUGUUUAAGUAUGUUUUUAGUAUCUAAAAAACAAUUGGCACCCUACAUGGUGCUUUAAUUUUAUAUUUUCUUUUUAUUUCUUAUUUUUAGUGUUUUUGGGCAUCAACAACCAACAAUCAUCUAUCUGGAAAACCAAAGAUCUAAUUGAUUAUAGAUGCUGUUGACAAUCUUUGUAGGAUUGAUAGUUGAAGUUGGAGAUGUUAUUACCAUUGCUAUUGUUCAACCCUCUCACCAUAGUCAUUCACCACACAUUGUCCUUCUCACCUUUGAAUCAAUUCUACAAUCCCAUAAAACAUCGUUGGAACCCAUGUACAUGAACAAGUCACAUAUUCCCAUGGCCUUGGCAUGAAUAUUAUAGUGCAGUAAGUAUAGAAAAUGUCAACAUAAACCUUUAAUUAUGUCGUUACACUCUCCAACUCUUCAUGUCCACAAUCUAUGUUCUGCUGCAUUGGAAUUCUUUUCCCUUCAAAAUGUCAAGACAAUUUAGAAGAUUACAUGGAAGUUUUUAACUGCGAUGACGAGAGCCAUAGUGCAUUACAUUGAGAAAAGAAAAGGAUGUAUGCAUAACAAAUUUUUAUAUUGUGAACGUAUCAUUUAUAUUCUUAUAAAAGUUAAAUAAUGUUUUUUAAGUCAUGAGAAAAAUGACUUCAUAAUAUAAGAGUUUUAUAUAUUAUUACUAUAUCAUCUAUCAUUCAUAUAUUUAAUUAUCAUUGAUAUAAAUAAAUGAUAUAUUGAUUAUAUAUAGAUUUUUACAAUGAAAAUCUAUUCUUAAGUUCAUAACAUUUCCAUUCUUAGUUCGGUUCAACGUAUUAUUUUAUAUCAUUCUUAUUUAUAUUUGAGUAUCACAAUUUAUCCAUAAGUUUUUUAUUUUAUAAUAACAAACGAUUUCUCUGUCUUUUUUUUGUGCUUUCCAAACCCACAUUUUCUUAUUUAGAAUAAACACAAGAUAUUUCUUGUACAAAUAAUAUUACAUAUUCUUAAAAAAAUAAUAAUAGCGAAUGAGAGGAUAAUAUUUUAUUUAAAUAAGAAUGGAUUAUUAUCUAUGAUCUAAUUCCUAAUUUUUUUGGUAUCAUGAAAGUAUUCACUUUUGGAUAAUAAACUAAUCCAUUCCAAAAUAUAUAUUUGUCCUCUUAAUAAAUGUUAUUUUCAAUAAUCAAACCAUUAAUAUUUGGAUUAUCUUAAAGAUCUAGCGAACCUUACAUUAGUAAACUAGUUCUAAUCCCAAUUUGUUAAGGUUAGUCAAAUUCCAAACAAACUCGUUUGGAAAGGAAAUUGAUGUUGGCGAAAAUAUCCCUUAUGAUGGGUCCACCAUCUUUCUAACAGAUACACACUGAUAAGCGAAACAGUAAGAAGCUAUUGAGUCUCACUCACUGUUACUUCCUCAGUCUCACUAUGUCGCAAACGCCGCAUCUCGUCGUCGCUAAUAACGUCGGUAAGUCACUCUCUCCUAUUAUUCUCUCAUCCUCUAUGCUUUGUGAUUAUUCUCCUUCUUUUUUUCCCCAUAAACUUAAUGGAACACACAAUAACCUUAACCACUUAAUACUAAAUAAAUAGCUGCUCCAUUUUCAAAAAUCUACCGUGUCUCUUUUUUCAUUUACUUACUUUUGUAUUGAACACUAGGGUUUUUGCAUUGCAGUGUGUUGCUAAAUUUCCUCUAUUAUUUUUUUAAAUUUUUGUAGCUUUGUGAUAGAAAGCUUCUUGCUUUAUGAGUUUUUUUAAUGGUUUUGUUUUUUCCCUGCAUUUUUGUUAGCUCUAUGUGGGAACUAAUGGUUUGAGAGAGAUAGAAUAUUGUUUUCAUAUAUGAGGUUUUGGUGUUUCUAUUGCCUGUAACGUAUUUGAUGAAAUGCCAGUGUUAAACUGUAGUAGUUGUUGGACAUCUAGUAGUAAAAAAUCGGCAGUCCCAGAUAGCGGCCAACCCCAAAAAUACUAUAGCGGGAUAGCGGGUAGCGGGACAACCACUACAACUAAGAAAAAAAAAUAUAUAAGUAGUUUAUAGCCUACAUAUAUAAAUACUAAAAUUAAUCAUAUUAAAGACACAUUCCUAAUUAAUAAUCAAGAAAAAAGUAUUAAAGGUUCUAGAGCUAAUCAAAGUUGGAUGCCAUAACAGAAUUGUAUCUCACAAAAUUGAACCACACGAAGAUGAUGUCAAUUGGGUUAAAUCAGUUUAAUAAGAGAAUCAAUAAGGAGAUGAUAGGGCAAACAAUCAGGGACCAAGAAUUUUCUUUUAAGAAAAGAUGGAGAAUGAUCGUAAAUUAGGAAGCCUUGCAAUUUUGUUCUAUGCUGAUGAAGAACAUGUAAGCAAUUGAACAUGUGAACUGGAAUUUGGAAGAAGAAAGGUAUAACCAAUUAAAAAUCACAUGGCCUAGGAAAAUCAAUGUGUUAAGUAGAAGGGAAAGAAUGGGAGGUUAAAUUACCUAAAACCCUAGUGAAAAACCAGCCACCUAUUAAAAAGAGGAGCAAAAAAUACUUUUCUUCUAUAAAGUUAGGGUUCCACUCGCAAUAAAACAUGUAGCGGGUCAUGAUCCGCUAUUUUCCCUGCAAUUUUGCCGCUAUUUGACCUGCUACAGGUGCUACAGCCAUCUGCACCGCUAUCCACUAUGGCGUUGCGGGUAAUGGUCGAAGCACUGCUACAGUCCGCUAUUGCGGCGCUAUAGCGUGCUAUUGACUACCUAGGUUGGACACUUUCAUUAUUAAAGGAAGUACUCUUCUCCGAAACUGCCUUGGGAUUUCUUCUUUCUGAAUACUUUCGUUAUGUUUGUUUUGAGUUUUGACAAUGUUUGGAUUUUCUAUGUGAUUCCUUCCCUCCUGCUUAUUGCUAUUGUUCAAUUCAAAAUGUGGUAAAUAAAAUUGGAUGGUCAUUAUGCUUAUUUUAAGUUGUAUUAGACAAUGGAUUGUAAUGUUGUAUGUUGUUGAUCAGGAUUCUUUACCUUUAGAAAGGUUCUCACCAAACUGAAAUAAUGGAUUUUUUUUAUUCUGUUUUUCUUUUGUGAUUGAAACAGUUACUGUAUUUUCGGUCAAUAGGUUUUAUCUGCAAGCUGCUUCUAGAAUAGUCUUAAGUCAUCAUGACUAUAGCGUUAUUAGUAUGUUCUUAAGCUGGUUUUUUUAUGGCUGGGUUCCCAUUAUUAGUCUUCUCACUUUGAUGCUUAUUAUCCGUAAAUUCAGAGGUUUGAGUACGUGGUGCCUUGUGUAGGGUUUCUCUUGCAGCCUUGUUUUGUGUCAUUUACUGUCGUUGUUUAUUUUUCAUUUCUCAUAGACUCAUACUUUACCUUCCUCUUUGUGGGUGUUUGUUGAAUUGGUUUCAAUGAUAUUGCAGGUUGUGGAAUGUCAGAAGUAAGGUGUCUCCCAUGUUCAGGCGUUUCUGGAAGGACAACUGCUAUAUAUUCUUGCUCUUCUCUGAGUCAUUACAGCAUUCAUUCACAUGUCAAAAUUAGAGGGCUAAAGUGUGCUUCUGCGGGGGCAUCUUUUGUGUGCGAAGCAAGGAAGAAUCCAGAUUUCUCAAGGCAAAACAAGCAUGGGUCCUCCAGAAGCAGGAACAGGCACAAUGAAAGUAGAGAUAGCUUUGAGAACUUCGAAGAAGAUAUGUUGUCUUUGAAAAACGGACCAUUGGUAUCACUUUCUACUGCUGGAAAAUCCCAGGCAACUGCAGCCCCUGGACCUAGAGAGAAGGAGAUUGUUGAGCUAUUUAGGAAGGUUCAAGCUAAGCUGCGUGAGAGAGCUGCUACCAAGGAAGAAAAGAAGGUUGAAACCCCCCAAGGACGUGGUAAAGAGAAUGGUACUGUUGAUUCCCUCCUCAAGCUACUGAAGAAACACUCAAAUGAGCAACAAAAGAAAAGCAGUGGAGGAGGCAGAGGGAAAGAUUUUAGUUUGGACGGGUCGCAAGAAAGUAGUCAAUAUGAUGGUGGACGAAGCACUAAAUUUUCCAAUUUGGAUAAUGCUCCAAAGGAUAACUCCCGAGAAUCCAGCUUCUCAUCUGUAACUAGGCCUCGGUCAAGUUUCCAACGAAGGUCUCCUGUUCCUCGUGUAAAACACCAGUCUGUCUCUUAUAAUGAGGAAGAUACUAAUGUAGUGCCACCAAGUAGUGAGGUUAGAGUAAACAAUCAUGAUCAGAGAGAUCUGAAGCUUGAUCAUAAGGUGGAGCCUAGUUCUGAACUAAAUCUUGAUCAUGAGUUAGAGCCUGAUUCUGAACCAGAUCUUGAUCUUGAAUCGGAGAACGACUCUGAACCAGAUCUUGUUCCAAAGGACAACCUGUUCUUCCCAGAUAUCCCAAUUGCUGAGUUGACAGAUAAUGAUUCUCAUGAUUCUGAACAAACAUAUGAGGAGGAACAUGCAGAGGAACAGCUAGUGGUUCAAAAUGAGGAUUUGAGUGCACUGAAGCUGUCUGAAUUGCGGGCACUUGCGAAGUCUCGUGGCCUAAAAGGGUUCUCAAAAAUGAAGAAGGAUGAUCUUAGGGAGUUGCUAACUGGGAAUUGAUUCUGAUCAACAAUUUGCCAGACAAGCAACAACAGACAACACAUGUCAGACUAUAAAAUAGAUGUUUCUUUUCUGUUUUUACCCUUCAUUCUAUUUGGUGUUUUGUAUUUUUUCCGAAGUCUAAUGCUUCUAACUAGACGAGUUUUAUACAUUUGGACAUCAUUCUUUGAAUCCUUCUUUAUUUUAAAUAUCCAUUCACAACUAAUAAGUUUUAUUCUUUCAUUCAAGAAGAUCCCAAACUUUAAUAUCAUGUAUAGAUUUCAUCUCAUUCUUCCCGACAUUAAUUCACUUAUAAAAGUUAGAACUAGGCAUAAUUUGAUAGAAAUUGACUGGUUCAUCAUCUAUUAAACUGAUGUCAUUUUCAUGUUUUCCAAGAAACACAAUAUAAACAUUUGGGGUUGCAUUUCUCCUCUUUAGUACAUCUCAUUCACUACACACUCACUUCCACUUCUUGAGGUUGUUUAGGUUGCUCUCUAAGUACUUUAGGGGAACCUUAUUGUUAUCUUGUUUUAUAAUAUUACCGAUAACAAUAGUAUAAAAAUUAUAUUCUAUUAACGGAGUUGUGUCUUGAAUGAUAAUAGGUACAAUGGCUCGAUCACUAUUAAUAACAAAUUCUUAUUUAAAGACAACAUUUUUUAUGUUAUCUUUGAAAGUGCAAAGUGUCAAGGAUAGCACUAGCAUAUCUUUGCCUAUGUUUUGAUGAAGAUAAGAUUCUAACAAAGCUUGAAGAUGACUCAACAAUCAACAUGCAUUAUGCUCAUUUGGUCAUAUUUAGACUAGGAUGUAAAUUGAGUCUAAAAUCUAAGUAGUCUGGGAUGUGUGCAGUAGUAAGUGAGUAUAGGUUAGGUGAACCUAGGUGCAAGUCUCUUAAGUCAUCUUAAUUGUCACAUCAUAUUCAUGAAACAUAUCGUCUAGUUAAUUGUAUGUUCAUGCAUCUAUCAUACAUGUUAUAUGUACAUAUUAGGCAUAAUAUAAUUGGUAAAACAUGUAUAUAUAUUGUGCAUAACAUACGAGAAGUUUACCAUUUGAAACAUAUGCAUGUUCUAGUUAAUCGAUUAACGUGGUAACUUAAUCGAUUAACUCAACUGUUUUUCUUUUAAAUGUGUGUUUUCUGUUUGAACUAAAUUCUGUGUCAUUCUGUUGCCCCAUUAAUUGAUUAAAGAGAAGCCUUAAUCGAUUAACUAGUCUGUUAUUUGUUAUAACUAAAAUCUGUUUUAACUAUUUAACUGUUUUGCAACGAAUGUAACCGCCUAUUCUCUAUGCUAUAAAUACAAGGCAUUGUUCAGAAAACCACAGCAUUGCAUUCUAUUGUAUAGGGUUGUUUAGAGAGCAUUUUGCAUACGUGUUUUACUGUAUUUUUGCAAGAGAGUUGCAUGCGUGAGAAGAGAGAUUAUGCUGGUUUAAUUGAUGUUAUAUGCUUACUGUUUUUGCAUAAUUCUGUAUCUAUUCUUAUCUUGCUCACAUGCUCAUGCAUUAGAUAUUGUUAGAGAGAAAUUAUCUGUAUACUGAUAUUGAUUAACUCAUUUGAAUCUUGAUGGCUUAAGUGGUUAGUAAAAGGGUUAAUCUUUGAGUCUUUAUCUUGUCNNNNNNNNNNNNNNNNNNNNNNNNNNNNNNNNNNNNNNNNNNNNNNNNNNNNNNNNNNNNNNNNNNNNNNNNNNNNNNNNNNNNNNNNNNNNNNNNNNNNAGGGUAGAGUCAAACCAAGGAUUUAGAGGUCCUAGAUUUCAAGAAGGGAGCGUCCUAUGUGCUUGUAAUUGAAUUGGUAUUUGUAUCCAUAUUUCAAUAUUGUGAAGAAAGAAAAUCUCCCUGAUCCAGAAGGGAAGGCUUGGAUGUAGUUUAUAGUGAACCGCAAACGAAUUAGGAUAAAAAUCCUUUGUGCACUGUUCUUUCUCUCUUUAUCUUCUUUAUGUUUCUUGCCAUUAUAAAUUCUUGCCAUUAUCUGUAAUUGAAAAGUUGGAUAUUUGUUUACUAUCAUAUACUUAAUAAUUAUGCGUAAAAAUAUCUGUAUUAUAUAUGUUCAAUUUUGUUUUAAUUACUGUGCCAAUUGCCUGUCUAAUCAUUCUGUUCUGUGCAAUAGUUAAUUGAUUAAACCUUGUUGUUAAUCGAUUAACUGGGCUAUUUCCAGCAGUUGGGUUUUGGUUCAAGAAGCGGUGAUUGAUAACCGCUACACCAAUUCAACCCCCCUUCUAGGUGAUCCUAGGCCACUAAUACCUAACAAGUGGUAUCAGAGCUAGUACGACGUGCUAGCUCAACCGCAUUCGCGUGAUCCGAAGGGAAUUAAAAUGGGUUCCACCAACCCCUUUGGCGGUGAUGGUGCAUCCAUUAACGUCCUCACGUAUUUAGUGGCGAGGGUUACGCCUACUGGAAAGUCCGAAUGAAAAUAUUCAUUGAGGCUAUUGAUUCGGAUAUUUGGGAAUCCGUAAUUAGUGGCCUCUUCGCCCCACUUCACUUAGUGGAUAGCAAACCGAAAGAAAAGCCAAAAACGCUUAUGGACCGAUGAGGAGCGCAAGAAGGUCCAGUUUAACCUUCGCGCCAAAAACAUCAUUACCUCGGCUCUAUCCAACGAUGAAUUCUUUUGGGUAUCUCAAUGUCAAAGUGCCAAGGAAAUGUGGGACACUUUAAAAGUGACUCACGAAGGCACUAGCGAAGUCAAGCGCGCCCGGCUAAACGCGCUAACUCACGAAUACGAAUUAUUUCAUAUGCUACCGAGUGAAUCAAUCGACGAUAUGAAAAAACGAUUCACUCACAUUAUUAACCAUCUUAUUGAUUUAGAUAAGAUGUUCACCAAAGGAGAGCUCGCUAAUAAAGUCUUACGUUGUCUUGACAAUGCAACCUAAAGUAACAGCAAUCAUGGAGUCCAAGGAUCUAGACUACAUGCCUCUGACAACACUCUUUGGAAAGCUUCAGGAGCAUGAGAUGGAGCUUGGGCGUUUGACAAUGCAUGAGGAGUCCGAUCGCAAAAAGAAGGGAAUAUCUCUUAAAGCUUCAACAUCACAACCCAUCGAAGAGAUAGAUAAUGACGACUCCGAUUCAGACAUUGACGAGGAAACGCUAAACCUCCUUGUACGAAAAUUUGGAAAUUUCUUGAAGAAUAAAGGAUGACUUAGACGAUUCCAAAGGAAAAAAGAAAGGACUUAGACGAUUCCAAAAGAAAGAAGCGUGUGAAUCAACAAAGAAAGGCAAGACAAAUGAGCGCUUCACUUGCCAUGAAUGUGGUAAGCCAGGACACAUGAAGUAUCAGUGCCCCACUUACUUAAAAAUAGUUGAUUCAGAGAAGAGCACUCCCCGGGACUUCAAGUCAAAGAAAGCAUACAUCGCCUGGGAUGUACCGGAGGAAGAAACAACAUCAAGCACCUCGGAUGAAGAGGAGACCGCGAAGUUGUGCUUAAUGGCUAUAUCAGAUGAGGCUUGCGGAUUAGGUAGCAAGGAUACUUCAGAUGAGGUAUACUCUGAUACAUCAUUCUCUUCUUCUGAUUCUCCCUCAUAUGAAAUAUUAUAUAGUGCUUAUGAGAUGCAUGAAGAACUUAAAAAAUCAGCAAAGUUAAGUAACGAGAGAAAAAGAAUAAUUUUGCUAAACCAACAAAAAAUAAUUCAACUGCAGAAAGAAUUAGAUGAAUUAAAAUUGGAAACAGAAACAUUAGAUCUAAUUUUUUCCCGUGCUUCACGCGAUUGCUCGAAUAAUAACUUAUGUCAAAAUACUACCUGUGAGUCUUGCGAGGACUUGAAAAACGAAAAUUUUAAACUAAAUGAAAAACUCGCAAAACUCACAAAUAGUAAAAACCAAUUAGACACUUUGCUUAGCAAAACAAGGAACGUUAGUGAUCAUACUGGAUUAGGAUAUGUUCCCCCAUCCCAUAAAAAUAGACCAUAUAGGAGACCUCUAACACGCCAAUAUAGAAAUUCAAAUAAGAAAAAUAGAGUUCCCACAUACCAUUACUGUGGCACAUAUGGCCAUACAUCUAAUUCUUGUUACAUCAGGAAAUAUGGGAUACCCAGUGGCGUUUACACUUAGGUAAGAAAGGGAGAUAACUCCCUAGUCACUAACAAGAAAGGACCGAACAUAAUUUGGGUACCUGAGUCUAGCAGAUGAUCUAUAUUGCAGGUAUGUCUUCGAACACACGGACAAAAUUGGUAUCUUGAUAGCGGCUGUUCGAGACAUAUGACUGGGGACAAGUCGAAAUUCAUAGACUUGUCGUUGAAAGAAAAGGGAUUCGUCAGCUAUGAAGACAACAACAAAGGAAGAAUCUUGGGCACCGAGAAGAUUGGCAACGCAACCCACACAAUAAUCGAGAACGUUCUCUACAUAGAAGGUUUGGAACACAAUUUAUUGAGUAUAAGCCAAUUAUGCGACAAAGGUAAUACUGUGUCUUUUGAUUCUGACUGUUGUAUCAUUUGUGAUGUAUUAUCUAAUAACGUUAAGUCUGUCGGGUAUCGGGUAAAUAAUAUUUAUAUGGUUAAUCUGGAGGAUGUCACUUCUCUUUUCUCAAAAUGUCUUAUUUCAAAAGAAGAUGACAUCUGACUUUGGCAUAGACGCGUCGCUCACAUACAUGUGAAGCAUUUAUAAAAUUUAUCGAAAAAUAAUUUAGUAAUCGGUCUUCCAAAACUUGAUUUUAAAACUCAAGAUUCCUGUGACAUGUGUUAGAAAUGUAAACAAGUCAGGAAUUCAUUUAAUAAAAAGAAUGUGAUAUCCACUACUAGACCAUUGAAGAAUAUACCAUGCAAGUAGAAGAGUCUAUUCAUGUCCAUUUUGACGAAUUUUCUCCAAAAGAGAAGAGAAAGGUCUUUUCUGAUGAUGUUUCAGGUACACUUGAAGAAGUAUCAUACUAGGACAUGGAAGAAAUCCAACAAGAAGCAGAGCAAACACUAGCAGAACAACAUCAGGAAAUGCCUAUCGCGUGAAAAACUAAAAAGGAUCGUCCACUUGAUAAGGUGCUAGGUGAUAUAUCUACGGGAGUGAUAACCCGUAGCUCUUUACGAAACUUUUGCAAUUUUGUUGCAUUCGUGUCACAAUUAGAGCCUAAAACCAUCGAUGAAGCCAUCGAGGAUGUACACUGGGGUAUAGCUAUGCAAGAAGAGCUAAACCAGUUCGAGCGAAACAAUGUGUUGGACUUGGUCCCCAAACCAAAAUAUCAUCCCGUUAUUGGCACCAGAUGGGUCUUCCAAUAAGCUAGAUGAAUCUAGCUUAAUAAUUAGAAAUAAGGCUUGCCUAGUGGCCAAAGGCUACAACCAGAAGGAUGACAUCGAUUAUGAUGAGACCUACAUUCCUGUAGCCAAACUUGAGGCCAUUAGGAUGCUCUUGUCAUUUGCAUCAAUCAUGAACUUCACACUUUUUCAAAUGGAUGUUAAAAGUGCCUUUUUAAAUGGAUAUAUUCAAGAGGAAGUGUACGUAGACCAACCACAAGGGUUUGAAAACUUCAAAUACCCGAACCAUGUAUAUAAACUCAAGAAGACCCUCUAUGGCCUAAAGCAGGCUCCCAGAGCCUAGUACGAUAGAUUGAGUUCGUUCCUUCUAGAAAAAGGGUUCAAAAGAGGUUUGGUCGACACCACUCUAUUCACUCGUAGAUCUGAUAAUCAUUUUUUACUCGUACAAAUAUAUGUUGAUGAUAUUAUCUUUAGAUCUACUAAUGACAUCCUUUAUAAGGAGUUUUCUGAGUUGAUGCAGGGAGAGUUUGAGAUGUCGAUGAUGGGUGAGUUGACCUUCUUUCUUGGACUUCAAAUCAAACAAAUGGAAAGUGGCAUCUUCAUCCAUCAGUCGAAGUAUUACAAGGAAUUAUUGAAGAAUUUCGACAUGGAGCAGUGUAAGGAGGCAUCUACACCUAUGACAUCUGCAUGUUAUCUGGACAGAGAUGAAAAAGGAAGCGAUUGAGGUAAACAAAUAUCGUGGGAUAAUCGGCUCCUUAUUGUAUUUAACUGCUAGCCGCCCCGAUAUUAUGUUUAGUGUUUGUAUGUGUGCUAGGUUUCAAGCUUUGCCAAAAGAAUCGCAUUAUAUUGCUAUAAAAUGUAUCAUAAGAUAUCUAAAAGGAACUAUUCAUAUGAGAUUAUGGUAUCCUAGGGAUGCCUCCCUAUCCUUGGUAGGUUAUUCCGAUUCCGACUUCGCUGGGUGUAAGUUGGAUCAUAAAAGCACUAAAGUUGGAUCGUAAAAGUACUAGUGGGACUUGUCACCUAUUAGGCAGCUCCCUAGUUGCAUGGCACAGCAAAAAGCAAGCGUGCGUUGCUUUGUACAUCGCUGAAGCGGAAUACAUUGUCGCUGGCGUGUGUUGCGCUCAAAUCCUUUGGAUGAAGCAGUAACUUAAGGACUUUGGGCUCAUAUUAGAAAAUAUCCCUAUUUAAUGUGAUAACACGAGUGUCAUUAACCUCUCCAAGAAUCCUGUCUUACAUUCUAGAACUAAGCAUAUUUAAAUAAGACAUCAUUUCUUGUGUAAUCAUGUUCAAAAAGGUGAUUGUAUAGUAGAAUUUGUUGAAACAACUAAACAAUUGGCAGGUAUUUUCACCAAGCCCCUCUCACGAGAUACUUUCUAUGUUCUUCGAAGAGAACUAGGAAUCCUUGAUGAAAAAUAUCUUGAUUAAUAAUUUUUUGUGAUUGCCUUGCAUGAUCCCUUCGAAUGCCUUGUAAAUGAUGAUUGAAUGCUUAAAUAUAUGUGAUAGCUUAAAAUCAAAUUAUCCAAUUAAGUUUGAAAUCCAUGCAUGCUUUUAAAAACAUCCAAAAUGCUGAAACUGAUGCAUUUAAUCGAUUAAGUAAAUCGAUUACCUGGGCCAAAACUUUUAAAACUGGCAUUUUCAACUCAGGUUAAUUGAUUAAGAGAUGCUAUUAAUCGAUUAACGACAUCAAUAUAUUAGAAACAAAAGCGUUUCUGGACAUUUUUCAAAACCCCAUUCAUCCCCUUUUCUCUCAAAUCUUAGAGGAACAAGUCCAACAUCAUCCUAAGCUUCAUCCUAGCCCUAAACUGAAUCACCCCACUGCAUUUUCACUCCAUAAGCCGUCUUCCUCAUCUCCUAUUUCCAAGCAUUUCGUUUUCCCCAAAUUCAAAGCCUUACCUUAGGUUUCCCUCAAGCUUCCUCUAAACCUCCAUCACGAUUCAAUGUUUGAUUGCUAUGGAUAGAGGACGUGGAAAGAGAAUCAAGACAACCGCACAACGUCCACCGCAUGCUCCAAAAGUCGUGCCUCCUCCACAACCACGACAGAACCGCAGGGACCCAUACUACUCAUUAAUUCUACAAGAAACUCGGUUGUAGAAAUUUCAGGGAAGAAAACCCACUUGUAUUCGGUUUGCGAAUGUGACUUGGCUUGCGGAACAGAACUUCAAUUUUCCACAUGGCUUGCAAGCUCAAGGGGCUGUCCCCUUCUUGGAAUUGAAAUGUAAUAUUUACCCUGCUAUAGUUAGGGAGUAUUACGCGAAUUUUAGAUAUAAAGAUGAGAAAUAUUGGUCGAUGGUAACUGGAAAGUUGUUCGAAAUUAAUGAAGAAAUCUUUAUGAUUGUGGGUGAUUUAGCUUUUUCUGGUGCUAGUUUAAGCGAUUGUGGUUGGGCAAACGACAACUCAUUUGACGCUGUUGAAAUGUAUAAGUCGUGUUUGCUUAGACCUCAACUCUAUGUCCAAGGUGAAUUGACCAACUCUAUGAUAAAUUGGCCUGAUGAGAUUUUGAAGGUCAUGUAUAACGUCUCAGCCUCUCAAUCAAGACUACUUCUGUAUAGUAUCUUCAUAUCCCGAGUUAUUGACUAUCUACAUAUUGAUGUUUCAGAUACUAUAGUGAUUUACUGCUUAGACAAGGAUCACUUGAUUGGUGAGAGUUUAAUUCACAAGAUGGACAUCUACAAGAAUGGCAACACCUGACAAUAUAAAGAGGACUUCAACAAUGCUAACCUUGAUCCUUCUGGUGAAGAUGAUCAAGACAUGAACCAAGAGCCAUUUGCUACAACUCAGGGGGAGCAUUCAGGACAUGCAUCACAGGAACCUGCUUUUGGACAAGCUUAUAUGGAUGCUAUGGAACAACGUCUCAACAAUAGGAUGGACCUUCACUUUUAGUCUCUUAAGGAUUCAUAUCAUACGAAUUUGGAACAUUUUGAGGAACGUCAGAAUGCAUAUAUUGACAACCAUUACCAAUCCUUGCGGAAUUAUAUUUAGUCUACUAAUGAUUCUCAGAAUAGAAGAAUGGUUGCUGAGUUCAACAAGUUGAGUGUCUUCAUCAAGGGUGGUUGUAGUUCGUCGAUUCCUGAGAACCAGAAUCCUCUAUCUCAUCCUUAGAUAGGAAACCUUAGAGCCUUAGUUUAGUCUUCCUAGCUAAUGGACCUUGUUGAUCCUUGUUUACUCUUGAGAUCUUAUGUUUUGUAUUGCAUUGCAGUUUUUCUUUGGAUUAUAACAACUCUAUAUCUACUGCUGAACUACUGUUUUACAUUCUGUGGUAAAAUGAUUUCGAAUUAUCGCGUUUAUACUUGAUUGUUAAUUAUGUUGCAUAUAGCACAGUAGUUUGUUUGAAAUGAAUCUUGAUCAUGAUUGGUAUAUGUGAUUAUAUUGAAUGAUUGUGCCUAUUGCAAACUGCUCAAAUAUAUCAAAUGCUUAAUCAUUCCGUGCUUGAUUUGCUUCUGCAUAACCUUUCAUGUCAUUCAAACUGUUCCGUGGCUAUCUGCUGUCAAUUUAAUUGAUUAACGGUUUCACUUAAUCGAUUAAAUGAUGUAAAACUGUGAAUUUGUUCAAGCUUCUUACAGCUGGUUAAUUAGUUACAUAUCCAAGUUUAAUUGAUUAAUUACAGUCUGUCAUAAAUAACUCUCCUAACUUUUGACUAGAAUUGAAUACGUUUAUCUUUUUGAUAAUGUCAAAAGGGGGAGAAAGGUUGCUUGUUGUGUUACAUACAUUUUGCAGGUUGUAGAAUGUUUUUUGUAGGUUGUUCUAUCAAGCUUCCGUACAUAAUUCUGCUUACCUAUAAGGAAGCAAUGCACUUUAACUUUGUUCUUAGAAAAACAGCCUUAGUCAACCAUUAUGCAAAAUCAUUAUCAAGCUUAUCCAUCAACAAUUGAAUAAUUUUGAUGAAGUGUUUGUCAUCAUCAAAAAGGGGAGAUUGAAAGUGAAAAGUGUCAAGGAUAGUACUAGCAUGCCUUUGCCUAUGUUUUGAUGAAGACAAGGUUCUAAUAAAGCUUGAAGAUGGCUCAACAAUCAACAUGCCUUAUGCUCAUUUGGUCAUAUCUAGACUAGGAUGUAAAUUGAGUCUAAAAUCUAAGUAGUCUGGGAUGUAUGCAAUAGUAAGUGAGUAUAGGUUAGGUGAAUUAGUUUCUUAAGCCAUCUUAAUUGUCAUAUCAUAUUCAUGAGACAUAUCAUCUGGUUAAUUGUAUGUUCAUGCAUCUAUCAUACAUGUUAUAUGUGCAUAUUAGGCAUAAUAUAAUUGGUAAAAUAUGUAUAUAUAUUGUGCAUAACAUAUGAUAAGUUUACCAUUUGAAACAUAUGCAUAAAUGUUCCAGUUAAUUGAUUAACGUGGUAACUUAAUCGAUUAACUCAACUGUUUUUCUUUUAAAUUUGUGUUUUCUGUUUGAACUCAAUUCUGUGUCAUUUUGUUGCCCCGUUAAUCGAUUAAAGAGAAGCUUUAAUCGAUUAACUAGUCUGUUAUUUGUUAUAAUUGAAAUCUGUUUUAAUUGUUUAACUGUUUAACUGUUUUCCAACGAAUGUAACCGCCUAUUCUCUAUGCUAUAAAUACAAGGCAUUAUUCAGAAAACAACAACAUUGCAUUCUAUUGUAUACGGCUGUUUAGAGAGCAUUUUGUAUACAUGUUUUACUGUAUUUUUGCAAGAGAGUUGCAUGCGUGAGAAGAGAGAUUAUGCUGGUUUAAUUACUGUUAUAUGCUUACUAUUUUUGCAUGUAUUCAUUCUUAUCUUGCUCACAUGCUCAUGCAUUAGAUAUUGUUAGAGAAAAAUUAUCGGUAUACUGAUAUUGAUUAACUCAUUUGAAUCUUGAUGGCUUAAGAGGUUAGUAAAAGGGUUAAUCUUUGAGUCUUUAUCUUGUCAUAUUUUAAGCAUUAUUGUGCUUAGUAUACCUUGCUGUUUAACGUGUUUUUGUGUUGUCUGGAUUUGUCUCUUGGUGUGAGAUCACCACAGAGAUUGGGGUUCUUCACUAAGGCCUGAUUUGAGGAUAAGAAUCUUGGCUGGGCUAGUUCGUGAGAAAGGUUUUCUCAGAGGCGAAGGGUAGAGUCAAACUAAGAAUUUAGAGGUCCUAGAUUUCAAGAAGGGAGCGUCCUAUGUGCUUGUAAUUGAAUUGGUAUUUGUAUCCAUAUUUCAAUAUUGUGAAGAAAGAAAAUCUCCCUGAACCAGAAGGGGAGGCCUAGAUGUAGUUUGCAGUGGACCACAAACGAACCAGGAUAAAAAUCCUUUGUGCACUGUUCUUUCUCUCUUUAUCUUCUUUAUGUUUCUGGCCAUUAUAAAUUGAAUCUGUAAUUGAAAAGUUGGAUAUUUGUUUAUUAUCAUAUACUUAAUAAUGGUGCGUAAAAAUAUCUGUAUUAUAUCUGUUCAAAUUUGUUUUAAUUAUUGUGCAUAUUGCCUGUCUGAUUAUUCUGUUUUGUGCAAUAGUUAAUCGAUUAAACCUUGCUGUUAAUCGAUUAACUAGGCUGUUUCCAGCAGUUGGGUUUUGGUUCAAGAAGCGGUGAUUGAUAACCGCUACACCUAUUCAACCCCCCUUCUAGGUGUUCCUAGGUCACUGAUACCUAACAACCUUUCAUCUCAGACUCUACAUUCUCAAGAAAUCACACAUUUCUUGUUUUAAUAAAAAUUUUGAAGUGAAAUUAUAAAACUUACAACCUUACGAGUGCUCAUGAUAUCAAACAAAAUAACAAUGUUUCUGAAUUUGUAUUUCUUUCACGUGGCCUAUAAGACGUGCCUUAGCUAAACAACCAUAGACGUGCAAAGGGUCAUGGACAUUUUCUUGACCCAUCAUAUCUAUCAUAGUGUUUACUAUCUCAGUCAGAUUUGACAACCUUAAUUUUCUUUAUGAAUUGAAGUUUAACUUUAACCUUGAAAAAGUCCUAGAGAAAUGACUUGAAAAAGUACAACUUUAAUUGUAAGGAAAGGACCACAUGGAUUUGUAUGUAUAAGUUUUAAGAUAUUCUUAACUAUUUUGAAACCUAAUUUUGUUAUGUUUAUUUAUUUUCCAUCUAGCAUUUAACAUAAACUUCAAAGUCUGAAAAAUCCAACAUAUUAAAAUAUCAUUAGAUACAAGUUUUUGAAUUAUAUAUUUAGAUGUAUGAUCUAAAUGUUUAUGUCAUAGUAUAACUAAAUUCUAAUUUAGUUCUUAAUAACUAGAGUGAUAAAUAUAUGUCAUUUAUGUGUCAUGCAACAUACCUAUAACACUCUUUCUUUAUGUGUCAUGACUUCUUACAAAAUUUGCUCCUAAAUUUCUCAUUACUCUUUCGUUUCUUUUGCUUAGAAGACUCAUCCACAAUACUGUUAUUAUUCUUUCUUUUCUUAUCUUGAGAGGUUGUUGUUGUAAAAAAAUCUUUAAUAAUAGACUUUAAUUGGUGGGAGAUACUUUAUACUUAAAGAUACAUAAUAUAUACUAAAGAUGAUGAACACUAUCAUCAUAUAUAGCCAAGAUCUUUCAUGUCAAAUCAUCAAGAAGAAUAUAGAUAAAACUAAAGCGGAAACGUACCUUAAUAUAUUCAUAGAGAAUAUGGUGAAAGAACUUUAUGUCAUCCUCCUUUAUCAUGUAUCGUUCAACUUCAUAUCAUUUAUCCUUAUAUGCAAAUACAUGCUCAUAGUAGAGCAUGUGGGUUCCAAUUGUAGAUCACCAUUAGUCUUUAGUUCAUCUUCUAAUAGGAUGAAGAGAAUAAAAUUGAUUUUGUUAUAUCUAUAAUUGGGGACCAUAACCCCUUAUUUAUAAGGAAGUGCAUACCCUUCCAUGAAGGGUGAUGCUACUUGAUUUUCUUAUUCCAAUUUUGCCCAUCAUAAAAUAGAAAUAAGACUUUAGAUAUCUACACAAUAAUUUUCAUGACAAUUAUAUCUAUAGUCAUAUACCUUACUUGAAUGGGACCACAUCUACUGUCUCACUUUGUGUACCAUUCCAUGUACCAUCAACUCUGAUUGGUUGAAAAAAAUUAUUUAAGUUAAAAUUUUAAUUAUUAAAUAUUUUUCUAGCCAAUCACAUCUUUUGACACAUGGAGUGACACAAAGCUGCGGGACAACAGAUGUGCUCCCUACUUGAAUUAGAUUACUUUAAUUUGGCUACAUAAGAUAAUGACUCUAAACACAUUUAAACAUUACAUGUGUGACCUAAAAUGCCUUACAAUUGUAGCCAAAUGAACAACUUUAGUCUUGCCCUCUGCAUGCUUUCUUCAUCGUGUAUAUAGUGAGAUAUAAGCUCACUAAGGGACCAUUUAUCAAUCUGAGUGUUAUAUCCCACUUUCAGUUGUAAAAGUAUUAAAAUCAUGUACAAGAGCAAGUUCUAACCAAGUUAUAACUUGAGUGGCUUAAGUUUUAAUAUGUAAUUAGAUAUGUCCACAAUGUGCUCUUUUGUGUUCUAUUUGCCUUUAUACCUUCAUGAAAAUGAAUUUAACUAACAAAUUAUUUAUCCAUGCCUUGUCAUUUUUCAAAAGUAUUGCUCCAUUUCUUCAAAUAAUUUCUUUGCACUUUAACCCUAAAAAUAUAGUCUUAGAAUGCGUCUAGAAUAGAGCCCUUCAUAAUCAUUAGACACAAUGAAUUAGAAGUUUCUCAUUUCUCAAUUAUAACCUCGUCAAUGUUAUAUUUAGUAGGAGUGAGUUUAUCUGUUUGAAAUGCUAAAUCUAAAUUCUAAGAAAUAUGGGUUAUCAAAAUGGCUUCCUUCUAGGCCGAAACAUUUGUCUCAUCCAACAUUGAGAUACUAUUGUGUUAGAAGAUAUUAAUUGUAUAUUAAUUAAAUACCAAAUGAAUAACAACUUCCUAACAAAGCCAAUUGGGUGACAUCAAGUUUAGUCUUUAAACAGAGAGUCGAUUUACAAGUGAUCAAUGAGUCAUAGUAAUUGAGUUUGAUAACCAAAUAUAUAAAGCUUUCCUUUGGGCUUGCUAAGUGGUAGCGACAAACACCUUACGACCAUCACAACUCAACACUACUUAUGUAUGCUAAUUCCUAUCAGACAAUUGUUUUCCUUUAUAUCGAUAUAUACAUUGAAAUAAACAUACAUAAACACCUUAGUAAGUCAUAAGCAAUUAAAAAAUCGCUAGAGUAUAUGUCAUUUUGGCAACUAUACUCUUUUAACCAAUCGAAAUAAAAACAAUACAAACUCAGUAUGAACAAAUUAUUCUAUUAUUUAAUCACAUUAACAUGCAAUAGUACGCAAGAAGUCAUAUAGUGUAUAUGACAAAACAUGUAUAAAUAAUUCAAACAAUAGACCUCCAAUUUAUUACUUAUAUAGUUUUUUCCUUUUCUCAAGUUAAAAGAAUUGGACAUGAUUGCCAAGCUGCUUCAUUUCUCCCCCUAUUCUCUGGGUAUCUUUUUUGAGAGGCUACUUUCUGAAAGUGGUCCUCCCAAGUCAGUGUUGGCAUAUUUGUACAUAUAUACUGUACAAUUUUGUUGUCUAUUAUAAAUUAUAGUACCUUAUACUGUUCUUUCAGUUGUUUUAUUACUACCAUUUAUUCAACCUUGUGUCAAUCUAUAUUUUUAUAAUUUCAUAUUGACCCUUGCAAACCUUACUACUGUUCAUAGGUUAUGUUGCUAAAUGUGUUGGGGAUGGUAUUUUAUAUUAUGAUCAUAUUUAUGGUUGUGUCUCUUUCAUACUGCAGGCUGGCUAGCAACCAAAGCAACUAGGUUCCAGUCUUCUACAGUUACUCAAUAAUAUCAUUAUGGUCUUUCUCAUGUACCCUAUUAUUUUGAGGUGACGGGUGUAAAAUAUGUUUUUUUUAGAUUUUAAGCUACAUUUAUUUUAGGAAUUGGGGAUACAUUUACUCCACGAAUAAGUUAAAAAAAUGUACUCCACAUUUUAGUCACUUAUUCUAUAAAAAUCUAGUGGUUCAAAUCUACAGACUAAUUUAAAUCAUAUGAAUCAUUAGAUUUUCAUAAAAUGAAUGACGAAAAUGUGAAGUAAGUUUUUUUAACUUAAUCAUGGAUUAAGUAUUUAUUAGAUAUGUAAUAUUAUCCCUCUAGAAUUUAAACCUUGAUUUUUUACCUUGUACAAUACAUGCGGAUAACAUCCUACCAACUCAUUGUUGUCUUUUGUUUUGAACUAAUUUUAAGUUUGGUAAAUUAAUAAGGAUUUGAAGAAUAAGAAAGUUGAUUUAUCCAAGGAAAAGCAUAGAUAUAAACUGAUUUACCAAGUUACAAGUUAUUAUUAAUAAAAUAUAGGUGUAAAUAUGUUUUCAAUUGUUGUAAAUAUAACUUUUUUGGGUUCUAGUCCUUAUGAACUUUUAUUCGGUAUUAGUCACUAAAAAUAUAAAAACAAUGUAUUUUAAGUUUUUGAUUAGGGACUAAAAUACAUUUUUAAAAUGAAGGACCCAAAAUGAACAAAAGUAAUAUUGACACUUUAUUGUGAAUUACACUCCAAUUAGGUUUUGAACUUUGACAUUUUGCCUUCAUUUAGUUUUCUUAGUUAUAUCUCUUUAAUCUCUUUUAGGUAGGAAUUCACACAUUACUUAGAAUUGUUAUAGUAGAUAAUGAAAUGUUAUAUAUUAAACUGAAAUUCCUAAUUAUAUAUAUUUUAUCUCAAAAAAUAUGUCAUUUGUUUUGAUUUAUGUUAAUUUUCUUCAUUUCCUUACCUUAAGCUUCAAGCUUCAAUAGCUUCCUUCUUCUUUCUGUUUUAGUUAAAAGGAAUAAAACACUAACUACCCUAACCAAAUUAACUAACCGACUAACAAAAGCUCAACUAUUUUAACAAUUUAUACAAGUGAUAUAUGAGUGACAUUCUUUUUAAAAGAGCUGGUCUUUUUUUUGGUAUUACCAAAUUUAUCUCUUUACCUUUUUUUGUAAGCAUUUAAUCUCUUUCGGGAUUCGUGACUAUCCCUCCUAACAAGUAUUGUUCCCAGAAAUUGAACUCUCGGCCUUGGGGAUCCAGUGAGGCCUUACACCACUAGACCAACGCCUUAUUGGUAAAGAGAUAAUCUGAUUCUGAAGUUAUAACAAGCAUCAAUUAAAGUUUGUUAACUAAUUAUAUUAUUUUUUCUCAUAUUUUUUUCAUGUGUUAUUUGAUUACUUAUCCACCAAUAAUAUCAAUGACUAGGCCUUUGACAAAAAUAAAAAGAUGGAGCUUAAGCUCCUUCCACUAUUCUAAGUGUUUUAAUGCCAUGAUUGUAGCAAAACAUGGCGUCGUUUACGAUACUCACUUUGAAAGAAUGAGUAUCACAUCCUUCUUCAACUUAGACUAAGUUGAAUCAUAAAUUUCCUUUAAAUAAGAUAUAUGAAUGUGAUUUAUUACCCGGCGAUGGAUUUGUAGUGGUUACUGGCCGUUAUGGCAAAUCUAGUCGUGCAGUGAUGGCACGACGGCGAAUGGGUUCUAUUGUGGUGGUUUGUAGGGAUGUUCACGGUCCAUUUGGAUCGAUUUUUAGACAAAAAAUAAUCCGAUCCAAACACAUAAUUAAAAUGCGGUCUGAUCUGGUCUGAUCUAUUUAUAUUAAGAUGUCUGAUUCAAUCCAGUCCAAAUAUUAUAUGCAGUUUUGCUUCGGUUUGGAUCGGUUUUUUUUAAUAAAAUAUUGAAAUUGCAUUUACACUCAAAACUCAUAAAAAUGACUAAAUGUUAAACAUAAAGCAAAACAAAAAUAUUGUUCAAGAACAUUAAAAUGUAUGCAACAAUAGUAUAAGUAAACAACAUCAUAAAAUAGUAACAAAUACUAAGACAAUAAUAAUAAAUGCAAAAAAUGGAAACAACAACAACAAGACAUCAACAAUUACAAGACCACAAAACAACAAGAUAUCAAUAACAAUAAUAUGAGCAUUUGUAACGUAAUUGUAACAUUUAAAAUAUUCCACCGAUGAUUAAUAACAAUAAUACUUUCACAACAAUAAAAUUGAUAAUAAAACACCUAAUCAAAAUCAACACUUGAAUCCUCUUUAUUUGUUUGUGGGAUUAGUUUAAGUUCUAAAAAGUGUAUCAAAUAUAGUCAGUAUAAUUUAAAACAAAUAUAGGUAUAAUUUUGGAGUUGAGACUUAAGAUUAAGUUUGGAAAACACUUAAAAAUAUUGCACACUUAAACUUUACAUAUUAAUUCGGUCUGGUCUGGAUCGGUUUGGAUCCAAUAGGUGAAACUAAAAUUCGGAACGGACCAAUCGGUCUUUAAAAAAUAAGUCCAACACGAUCUAUACACAUUCAAUUUUACGGUUUUGGUCUAUUUUGGAUCGACUUUCGGUUUUAUUUUUGGACUGGUCUGGAUUUGAACACCCCUAGUAGUUGGUUCUAAGAGUGAAAGUUUCUGUUGUAGGGUUGUGAUGGUUUUUGGUUGGUGGAGGUUGAGACUAGUGAUGGCAGGUAUAGAGGGAAAAGACAAUGGCAAUGGUUGGUUGUGGAGUUGGAUUAUGUUGAAUAUAGGAUUUGCGGGUUCAAUGAGAUCACAUUUUUUAUCCAAAAUUUAUGUCACUCUACAUAUUUACUUGCAUUAAUUGAUUGGAAAAAAAAAUAAAUUUUAAUAAUCAAAUGUUUUUCUAACAAAUUAUAACAAAUGACAUAUAAAAUUGUACAAAGUGGAAAAGAAGAUAGAAUAUAUGCCCCUAUAAAAUAUCAAAUCUUUAAAGGGGAUUUUACUAAAUAUGAAUUAACCAACUCUUAUUAUGUGUAAUUACAUCGAUCAGGAUACUGAGUGAAUGAAUCACUAGAUGUACCAAUGUGUUAAUAUCUUAUUAAACAACUAACAAAAAUGUUUUAUUAACAUAAAAUAUUAUAAAUAAGUUGAAAAUAUCAUAAAAAUAUAGGUUUUAUGUUUUAAUCGCAACAAAAACAAACAUGUAACUUUAAAACUUAACUAAACAACUAAAAUUUUGCUACAAAAUAAGUUAACAAAUGACAAAUAAAACAUAAUAAUACAUAACUUGUAUGAUUGUGUAAAACUGACCAUUCCAAUAACUUUCCAUUAGAAAUUCUAAAAGCAUUACUUACAUAUCAAAUGUUUUUUAUCGUAACAUUAUAUGUGUCAUUGUCAUGUAUCAUCCAAAAUUAUAAUGUGCCGUAUUAGCCCCUCAUAUUUUUAUUUGUUCCCUCGUGUCAUUUUUGUGUGGUUUUCACCAUCUAAUUAUACACUUAUACAAAAAUGAUCUUUAUAUUCAUAUUGUUGAUAUAAUAGAAACAAUAGUUGACUAGAAGCAAUUAAAUAAAGAAUAGGAGACAAAUAGAAGAAUAUAAAACAAGAAAAUUUGUUAACAUUAUUUGACCAAUGCCUACGUCCCAAAAGUGUUAAGCAUCUAAUCAUAUGAAUAGUUUACACCCAAAUUAAGUUAUACUAAUUACACUUUGUAACACCGUGAAUUUUCUAUGUAUGUUGUAUUAAUUAUUUAUUUUAAUAAGAAUUAAUUUUAUAAUUUAAUCGGUAAUGAUUUAGGUUAAACUUUAGUUGAGUGUUAGUCUUGUUUUAUGAAUUCCUAUUUUGUGGUAAAUGUUCGUAAUUUUCUGUGACAAAGAGUUUUUGAGCCGCUUCCGGGUCCAAAUUCGCCUGAAUUCGGCCCAAUAACGUGUUUUUGAGUUUUGUAUCUCGGAAUCAAAUUAUAAGUGUGUCAUUGGCUUCAAAAUAUUAUUUCAAGUCAAGAUAGACAUCAAUUUUUUUCCAUAACGUAUUUCUAAAUAUUUUUCACUCCGAAUUCUGUGUUUCGAAGUUUUGACCGUAAACCAAAAUCAGAAGAUUUUUAAUAUCCAGCCGAGUAUUAGACGACAAUAAUCGGGUAUGGUUUAAUCGUGAAUUUUCGCGGAAGAGGUCACUUCACUUUCACAAAUGAAACUUGAUUGGCAAGCAAGCAAAAAUACUCACCUCUUACACAAAAUCUCUUAAACCCUUCAUCUACCCAUUACACAAUUUACUCUCUGAAAACCUUUGGUUUUUCCCGUCCUAAAUCAGAUUCAUUGUCUUUAAAAGAGUUCCCCCUCUAACUUAGAGAAACCCUUGGCAUUUCACUCUUCUUCUUCUUCUUCUUCUUCUUCACUUUGAUUAUCAAAAACUCCAAGGUAAGCCUUCAUUCUUUUUCGUUCUUCAUCUCUUAGAAUCUAACCGUUAAAUGUUUACGAUAUUUUAUUAUGAUGUUUAUACGCAUGUUACGAACAUUUUCAACCGUGGAAAUUUUCUAAUAAUCUUCCUAACUCUUGUUAUACUCAAGAACUCGAAAAAUGGGUUUUCGUGAAUUUAGAAAAUCGUUGCUUUGAAACCAUGAAAUCUUGUUGUUCAUGGGGCUAUUUUAGUGUUUAUAAAUAUGCAUGUUGUUGAUUUUUAUGAAAGAGAAUGAGUAUGAAAUCAAAGGAUGUUUUGAUUUAAAAUGUCAUUUUGAGUAUGAGAUCAACUCCUGUGAAGAAGGUGUUGAAAUGACCAUGAACACGAUGAGAAUUGUGAACGAGACUUUCGAGGAUAAAGGAUGGUUCAAGAAUAUGAUUCUUGUAUCGGAUGGAUAAAAGUCUCAGAUGUUCUUAAAAUAGAUUAACAUAAUGUUUUUACCUUAAAGUUAGGAGGUAAAAGAUUUAACUCGCAAAUCAUUGAUUGAUUUUUGUGUUUAGGUUCGAGGCGUUUGAAGUCGGACAACCUACCCAUCCACUUAAAGGAGAUCAACUACUCUACAACCCAAAGUGAAGGAGAAUACAUCGUGACAUAGUGGUAUCCGAAUAUGACACCUGGAUCUCCCAACUACCUCAAAAGUUGGGAGUUAUAUUUGUUUUUUUUAAUCUCGUACUUAACCAAAUGUUUGCAUGUCUGGAUUAAGUACGGAAGAUUUCUUAAGCUGUAUAUCCUAGGAUAGUUUAAAAUAUCAAGUAUCGUGGUAGUUAAACAUGAAGGAAACCCAUUCGAGAAACUAAAACGCAUAGGGAUCGAAAACAGUGGAGAUUUUUUAUCCGGUUGCCCAAAAGGGCGAUGAAGUAGUCUUGGCAACUGGACACCCCUCGCCUGGGCAAGACAGCCUCGCUUGAGCGAGUGGUUCUCGCAUGGGCGAGGGCCAGGCAGGCAUGCCGUCUAUUCUAGAAAAUUCAGGUCGCUCGGGCAAGAGUAUCUCGCCCGAGCGAGACCUAGAGGGUGAUUUUGACUAGUUUUGGUUGAUUUUUCGCUUGACCGAUAGCAAGAGCCAGACAGGGAAUUGAGUCUGUUUUGAUGCAAUCAUCGCUUGAGCGACAGUCUCUCGCUUGGGCGAGAGACAUACAAUGUUUUUGAUUGCUUUUGAUUGGUUGAUUGCUUAGACAAUAACCCUAACUUGAGUGAGAAGUAUAUUUAAUAAUUGGGAGAGAUCGUGGCUCGAAUGAGGAGCCCGAUGCCCAAAUAAACAAACUUAUACCUAUGUUCUUACGCCUUAUGCGGGCAAGGAUUCCGACGAUGACGUCAUGAGCAAGGCGAUGUCUAGAAAGGAUUACAUUAUACCACACAACGAGAUCAUCUGACCGUAAGAGGCUUGGCCAGGUGGUUGUCCAGGAUAAUUCAGCGAUGGUUCGUAGUGGUAGGGAUGUUAUUCCUAUAAACAUCAUAAUAAAAUCUCGUAAACAUUUAAAAGAAUGAUUUGGGAGAUGUCUUAGGAUGGGACGAUCGAUAUAAAAGAAUGAUUAAACUAUUUAAUCGACUAACCUCGUUUAGUGUGCAUACUCAUUAUGAACAACGAAGUAGUGGAGAGGAAAUUUAUGGGAGACGAACGACUCCCGCGAUGUUGAGAGGGACGGCAAUGGCGGUGAUUGUCAACAAAGUCUUGAGGGCGAGUCUAGGUGAGAAAUGUCCCUUGUACUCCUGGAUGAGGUAUUUUGUAGGAUUGAACAGUUCUCACAGCGCAAACUAGAUGAUCUCUAACAACUCUUGUUUGCAAUCAGGAUCGAUGAGAGGGAUGCCAUAAAAUUGUUUGAUACGACACCGUCUUGAAAUGGACAGUUCUUCAGAACAGAUCGAUCAUAUAUCCUUGCGAGCAAUAUGUUUUUUGGUGCGUUCAAAUCGGCUUGUUAUGGGACCUAUAGUCUCGGUUAUUUCUGAAUAGUUUAUUGGGAGGAUAUUGGUAUAAGGAGUGAUGAAAUAAACAUAACAUUUAUACAUUGAGUUCAUGGAUAUUGAUUCUCAUAGUUUGAGAUAUAAUAUCAUUCAUCAUUUGCAUUUAUGUAUGCAAAAUAUAUUGUGUAUAUUAUGUGUGUCUAUCUGGAUGUGAUAUUUUGUGUAAUUCCACGCCAUCAAUGAAAAAUAUUCAUUAGAUGUCUUACUCCCUUUUCUUUCAAUUUGUCUUUGGUUCGCUUUCUCGUUUAGAUGGACCAUACCGCGAGGAUUCGGAGCUACCGAUUCUCGAUGUCCGAGGAGGGGACAUGUAGUAGUGACGGGCACCGAUACACCUACACAGACCCUUGUGCCUUAGAGUUGGAGAUGGUUUGUGAUGGCUCUACGAUGCGCUACCCCUCACAUCAUGCGGACUUGGAGGCUAUCACUUGCUGCACCAUCCAUUCAGUCUGUGAUUCCUCAUGGACCCACUGCUGCAGAGCCAUUUACUCGUAGACGAAUUUUGGCAACAUGCUUAAUUCCCCACCAUGGAGGAGAGCUGCUCGAUAGACGAUGCUCGAUCUUCAGGUGAUGCAGGAGCGAGAAGUAGGUUACAGGGUUCGUCUAAUGACCCGAAAUAGGAGAUGGAGGCUGAAGAGGAGGAGCUGGAAGACGAAGAGGAGGACCAUGUGGAGUUAGUCUGUAUAUAAGACUCCAUUGAGGUGGUAGACCUCUCCUCCGAUUCUGGGACGGAGGAGGACCCCAAUGAGUGUCCUAGCACACCUGCAAACACUAGAGUUAGUCACUAGCAGCCAUUUAUAUUUCUAUUUUGCUUUUGAAGAGGAUAUCUAGGGUACUUUUAAUGUAUGGAAUAAAUCAGUCUACUUUGUAUAUUUUCAGUUUAGACAAGAUUUAAUUCUGCUUUGUUUUUGUACAAACAUUUUCCGUUGUUUUCAAUAAUGAAUAAUUCCACGAUAUAUUAAGUGACUUUUGGUUACCAUUAGGUAAUGAUUCUUAUCUUUUCCAGAAUUUAAGUUACUUAACGUGAUGUCCCAAAAAUGAAUCGAAUGUAAGGAAAAUAAUUUCCUAUUAUAUUAUUCAAAAAAAAUUAUCCAUUUUUGGGCAAUGUUGUUGGAGUAAUUUUCGGGGCAUUACACACUUAAUCUCAGCCAUUCAUUUUCUUAAAUCCAACGGACAAAAUAGGUGAGUGAAAUAAAUGAUGAGAGAGAAAAAGAUAAAUCUUAAGUAACUUUUAAGUUUAACUCAUUUUGACCAUUGGAUUUAAGAAAAUGGUUGAGUGUAAUUACUGUAACUUAAUUUGGGUGUAAAUGAAUCUCUCAUAUAUAUAUAUACACACCAUGAGCUCAAUGUCUAAAUAAUGUUUCUAAUCGGUGCAUGAUAUAACUUGAAACUUCAUCCUAAUAUAUAGCAUAACAUGACAAAUAUUGCCAUACAUAACAUUAUAAGUAUCACUUAUGUUAGAAUAUAAUUCAAAAUUUUGUUUUGGGUAGUUUGUAAUACUUACUAUAAAUAGGAAGGUGUACCUAACUUAACUAUCAUAACAUUCCAAAAAUAGAAAUCAAUUCAUUUUCACUUCAAGAGCAAGGUUCAAAAACACAACAAAAUCUUCAAACUUUUCGAAGAACAAUGGGGCAAACCGAAUUUCCUGCAAAUCUUCCUAUACUUGAUGAAAAGAAUUGGAAUCGAUGGAGAAUUCAAAUGUCAGCUAUUAUGGGUUUCCAAGAAGUGAGUGAAAUUGUGGAAGAUGGACUUCCAGUUUUGGUAGAUCUGACCAUAGAAGCACAAAGAGUGUUAUACAAAGAGAGCAAAAAAGAAAGAUUGUAAAGUAAUAUUUUUGUUGCAUCAAUGUUUUGAUGAAGCACAUUUUGAGAAGAUUUCAUAGGAAAAAUCAACAAAGUUAGCUUGGGAAAUACUUGAGAAAAGCAAUGAAGGAGAUGAACAAUUGAAGAAGGUGAGACUAUAAACCAUGAGAAGGCAAUAUGAGUUAAUGUAGAUGGAAUCAAGUGAAAGGAUUCCAUAAUUCUUCAAUCGGGUCAUUAUCCAUACAAAAACAAUGAAAUCAAGUGGUGAAAAGAUGAUAGAUUAGACAAUUGUGAAAAAGAUUCUAAGAACUCUCAAUCCCAAGUUUGAUCAUAUAGUGGUGCCAAUUGAAGAAUCUAAGAAGAUUGAGGAACUGAAAGUUAUGGAUCUUCAAGGCUCUCUUGAAGCUCAUGAACAAAGAAUCUUGGAGAUAUCCACAGAGAAAGAUGUUGAUCGGGCAUUGCAAGCUCAUGCCCCAAGAAGAAGAGGCUAUGUCAAUAAGGGUGUGCAAAGGAAAAGAUCAGAGAAGGGGAGGAUACAAGUCUACUCAAUUUUCAGACCAAGAAAGAUCUAAUUCAGAUCCAACUGAAUUCCCAACUAUAAGAGGAGGCUACCAGAAAUGGCAAGGCAAUAAAAAGAGGGUUGAUAGGAAGAAACUAAUAUGCUUCAAUUGUGACAAGAUUGAACAUUUCAGUAGUGAAUGCUAAGCAUCCUCAAGUCAUAAUGAAAAUCAUGGUUAACAUCACAAUAAGGCUUACUUGAUCAAGAAGGAAAGUGUUGAAUGUCAAGAUGAUGAACCAGUUUUGUUGAUGAUGGAAAUAAACAAUGGAUCCAGUAGUGAUGGCAAAUGGUACAUAGACUCUGGGUGCUCAUAUCACAUGACUAGGAACAGAAUUUGGCUGAUAAACUUUGAUGAUCAAAGAAAAAGCAGUGUGAGAUUUGCUUAUAGUAGAACCAUCCAAGCAAAGGGAAAUGGUGAUCUCUUGACCAAUAGAAGAGAUGGUAGGAAGGCACUAAUAUUUGAUGUACUCUAUUUUCCUAACAUCAAGAGUAAUCUUCUUAGUCUAGGACAGCUACUAGAAAAUGUCUUAUUUUUACAAAUGCAUCAAGGAAUAUUGGAGAUAUUUGAUGCCAAGAAUUGCAAGAUAAUGAGAGUUCCUUUGGCAAGAAAUAUGUCCUUUCAAGUAAACCUGAAAACUGUUGAAACUUAGUGUCUAUCAACAACACCCUUAGUAGAAGAUUCUUGGCUAUGGCAUCUAAGACUAGGACAUAUGAAUUUCAGAGACAUAAGCAUGCUAAGAUCCAAAGGCAUGGUCACUAGACUACCACAAAUUCAGAUUCUAAACAUGGUAUGUGAAAACUGCUUAAUUAGAAAAUAACCUAGAUCCUCAUUCAGCUCAUUCACACCCUCUAGAGCAAGUGAACUUUUGCAUGUGAUUUACUCUGAUGUGUGUGGUCCGUUUGAUACUCCAUCAUUAGGAGGAAGUAAGUACUUUGUUACAUUCACAUAUGUGUUGAGCAUAAAAUUAUGGUUGUACUUGAUGAAAGCCAAAAGUGACACAUAUUCAGUGUUCAAAAUAUUGGUAGAGAAACAAUCAGAAAAAUGUAUAAAGGUGCUAAAAACUAAUGGUGGAGGAGAGUUCACUUCAAGAGAAUUUAAAACUUUUUUAAGGAGCAAGGAAUUGUGCAUGAGGUAAGUGCUCCAUACACACCUCGGCACAAUGGAAUUGCAGAAAGGAAAAAUAGAACCAUACUAAACAUGGUGAAGAGCAUGCUAAAAAGUAAGAACCUGCCACACAACGUUUGGGCUGAAGCAUCAUCUACAUCAGCCUACCUAUUGAAUAGGUGCCGAACCAAAAGACUUCAUGGUCAAGUCCCUAAGGAAGCAUGGUCUGGAAUUAAACCCUUAGUGAAGCACUUAAGAAUCUUUAAAUCUCUUUGCUAUAGACCCAUACCAGACCAGAAAAGGAAGAAACUUUAUCAUAAAGGAGAAGUUAUGAUUCUACUUGGCUACAACACUAUAGGAGCCUAUAAACUGUAUAAUCCUGAGACAUAGUAGGUAAUGUUCAGCAAGGAUGUGUACUUUGAUGAGCUAAAUUCAUGGAAAGGUUAGAAAGAAAAUCCUAUCUCUUUGGCUAAGAUGAACAUAGACUAGGAAAUUGAUGGUUCAGUGUUGGAUGAGAGAAACAUGGAUCCGACUGAUGAGCAAUAUAUUACACACUAUUCAUAUUCUUAAUUUAGCAUGAUUGAUGAUUCUUGGUGCCUAAUUGACUUUGUUUCAUAUCGUUUACUGUUUUAGACUUUAUUGGACUAAUAUUCCUAAAAUGAGUUAAUUUGGGAUUAUUUGGCCUGAUUAAAUCUAUUAUCAUUUUCAGAAUAUAUUUGGCACCAAUGGCAUUUUGGGCAUUAUGGAAGUCGAGGAUAUGUGUUGAAGUGAAGAUUGUAUUUUUAAUUUAGNNNNNNNNNNNNNNNNNNNNNNNNNNNNNNNNNNNNNNNNNNNNNNNNNNNNNNNNNNNNNNNNNNNNNNNNNNNNNNNNNNNNNNNNNNNNNNNNNNNNAAGUUAGAAAUUGUUGUUUUGAAAGCAUGCAAUAUUGUUGUUCAUUGGGGCUAUUUUAGUGUUUAAAAUAUAUGCAUGUGUUGAUUUUGAUGAAAAGAUAUGAUGAUGAAAUCAAGGAUGUUUGAUUUAAAAUGUCGUUUUGAUCAUGAGAUCACUCCCUCUAAAAAGGUGUUGAAAUGAUCAUGAACACGAUAGGAAUCGUGAACGAGGCUUUCAAGGAUAAAUGAUAGUUCAAGAAUAUGAAUCUUGGACUGGAUGGAUGAAAUUCUUGGAUGUUUUUAUAAUGAAUUAAAAUAAUAUCUUUACCUUAGAGUUAGCAGGUAAACGAUUUAACUCGCAAAUUACUAAUUGAGUUUUCUGUAUUUAGUUUCGAAGCGUUCAAAGUCGGACAACCUACACAUUCAUGUAAAGGAGAUCAACCGCGCUACAACCCAAGGUGAGGGAGAAUACAUCGUGAUAUAGUGGUUUCCGAAUGUGACACCCGGAUCUCCUAACUACCUCAAAAGUUGGGAGUUAUAUUUGUUUUUUUUAAUCUCGUACUUAACCAAAUGUUUGCAUGUCUGGAUUAAGUACGGAAGAUUUCUUAAGCUGUAUAUCCUAGGAUAGUUUAAAAUAUCAAGUAUCGUGGUAGUUAAACAUGAAGGAAACCCAUUCGAGAAACUAAAACGCAUAGGGAUCGAAAACAGUGGAGAUUUUUUAUCCGGUUGCCCAAAAGGGCGAUGAAGUAGUCUUGGCAACUGGACACCCCUCGCCUGGGCAAGACAGCCUCGCUUGAGCGAGUGGUUCUCGCAUGGGCGAGGGCCAGGCAGGCAUGCCGUCUAUUCUAGAAAAUUCAGGUCGCUCGGGCAAGAGUAUCUCGCCCGAGCGAGACCUAGAGGGUGAUUUUGACUAGUUUUGGUUGAUUUUUCGCUUGACCGAUAGCAAGAGCCAGACAGGGAAUUGAGUCUGUUUUGAUGCAAUCAUCGCUUGAGCGACAGUCUCUCGCUUGGGCGAGAGACAUACAAUGUUUUUGAUUGCUUUUGAUUGGUUGAUUGCUUAGACAAUAACCCUAACUUGAGUGAGAAGUAUAUUUAAUAAUUGGGAGAGAUCGUGGCUCGAAUGAGGAGCCCGAUGCCCAAAUAAACAAACUUAUACCUAUGUUCUUACGCCUUAUGCGGGCAAGGAUUCCGACGAUGACGUCAUGAGCAAGGCGAUGUCUAGAAAGGAUUACAUUAUACCACACAACGAGAUCAUCUGACCGUAAGAGGCUUGGCCAGGUGGUUGUCCAGGAUAAUUCAGCGAUGGUUCGUAGUGGUAGGGAUGUUAUUCCUAUAAACAUCAUAAUAAAAUCUCGUAAACAUUUAAAAGAAUGAUUUGGGAGAUGUCUUAGGAUGGGACGAUCGAUAUAAAAGAAUGAUUAAACUAUUUAAUCGACUAACCUCGUUUAGUGUGCAUACUCAUUAUGAACAACGAAGUAGUGGAGAGGAAAUUUAUGGGAGACGAACGACUCCCGCGAUGUUGAGAGGGACGGCAAUGGCGGUGAUUGUCAACAAAGUCUUGAGGGCGAGUCUAGGUGAGAAAUGUCCCUUGUACUCCUGGAUGAGGUAUUUUGUAGGAUUGAACAGUUCUCACAGCGCAAACUAGAUGAUCUCUAACAACUCUUGUUUGCAAUCAGGAUCGAUGAGAGGGAUGCCAUAAAAUUGUUUGAUACGACACCGUCUUGAAAUGGACAGUUCUUCAGAACAGAUCGAUCAUAUAUCCUUGCGAGCAAUAUGUUUUUUGGUGCGUUCAAAUCGGCUUGUUAUGGGACCUAUAGUCUCGGUUAUUUCUGAAUAGUUUAUUGGGAGGAUAUUGGUAUAAGGAGUGAUGAAAUAAACAUAACAUUUAUACAUUGAGUUCAUGGAUAUUGAUUCUCAUAGUUUGAGAUAUAAUAUCAUUCAUCAUUUGCAUUUAUGUAUGCAAAAUAUAUUGUGUAUAUUAUGUGUGUCUAUCUGGAUGUGAUAUUUUGUGUAAUUCCACGCCAUCAAUGAAAAAUAUUCAUUAGAUGUCUUACUCCCUUUUCUUUCAAUUUGUCUUUGGUUCGCUUUCUCGUUUAGAUGGACCAUACCGCGAGGAUUCGGAGCUACCGAUUCUCGAUGUCCGAGGAGGGGACAUGUAGUAGUGACGGGCACCGAUACACCUACACAGACCCUUGUGCCUUAGAGUUGGAGAUGGUUUGUGAUGGCUCUACGAUGCGCUACCCCUCACAUCAUGCGGACUUGGAGGCUAUCACUUGCUGCACCAUCCAUUCAGUCUGUGAUUCCUCAUGGACCCACUGCUGCAGAGCCAUUUACUCGUAGACGAAUUUUGGCAACAUGCUUAAUUCCCCACCAUGGAGGAGAGCUGCUCGAUAGACGAUGCUCGAUCUUCAGGUGAUGCAGGAGCGAGAAGUAGGUUACAGGGUUCGUCUAAUGACCCGAAAUAGGAGAUGGAGGCUGAAGAGGAGGAGCUGGAAGACGAAGAGGAGGACCAUGUGGAGUUAGUCUGUAUAUAAGACUCCAUUGAGGUGGUAGACCUCUCCUCCGAUUCUGGGACGGAGGAGGACCCCAAUGAGUGUCCUAGCACACCUGCAAACACUAGAGUUAGUCACUAGCAGCCAUUUAUAUUUCUAUUUUGCUUUUGAAGAGGAUAUCUAGGGUACUUUUAAUGUAUGGAAUAAAUCAGUCUACUUUGUAUAUUUUCAGUUUAGACAAGAUUUAAUUCUGCUUUGUUUUUGUACAAACAUUUUCCGUUGUUUUCAAUAAUGAAUAAUUCCACGAUAUAUUAAGUGACUUUUGGUUACCAUUAGGUAAUGAUUCUUAUCUUUUCCAGAAUUUAAGUUACUUAACGUGAUGUCCCAAAAAUGAAUCGAAUGUAAGGAAAAUAAUUUCCUAUUAUAUUAUUCAAAAAAAAUUAUCCAUUUUUGGGCAAUGUUGUUGGAGUAAUUUUCGGGGCAUUACACACUUAAUCUCAGCCAUUCAUUUUCUUAAAUCCAACGGACAAAAUAGGUGAGUGAAAUAAAUGAUGAGAGAGAAAAAGAUAAAUCUUAAGUAACUUUUAAGUUUAACUCAUUUUGACCAUUGGAUUUAAGAAAAUGGUUGAGUGUAAUUACUGUAACUUAAUUUGGGUGUAAAUGAAUCUCUCAUAUAUAUAUAUACACACCAUGAGCUCAAUGUCUAAAUAAUGUUUCUAAUCGGUGCAUGAUAUAACUUGAAACUUCAUCCUAAUAUAUAGCAUAACAUGACAAAUAUUGCCAUACAUAACAUUAUAAGUAUCACUUAUGUUAGAAUAUAAUUCAAAAUUUUGUUUUGGGUAGUUUGUAAUACUUACUAUAAAUAGGAAGGUGUACCUAACUUAACUAUCAUAACAUUCCAAAAAUAGAAAUCAAUUCAUUUUCACUUCAAGAGCAAGGUUCAAAAACACAACAAAAUCUUCAAACUUUUCGAAGAACAAUGGGGCAAACCGAAUUUCCUGCAAAUCUUCCUAUACUUGAUGAAAAGAAUUGGAAUCGAUGGAGAAUUCAAAUGUCAGCUAUUAUGGGUUUCCAAGAAGUGAGUGAAAUUGUGGAAGAUGGACUUCCAGUUUUGGUAGAUCUGACCAUAGAAGCACAAAGAGUGUUAUACAAAGAGAGCAAAAAAGAAAGAUUGUAAAGUAAUAUUUUUGUUGCAUCAAUGUUUUGAUGAAGCACAUUUUGAGAAGAUUUCAUAGGAAAAAUCAACAAAGUUAGCUUGGGAAAUACUUGAGAAAAGCAAUGAAGGAGAUGAACAAUUGAAGAAGGUGAGACUAUAAACCAUGAGAAGGCAAUAUGAGUUAAUGUAGAUGGAAUCAAGUGAAAGGAUUCCAUAAUUCUUCAAUCGGGUCAUUAUCCAUACAAAAACAAUGAAAUCAAGUGGUGAAAAGAUGAUAGAUUAGACAAUUGUGAAAAAGAUUCUAAGAACUCUCAAUCCCAAGUUUGAUCAUAUAGUGGUGCCAAUUGAAGAAUCUAAGAAGAUUGAGGAACUGAAAGUUAUGGAUCUUCAAGGCUCUCUUGAAGCUCAUGAACAAAGAAUCUUGGAGAUAUCCACAGAGAAAGAUGUUGAUCGGGCAUUGCAAGCUCAUGCCCCAAGAAGAAGAGGCUAUGUCAAUAAGGGUGUGCAAAGGAAAAGAUCAGAGAAGGGGAGGAUACAAGUCUACUCAAUUUUCAGACCAAGAAAGAUCUAAUUCAGAUCCAACUGAAUUCCCAACUAUAAGAGGAGGCUACCAGAAAUGGCAAGGCAAUAAAAAGAGGGUUGAUAGGAAGAAACUAAUAUGCUUCAAUUGUGACAAGAUUGAACAUUUCAGUAGUGAAUGCUAAGCAUCCUCAAGUCAUAAUGAAAAUCAUGGUUAACAUCACAAUAAGGCUUACUUGAUCAAGAAGGAAAGUGUUGAAUGUCAAGAUGAUGAACCAGUUUUGUUGAUGAUGGAAAUAAACAAUGGAUCCAGUAGUGAUGGCAAAUGGUACAUAGACUCUGGGUGCUCAUAUCACAUGACUAGGAACAGAAUUUGGCUGAUAAACUUUGAUGAUCAAAGAAAAAGCAGUGUGAGAUUUGCUUAUAGUAGAACCAUCCAAGCAAAGGGAAAUGGUGAUCUCUUGACCAAUAGAAGAGAUGGUAGGAAGGCACUAAUAUUUGAUGUACUCUAUUUUCCUAACAUCAAGAGUAAUCUUCUUAGUCUAGGACAGCUACUAGAAAAUGUCUUAUUUUUACAAAUGCAUCAAGGAAUAUUGGAGAUAUUUGAUGCCAAGAAUUGCAAGAUAAUGAGAGUUCCUUUGGCAAGAAAUAUGUCCUUUCAAGUAAACCUGAAAACUGUUGAAACUUAGUGUCUAUCAACAACACCCUUAGUAGAAGAUUCUUGGCUAUGGCAUCUAAGACUAGGACAUAUGAAUUUCAGAGACAUAAGCAUGCUAAGAUCCAAAGGCAUGGUCACUAGACUACCACAAAUUCAGAUUCUAAACAUGGUAUGUGAAAACUGCUUAAUUAGAAAAUAACCUAGAUCCUCAUUCAGCUCAUUCACACCCUCUAGAGCAAGUGAACUUUUGCAUGUGAUUUACUCUGAUGUGUGUGGUCCGUUUGAUACUCCAUCAUUAGGAGGAAGUAAGUACUUUGUUACAUUCACAUAUGUGUUGAGCAUAAAAUUAUGGUUGUACUUGAUGAAAGCCAAAAGUGACACAUAUUCAGUGUUCAAAAUAUUGGUAGAGAAACAAUCAGAAAAAUGUAUAAAGGUGCUAAAAACUAAUGGUGGAGGAGAGUUCACUUCAAGAGAAUUUAAAACUUUUUUAAGGAGCAAGGAAUUGUGCAUGAGGUAAGUGCUCCAUACACACCUCGGCACAAUGGAAUUGCAGAAAGGAAAAAUAGAACCAUACUAAACAUGGUGAAGAGCAUGCUAAAAAGUAAGAACCUGCCACACAACGUUUGGGCUGAAGCAUCAUCUACAUCAGCCUACCUAUUGAAUAGGUGCCGAACCAAAAGACUUCAUGGUCAAGUCCCUAAGGAAGCAUGGUCUGGAAUUAAACCCUUAGUGAAGCACUUAAGAAUCUUUAAAUCUCUUUGCUAUAGACCCAUACCAGACCAGAAAAGGAAGAAACUUUAUCAUAAAGGAGAAGUUAUGAUUCUACUUGGCUACAACACUAUAGGAGCCUAUAAACUGUAUAAUCCUGAGACAUAGUAGGUAAUGUUCAGCAAGGAUGUGUACUUUGAUGAGCUAAAUUCAUGGAAAGGUUAGAAAGAAAAUCCUAUCUCUUUGGCUAAGAUGAACAUAGACUAGGAAAUUGAUGGUUCAGUGUUGGAUGAGAGAAACAUGGAUCCGACUGAUGAGCAAUAUAUUACACACUAUUCAUAUUCUUAAUUUAGCAUGAUUGAUGAUUCUUGGUGCCUAAUUGACUUUGUUUCAUAUCGUUUACUGUUUUAGACUUUAUUGGACUAAUAUUCCUAAAAUGAGUUAAUUUGGGAUUAUUUGGCCUGAUUAAAUCUAUUAUCAUUUUCAGAAUAUAUUUGGCACCAAUGGCAUUUUGGGCAUUAUGGAAGUCGAGGAUAUGUGUUGAAGUGAAGAUUGUAUUUUUAUUUUAGGAGUUGUUUUUAUUGUUAUUUAGCUUUGGGUCCAUUGUUUAGGCCCAAUUCGGUUAUAUGUGUGUUGGAGGGGUUAUAUUCGGAUUCCCCACUCUAAACACACACACUUCAUUUUUCUUCAUUUUGAAAGAUACACAUUUCCGUUUUCCCCUCUUUUUGUUCUACUAGGGUUUCACUCCUUCUUCAUUUUUUAUUUUCAGUUUGUUCUUCCAUUGUCAUGGAAGGCUAAAUUUCUAGACUAAGUUCCUUUGGUAAUGUAUCACAACUCUUGAGGUUUUGUUAUUAAUGUAUUUUCGGUUUCUUUAUUGUUGAUUUCUUCUAUCUUAUUUCUGAAUAUGGUUUGCUUAAUUCUAUUGCUUAGAAACUGGUUGGUUGAGUUUAUCUUCACUUAGUUGAUUUACUCUCUCUAGUGCAUGAAUACUUACUUCGUGUGAUUUUAUUAAUCGUUUCAUAUUUAUACUGAUUUCUCCUAGUUAGAGGUUUAGGUUCUGGAACUUUGAAUUGAUUAUCGCUUAGUUAAUUGAUUCUCAACAAAUUCAGAAGUUAAUAGUUGGAAUCUGAAAAUAAUCUUUUGAAACCGAGGAUUGAGUUGUGAACAAACGAACCAAAGAGAUUUAGCUAUUUUAUUACAUUGCUUAACUAUUGUUUUUGAAUUUGAUUUAUGUUCAUNNNNNNNNNNNNNNNNNNNNNNNNNNNNNNNNNNNNNNNNNNNNNNNNNNNNNNNNNNNNNNNNNNNNNNNNNNNNNNNNNNNNNNNNNNNNNNNNNNNNGAGUAUAAGGUGUUUGAAGCUUUGCUUGAAAGAUAAUCCUUGGGAAAUGACCUAGGAGUCACUUCCUAGUACUACAGUUUUAAUUGUUAUAUUAUUCGUAUCGGGUACGGCCUCGAUCAAAUUUGGCGCCGCUGCCGGGGAUUAUCGGUUCUUGUCAAAGGUUAUUAGUAUAGUUUAGUGUGUGUCUUAGAAUAAUCAUUUUGUUUGGGUUUCAAAAUCUGCCUUUAGCAUUCACUGUUUGUUGUUUGCUGUCUUGUUUAGUUACUUGCCUGUUGGCUGAUUCAGGUGUAUAUUGGUUAAUAUAGUUGUGGUUAGAAUUUUUGCAUGAAACUUUGUUUCCACACUUCUUUCAUCAAAUAUUGAAUACUAGAUGCAUCAUAGUCAAUCACCUUGUUGCUGGUUGUGAGAUACAAACAAGUAGUGACUAAUUUUAUUGUUGAUUUUCUAUUUUUGGCAUAACUUUGGAACCGUUAAUCAGAAUNNNNNNNNNNNNNNNNNNNNNNNNNNNNNNNNNNNNNNNNNNNNNNNNNNNNNNNNNNNNNNNNNNNNNNNNNNNNNNNNNNNNNNNNNNNNNNNNNNNNAUAUUGAAUACUGGAUGCAUCAUAGUCAAUCACCUUGCUGCUGGUUGUGAGAUACAAACAAUUAGUGACUAGUUUUACUGUUGAUUUUCUAUUUUUGGCAUAACUUUGGAACCGUUAAUCAGAAUUAGACAUAUUAUAUAUGAAUUUGGGGUAGAAAAAUCCAAUGCUUCUUUCUCUAUGCACUGCAUCUAUAGAACCCACCCUGAAAAUCCAAAACGAGUCUGUUUACUAUUUCUUUUUUAUUUUACAAGUUUAUUUUUCCAAUUGUUUUGAUUUUGUUGCAUUUAAUUAAAUUAGUUAGGCUUUGAGUUUUGUCCUAAAAAAUUUUGUGGAUGUUUCCUAUGGUUUUAUAAUUUUAUUGAUGCAAAGUUUUGAUUGAUCACUGAAAUUUAACAUGUAUUUCACUUAUUGUCCUACAUGGUUCUUACGCUACAUUUAGUGCAUGACUAUGGGAAAUCCUAACUCUUUGUAUCCAAUAAAUCCUGAAAUUGAUAGAAUAUUUCAUAGUUUGGUUAGACAAGUUAGGAAUUUAAAUUUAGUUAGUGAGUAUUUUCAUCUUAGUGUUAAUCUACCUGAUAGUGAUACGAUUCUGUUGUUUCUGUGCAUUCUGCUAUUUUUGUGCAUUAUGUUGCAUACUCUGAAAAUAUGGCUGAACCACCUCCAAUCCCACAUGAAAGGACAUUAAUGGAGCUGGCUCCACCUGNNNNNNNNNNNNNNNNNNNNNNNNNNNNNNNNNNNNNNNNNNNNNNNNNNNNNNNNNNNNNNNNNNNNNNNNNNNNNNNNNNNNNNNNNNNNNNNNNNNNGGUUGUAUUACUUGGCCCCUGGUUCUAUUACUAGUUGGGAUGACCUGAAGAGAAUCUUCCUUGAAAAAUUCUUUCUUGCCUCCAGGACCACUACAAUCAGAAAAGAUAUUUCUGGAAUCAGACAACUACAUGCAAAAGGUUUAUAUGAAUAUUGGGGGAGAUUCAAGAGACUAUGUGCAAGUUGCACCCGUAAUCAGAUCUCUAAACAACUCCUCCUGCAAUAUUUCUAUGAAGGUCUGAACAACAUGGAGAGGCAUAUCAUUGAUGCUGCUAGUGGCGAUGCACUUGGAGAUAUGACCCUUUUUGAGGCUAGAGGUUUGAUUGAGAAGAUGUCUUCCAAUUCUAAACAGUUUUGUGCAAGAAGUAGUGAUGCUAUAGUGGUCAGAGGUGUUCAUGAUGUUGGGACAAAUUCGGUGAGGCAAGAUAAACUUGAGAAAAACAAAAUUGACUCCCUUGCUACCUUGGUCACUCAACUUGCCAUGAAUCAGCAGAAACCUCCACUUGCAGCACGAGUUUGUGGCAUUUGCACCGCAAUUGGCCAUUAUGCUGAUGUUUGUCCUUCUCUCUUGGAGCCCAAAACUGGUGACCAUCCUGAGGCAUAUACUGCAAAUAUGUACAACAAUAGACCUCAACAAAAACAACAGAACUAUGAUCCUUCAUCAAGCAUAUACAACCCUGGUUGGAGGAAUCACCCAAAUCUUAGAUGAUCUGAUUCUUCACAGCCUCAUCCAGGGCCGCCAUUUCAGAAUAAUAAUGUUGCACAAAUUAGACCAUAUGUGUCUCCUCCAAUCCAACAGCAGAAGCAACAACAAGUGAAUAGUAAUCCUGCUCCUGCAUCUAGUGAACCUUCAUUAGAAGAAUUGGUGAGGCAAAUGACAUUGCAGAAUAUGCAAUUCCAGCAAGAGACCAGAGCUUCCAUUCAGAGACAAGAGUNNNNNNNNNNNNNNNNNNNNNNNNNNNNNNNNNNNNNNNNNNNNNNNNNNNNNNNNNNNNNNNNNNNNNNNNNNNNNNNNNNNNNNNNNNNNNNNNNNNNUAGAUGAUGUCUUGGUUCGGGUUGGUGAACUUAUUUUUCCUGCUAAUUUUAUAUUCUCGAUAUGGAAGAGAGAUCCUCCCAUAACACAGUUCCUAUCAUUUUGGGGAGGCCAUUUUUGAGAACAGUCCGAACCAAGAUAGAUGUCCAUGCUAGAACAUUAUCUAUGGAGUUUGAUGAUAUUAUGGUCUGGUUUAAUAUUUUUGAUGCUAUGAAUCAUCCAUCUAAGGACCAUUUUAUGUUUCAUAUUGAUUUACUUGAUGAGUUAACUAAUGAGCAUAUAUGUGAUUUUCUUAAUGAUUUUCAUUCUAUGUCAUUGAUAGACUCAUACACUUGUCAUACAUGCACUGAUUCUGAAAUGUGUAAUUAUUAUAUUGAUGAGUUUCUGCAUAUUUCUGUUGAUCCAAAUAUUGUGGAAUCAGAUUGCACUAACCCAAUUGCUGCAGACAUGAUACAACAAUCUGAUUUACUUGUCCAGGUGCAAGCUACAGAAUUAAUAUCUGCUACUUUGGUUCCAUCUGUUUUGAAGGCACCUAUAUUGGAGCUUAAACCUUUGCCUGAAAACCUCAAGUAUGCUUACUUAGAGGAUGAUGAGAAGCUUCCUGUUAUUGUUUCCACCUCCCUUGAUGUUGAUUAAGAGGAUAAAUUGUUGCAAGUGUUGAAGAAGCAUAAGAAGGCAAUUGGUUGGACUUUAGCUGAUAUUCCUAGUAUUAGUCCAUCUAUGUGCAUACAUAGGAUACUCUUGGAAGAUGGAGAUAAACCAGUGAGACAACCACAAAGGAGACUCAAUCCAAUCAUCCUUGAGGUUGUGAAGAAAGAGGUCACAAAGCUUUUACAAGCUGGGAUUAUAUAUCCCAUUUCUGAUAGUCAUUGGGUGAGCCCAUUUCAGGUGGUUCCAAAGAAGACAUAAAUUACAAUGGUGAGGAAUGAGAGAGAUGAGUUGAUUCCUAUUCCUACGAGAGUGUAGAACAGUUGGAGAGUCUGCAUUGGUUAUAGGAGGCUCAACCAAGCAACAAGAAAGGAUCACUUUCCUUUGCCAUUUAUUGAUCAAGUGCUUGAGCGCUUAACAAGUAAAUCUCAUUACUGUUUUCUUGAUGGUUUUUCUGGGUACUUCCAGAUCCAUAUUGCUCUUGAGGAUCGGGAGAAGACCACAUUCACCUGCCCCUUUGGCACUUUUUCCUAUAGAAGAAUGCCUUUUGGCCUAUGCAACGCCCCUGGUACAUUCUAGUGGUGUAUGGUGAACAUUUUCAGUGACCUUUUAGAGAAUUGCAUAGAGGUGUUUAUGGAUGAUUUUAAAGUUUAUGGAUCUUCAUUUGAUGCAUGUUUGGAUAGUCUAGAUAAAGUUUUUCAUAAAUGCAUCGAAACUAACCUUGUUGUGAAUUACGAAAAAUGUCAUUUCAUGGUAGAGCAAGGCAUAGUUUUGGGGCAUGUGAUCUCAAAUAGAGGUCGGGGUAGACCCUGCCAAGAUAUAUGUUAUUUCACAAUUUCCUCACCCCUCUUGCGUGCGAUAGGUUCGUUCUUUUCUUG